Molecule: long non-coding RNA, 127777 nt
Filed under: Arabidopsis lyrata
Lineage: Eukaryota; Viridiplantae; Streptophyta; Magnoliopsida; Brassicales; Brassicaceae
Description: long non-coding RNA (ALYR_LNC000569)
Source: RNAcentral
UUUUUUUUUUUUGCUCAGAUGUCCGAUAAUUUCAAAACCGAACAAAACCACAAAAAUCUCCCAUUAACUUGCAACCUGAUGAACCAGUUGAACUGGCCGGAUUUAGAAUCCCUCCAAAAAAAUUCAGAUUUUUAAUUGUUAAACUAAAUAAAUGCUCUUUAGAUUUUUAUUUGGAAACAAUUUUAUUUAUAAAUGUAUUGGUAAUAUCUUAUUAGGAAUAUUGAAAAGGGAUAUUCCUUUACUCAUUUAAGUUUAAGAAAUCUAAAAAUUUAGCAAACAUGUCGAGAUUUGGUAGUUUCAAGUCGAUAUUUUGUAGUUUCGAAAUCUUAAAUUUCUAUACAUGUGUACCAAAAUCAUGACCAAAAUUUAGUUUCGAAAUCUUAGAUUUCAGAAAUAAUUUUGGUUAUAAUUUUUCAUUUUUGAAAAUUUAGAAUCCGUCCAAUAUUAGUUUCGUAAUCAUUUGUUUAAGUUUGUGGUAUAUUUAUUUUGAAAAACUUUGUUGCAUAAUUAUUUACAAUUUUAAUUAGAAAUUCGUUUUGAUUAAUGGAAUAUAUGUAUGUAUAAUACUAAUGGCAAAUACGGUAAAUAGUCUAAUAAAAUUUGGGCAAUUAUUUAAAACAGGUGACAAAUCAUUCUAAGAACGACACGUCAGCAUGGCAAUCUUGUUAAUAACACGUUAAUAUAAGGUUUAUUUUUUAGAAUGUUUCUCUAUUAAUAUACUAGAUAUGGAUCCGUGCGUUGCACGGGUUGCUGGUCGAAAUUGUCACUUAUUUUUAUAAAGUUUAACUAAAAUUAUAUAAACAGCUAUGUUUUAAUUUUAGAAAAUGCAACAUUUUCAUUAUUUUUUAAAUAGAUUUAUUAUGCAUAACGCAAUUUGUAGUUAUUUUAUACUAAUUAUUAAAUCAUCUAAUAUAAAUCUUGGUCUAUUUAUCACCAACACCACCAUUCCGCCUCUUCUCAUCUUUUCCAAUUGAUCUUAUUUCUCCUCCUUUAUUUUCUCUAGCAUCGAGCCGAGCCUCUUUCCGACAACAAUUCUAGUCUAUGUCCAUUGCCGUUCAUAAUUUCUUAAUUUGCCUCCAUCGCCAUAUAUUCUUUGGAUCUAAAUAUAACAUCCUAUUUUUAGAAAACUAUUGUAAUUCAAAGUAUUUAUAUAUAUAUAUAUAUAUAUAUAUAAAUGACAUGAUAUAUUUCUAAUAAAUGAUAAAUAAUUUUUACAUGAUUCAUGUUGUUCUUAAAGUCAAUCUAUCACCAUAUCCGUAACCAUACACCACCACCAUCGUCACUUCCAUUAACAAUCACAUGCUACUCCUAUUUCUUUUAGUAUGAUAUGCUAUUAUAUUUAAUGACAUUGUUUUUUCCUCUGAUUCUAGGUGGAUGUCUCUCUUUCUUCGUCAAAAUUCUAGUAUUGAUUUUCUUUAUUUUUAGAUUUCCUGUUAUUAGUGUUUAUUUUUUGUUUUUUUAAAUCCUAAUUACAUAUAUGUUUUGUCUUUUGUUUGAAGGCUAUUUCAUCGCUGAAAAAUAUUAGUUUCUAAAAGUUUUUUUUGACUCAAUGCUAUUUCCUUAAUUAAUUUUUAGUCAAAGGUUAGUUACUAAUAUUAUCUUAAAAAUAAUUUAUGACCAAAAAAAGAGAGGAAAAACUUUACUAAUAGAAUGAAAUUAAAGAAAUGAUAGUGUCUCUCAAGAAAUUAGUUUGCUUGGUGAGAAUGAGACAAUCUAUUUUUUUUUAGAGGUGAAUAUUUACAAUCCUUUUUCUUAUAUGAUUAAUAAAUUAUAUAAUUUACUUAAGAAAAUUAUCCUAUUCUUAAAUCUUUUUUUUUUGUACAGUUAGUAACUUAUAAAUAAAACGUUUAGCAUUAUUUUAUAAUUUCUAUUUUUAUGAACAAUACACACAUAAUUUCUUUAUAUAUACAUAUACUUUCCUUAUAAUAAUCUUUUUAUAUUAUGAAACUCUUUAAAUUUAUAAAUUUGUUAUAAUUAUCUUUUUACAAUAUUUAAUUUGUUAAAACCAAAUUACUUUAUGGUGGUGAAAGAUUGAGGCAAACGAAGAGAAACUUGGUGUUGAUGAUGACACCAAUAUAUUGCCAUCUCUUAUCUUAUUUUACACCAAUUUACACCAAUAUAUUGUUUUAUAUAUCCACAAUAUAAAACAAUUUUUACAUUAUAAAGAUUGAGGCAAAUUAAGGAAUCUGACUAAUACAUAAGUUUCCUUCUUAUUAUAUAAAAUCCGACGAGAGAGAGAAGGAGAAAGAAAGAGGAGUUCGAACAAAAAUAAGAAAAAUCUAAUGAGAGAAACAUAGAGAUUUUUGAAACUUAGAAAGAAGAGAAAACGAAGAAACUAAUAAUAUGAGCCAAAAAAUGACAAAAGCCAUGUAGCAAAUAGAUAAUGUUUAGUCUGAUGUUAUUUUUUUAAUUUUUUCUAGUCUUAAGUUAUUUAGUGUAUAUUCUCUAAUUCCUUAUAAGGUUUUCUUUUUUUGUUGAGGAUAUUUCAUAUUAUCAAGUAAAGUUACAUGACAUGGAUAUAGACGGUCUCAUAUUUUCUCCUCUUUUAUUGUCACAAUUUUAUUAUGACGUCAAACUUUUCUAAACAAAAUAAUAUAUUUGCGUAUCUCAUACUAUAUGUUUACAUAUUAAUGUAUUAUACAUAUAUCGUUCAUAUAUUUACGUAACUAUAUAGUUUUAUCUUUUCUUAUUGUCAUAGUUUUGUUUCCAUAUUGCUCACAUUGAAAUUAUAAAGAUGUAACACACUCUUCUGAUGGAUGUAAAUAACUUAUUAAAAUUCAAUAAUACAACAUAUGAAUAUUUAUGACUUCAUAAUUUAUAAUAAACAAAGAAUUAUAUAAUUUUAUAAAUAGGCCAACAUUUAUAUUAGAUGAUUUAAUAAUUAGUAUAACAUAACUACAAAUAAUAUUUUAUAUUAUGCAUUAUGCUAAUAAAUCUAUAUUUAUAAAUAAUUAUGCUGCAUUUUCUAAAAUAUAUAUGUUUAUAAAAUUUUAGUUAAGCUUACAAAAAUAAAAUAAAAAUGUUAAGAAUGAUAAUCUCGACCGGCAACCCGUGCAACGCACGGGUCCAUAUCUAGUAUAUAUAUAAGAUAUCAAAAAAUUCUUAUCACUACAAGAAUAUUAGUUUUUAAUAGCAGUGAAGUAUAGCGUUUUAUGUAGUUAUGCUAUUAAUAAUUAACCUCUGAAUUUUAAAUAGCGUUUCCAAAAGUUGAAACGCUACGAUAAGUUGUCUAUAUGACAACUAAUACUCUCUUCCGAAUUGUUUUUAUUCUGAGUGUUUUUUACAAAGACAGGAUAUCAAAUACUAUAUCUAAAACGUUAUGGUAAGGUUAGCGGGAAAAAAGUGUGCCAAAAAUUUGGGAUAAAAAAUACCAAAAUCAAUUGAGUAAAAAUUAGGCUCCAAAUUGAAAAUUUUACGCAAAGUGGUCUUCCCCUUUUGCUCUGUGUUCUUCCCUUUUUUUGCUUAGGUGAUUAAAUUUCUUUUUUUCUUCAAUAAUUCUCUGAAAUUAGCUAUAGAGGAGUUUUUAACAAAAAAAAUUAGCUAUAGAGGAGGCCGCGGUGGAAACGUGGGUCCGAGCAUCUCUUUGCUUGCUCACUUGGUUCUCUAUCUAUCUCUCCCACACUUCGUUUUUCUCCAAAUCCAAAUCUACCCAAACCCUAAUUUUCAACUCUUCAACUUGAACCCCACCACCGCCUCUUUCUCUUUCAAAGACAUUCACCAUAUCCGCUUUGACGAUUCACCUUUCAGCACUUCCCUCGAGAGCUCAGAUCUCCGAUCUAGAGCAUUUCACUUCUUCUCCGCUCAAAAUCUGGAUAUUUUCGGCGAUAGGCAAUCCGGCCAAGUUGUUCGUUCUUAGAACGAUACUCAAAAAAUGAGUAAGCAAUCGAUCCAUUUGUUGACCUAGAAAAUUUCGGAUCUAUAAGUUGAAGUCAUUUUCUAGGUUAUCUAUUUUUCCGCCGAGUAGCCGCGCUUUCGGCUGAGAAGAUAAAAGGAGAGACGCCAUGGAAAGAAGUAAGUUUCUCGAUCUCUCUCGUGUGAGCUCAGUUAUGGUUUUGUGUUCUUCCACUUCCUCCAUUGAGUAAUUAACCUAAUGUUCCCCCUUUGGUGUGGUUAAUAAUUUGACAGAUCUAAUAUAGGAAAAAAUUUGGUGUAAAUAUUAAAUAACAAAUUUUAUCCUUCACUUCUUUAUUUAUUCUAAAACAUAAAUGAAAAGAGAGGAUUAAUGAGUUCAGUAGCGUACGCGCAGAGAUGUUGGUGGAUUUGGUUAAUCGGAGCGAAGCUUUGUACGGCUGAAGCUGCCGUGUCAACCAUGGAGGUUUCGGUCUUCGUUGGCUCUCCUGGAACUGUCUUCUCCAUUACACCAAUCAAUUAAUUCUCUUUUCUCUGCAAGUAACUAGCAGCAAGUGAAUAAGAGACCGUGCUUGUAUAGGUCUGGUCUUAAUACAUAGAAGUGAGCAUUUGCAUGGACUAUGACACAUGGCAAACAUUGAAGGUGUCACCGACUGUGCGUGGCUUAUUUGAGCUAGUCGAAAUGUUAUUAUGUGUCAAGAGAUUCGAAGCUGAUUUGGUGUAGAUUAAUAUGGUGAUACGUGUACACGAGAUUUUAUGGUGCAAGGUAGAAAAUUAUUGAAGGAUUGUGAUGCACGCAAAGACCAAACCCCUUAUGACAUCUGAGUUGGACAUGUUUGCUUAUGAAGCAAGUACACAAGUAUUGUCUAGGGUAUUCAGAAAAAGAGGAAAACUCAUAUUCGAGUCCAUAGCAAAUUCACCGAGCUUUAUGACCGGUGUGGUCUUGAAGCUCCGGAACGGUUGCACAACUUCUGGCCGGUCUGGACAUGUCUUCACUCUUCUGGUCAUAACUUCCGAAUGGCUUAUUGGAUUUCUAUGAUUCCACUUCGAAGCAAAUCUUGACUCUUUUAGCUUUCCAAAACCACCGAGAUCUCUUGAUUUUCUUAUAGGUAAGACCUCUAACGGACGCCAUACUUCUGACGUACAGAAACUGUCUUGAAACGGGUUUUGAUCGCCUUUUGAUCUUUAAUGCUCAAAAACUCUUAAAACCUUCUUGACUCCAUAAAUACUUGAAUAUCACCUUCUUGGCUCUGAAAUCACUCCAAAUUCUCUCUAAAACAUAAGAAAACAAUAGCAAAUAUGGGCGAAAAUCCCAUGUUAUCACCUCAUUCCGAGAUGCUAUAUCCCGUAGAGAUCAAUAACUUUAUUAUUUGCAUGUUUGCACCACCACCUAAUAUAUGAUGCUUCUGUUUGUUAGAUUGUUUGUCAGUUGAGACUGAGAGUAGUUUUUAUUGUUUUGGUGAGAGUAGAAUCGAAAGAGUCCGGCUAAGUUUGUGAAUGGUAGAUGUGCUAAUAGAAUAGAGAAUGAAACAAAGGAAACGAGUGCUUGCAAAAAGAUAAAAAGAGUGAUAGCUCUCCGGAAAAAAUUGUGAUGACGGAAAUUCGUAUACAUAUUGAAAAGAAUGCUAAAAAUAUGAAUUGUUAAAAAAAAAGUAUAGAUAUGCUUAUGAGUACACUUCUGUAUAGAAUCUUAUAUUUAGAAGUGCUACACUAACCAAUACAGUGAAUAUAGACGAAGAACAAUAGUGAAUUUGCGUAUACCACAUGAGAAAGUCGUCGAGGUUAGUCCCCAUACAACAAUAAAUAUAGGAAAGUGGUGGUUGUGGUGAGAGUUGAGGAACAUACAUGUAAGACCUUGUAAGGAAGCUCUCUUAGGAAGGAUGUCUAAGCAAUAUUGAUGUCUAUGGCUAAUGAGGUAACUUAUUGCGUGGUUCUUUUUUGAAACUUAGGUUGUAUAUUUCUUCAGUUGGAUGAUAUCUAACCAAGAAAAAGGUAUGAAGACUUGUGUUAAAAUUAUGGAAAUUUUUUUUUUUCUUAGAGUACCAAUUUCAAUCAAAAACAUGAAUUAGCAAGACGUAGAAAGGUAAUAAAUUGAAUUGAUGAGAUCAGUUUCCUUGCAUUAUGAAUAAUUGACGUCAUAAUUUAGGUAACAAAGAGGGUUGAUCUCCAUGUAAAAAAAUGAAAGAGAAAGAGCGAAAUACGGUUGGCACCAUAAGACAAACUUGGAUUAUCAAAUAUGGAAAGAAAAGUGAGAAAACAGUUAUGACAUGACCUCUUUAUGGCAACGUUUUGUUUAUAUGUAGCUGAAACUUGAUGGUGAGGUUUCUUACUUUGUUGGGAUGAGCCAUUAUUGUAUAAAAGAUGCUCUCAUGGUCUUUUUAAGAUAAGUGGGGUCAUUGUCAAAAUAUUAUAAUUGCUUUACUAAUAGCAAAACCUUUAAUAGUAUAAAACAAGUAACAGAUAAUGAUAUAUCAUAAUUGUAAUAUAUUUUAUACCAAAUUUUAUCUAAUAAAAUUUUUUUUCUUAUCAAAUCAAAAUUUUAAAUAACGUAAAUGAUACUAAAAAUAUAAAUAAGAACAUUUAUGUUAAAAAAUAAUAAAUAGUAAACAUUAUAGUAUUUUUGUAUUAGUAAGGUCAAUGUAUAACUACUUAAAUAAAUACUAAAACAAAAAAUAUAUUAAAUCAAUCGAUAACAACAAAUCCCCGCGUAGUGGGGGUUAAUAACCUAGUUAUAUCAAUUUAAAGGUUAUACCAAUAUUGCUGACAAUAUUGAUAUAAAAUUAACAUAAUCUUUGAUAAACGAAGCAACGGCUUUAUAGUGAAUUUUUUAAGUAAUUUUUUAAGCAAAAUUAAAAAUACCAUCACGAAUGAUCGUCUUAAUGAAAUUGAUAAAUGAUUUUUUUGUUCAAAAAAUUAAUAAUGUAACAAGUUCAAAAGGAUGUUAUCUUUUACCUACUAUAAUUUUAUUUUCAGCUUGAUUUCAAUGACAUAAAAAAAAACAACAGAUGAAAAAUGGUAAAGUAAACUAUAAAACUAAGGUAAUUAGAUUUUGUGUUAAGAAAAUAAUAACAAAGUUUAAUGGGCCUCUUUUUGUUUAUAUAUAUAUAUAUAGGGUGCAAAUGGUAGACUUAAAAUAAAAGGUUGAAAGAGUUGAAUGACCAUUCAUCUCAUUUUUUACCAUUUGAGAUGAAUAAGUUGGAAAAUUAAUUCAACCGAUUCAACCCAAAAAGUUGGAAAAAUGAAUCGAUUAUGGGUGCAAAUGGUAGACUUAAAAUAAAAGGUUGAAAGAGUUGAAUGACCAUUCAUCUCAUUUUUUACCAUUUGAGAAGAAUAAGUUGGAAAAUUAAUUCAACCCAUUCAACCCAAAAAUUUGGAAAAAUGAAUAGAUUAUAAAGCAAAAUUGUUCAACCCUUUCAACUACUAUUUCGCAGAGGAAUGAGUUGAAUGAUGUUCAACUUUUUUUGUUCAACUCAAAAAUUUUCAACCAUUCAUCUAUAUGUCAUCUAUUUGCUGAAGCAAAAUUGUUCAACCCUUUCAACUACUAUUUCGCAGAGGAAUGAGUUGAAUGAUGUUCAACUUUUUUUUGUUCAACUCAAAAUUUUCCAACCAUUCAUCUAUAUGUCAUCCAUUUGCAGCCAUAUAUAUAUAUAUAUAUAUAUAUAUAUAAUAAAAUUAAUUGGCCUAGUGUGGUAAUUUAAAAUUUUUAAUGGAUUAUAUUUGGAUAAAUAUUUGUAGGAGUUGAAGUCUUGGAUGAUUGUCAAAUGUGUUUAAUAUAUAAUCCAAGAUAGGCUUAUCCAAGCUUUUGGACUAUAUUUUUUCAAUUCAAAUGGACUUCAAAUUUGUGUUUGUGAGAGAAAUUUAUCUUAAAGAAGAGUGAAAAAGAAGAAGGUGAAAUCUCUAAGAAGACGGAAGAAGGUGAUGAUGAUAUCUGGAAGAAGAUGUUAGAAGAUGUAGAUGCUAUAUUGAAGAAGAUGGAAGAAGAUGAAGCAGCUGAAGCAUUGAAGAAGAUGAGAGAAGGAGAAGAAGCCAAAGCAAAGGUAAAACCAGAAGCCAUCAAAAUUUUUUACAAAGUUUUGAAAAUUGCCAAGGAGGUUAUCUUAUCAUCGCUUGAGCGGAGUAGCUCUGGCUAUCUGAAACAUUCCGAGUGGAAUGGAAGUCUUCAUUAUGCUAUGAAUAGAUAUUUUGAUGGCUUAUAUGAUCACUUGGCAAAGAAAUCAAUAGACGAUGAUCGUAAUAACACUAUUUUCUCGUUUGAGAUUGAGAGGGUGAAGUGUAUUAUAGUCCCCGCUUAUAGCAAAAUCAAUCUUCUCCUCUUCUCUGAAAAUGAGAAAGUGUACAAGUACUUGGAGCCGCCUGUGGAAUCUAAAAAACACUGGAAUUUGUUAGCAGAGGUGAAAAAGAAUGAUUUGGAGACGCCUGCUUACGGAAGAUUACUAUCUGUAAACACAUAAUCUUUGAUAAAAGAAGCAACAACUUUAUAGUGGAUUUUAACUAUUUAUGUUAAUUCAAUCAAUUUAAUUCAUGAUUCAUUUGACACUCAACCAAAUAAGAUUUAUAGUGGACAAGCUUGUAUAUAUAGAAAAAAGAGAAAUAAAAAUGGCGACAUAUUUAGAUAUGGUUUAUUUGUCAAAAAUAAAAGCGUUUGUAUUUAUAAAGAAGGUGAUGUUUAGGAUGGCAGUAGCUAAUUAGUCAUUGUGUUUAUAAGUAAUUGUCAUUUCGAAGUAGUUAGGUUCAUAUACCAACAUAAAAGUUUCUAAUUUAGGAUGAGAUUAGGAUCAUAGACAAAAGCGUGUAUGUGUAGCAGUAGUGUAUAAUUAGGUCCAAUUUGUUGUCCUAUGUACUAAUUGAGCACAUCCUAUAGAGAAAUGAUUGAACAAAUGAAUAUCUAUUGGUUUGCUCAACUUUAUAGCUUUUUUUAAAACGCUAUUUUAUUGUUAGAUAGCGCUUCCCGAGUGCUAUACUACAGUGGUAGAGGCAGAAUUUUUAGUCACGGGAGUCAUAAAUUUUCUAUAAAAAAAAUGCAGAAAGUAAUUGAAAAUAAAAAUAAAAAUACCAUCACGAAUGAUUGUCUUAACGAAAUUGAUAAGUGAUCUAGUUAUACCAAUUUAAAGGUUAUACCAACAUUGCUGAAAAAAUUGAUAUAAAAUUAACAUAAUCUUUGAUAAACGAAGCAACGGCUUUAUAAUGGAUUUUUAAAUAAUUUUUUAAGCAAAAUUAAAAUACCAUCACGAAUGAUCGUCUUAAUGAAAUUGAUAAAUGAUUUUUUUGUUCAAAAAAUUAAUAAUGUAACAAGUUCAAAAGGAUGUUAUCUUUUACAUACUGUAAUUUUAUUUUCAGCUUGAUUUCAAUGACAUAAAAAAAAAAAGAUGAAAAAUGGUAAAGUAAACUAUAAAACUAAGGUAAUUAGAUUUUAUGUUAAAAAAUAAUAACAAAGUUUAAUGGGCCUCUUUUUGUUUAUAUAUAUAUAUAAUAAAAUUAUUUGGCAUAGUUUGGUAAUUUAAAAUUUUUAAUGGGUUAUAUUUGGAUAAAUAUUUAAUGGGGGUCAAUAUUUUGGAAAGGAGGUCAAUUUUAAAAAAUAACAAAACCUAAACAAUUUUUUAAAAAGUCAUGAGUGUCAAUUGAUCACCAGAGUUUCAUGUGUCUCCCCCACUGCUAGAAUACCUUCUUUUUUUUUUGUAUGUAUGUAGUGUCUAGUUGUAGGAGUUGAAAUCUUGGAUGAUUGUCAAAUGUGUUUAAUUAAUAAUCGGCUUAUCCAAGCUUUUGGACUAUCUUUUUCCAAUCAAAGGGACUUCAAAUUUGAGAAAAUGGGUAGAAAAACUCUCACCUUUCCUAAAAACAUGUAAAAAACUCUCAACUUUUUUGUGGGUCUUUAAACCUUCACCGUUUUAUAAGUGGUCAAAUAAACCUAAUAUUAAUAAAUUCAACUUAAUUUUUUUAAAAUCGCUAUAUUAAACAAUAAACAAAACUAAUUUAAUUUAUGAUUAUUUUUUUUCAAAUUCGAGAUUGCAAUUUUUUCACAAUUUAGUUGAGAUUAGAUUAUUUUUGUUACCAUUAGAAGUUAUUUUAUAUAAACUACAAAAAUUUAUAGGAUAGCACAUUUGAUUUUUUUUUUGUUCGAGUUUUCAGGUUUUAGAUAAAAAUAUAGUUAAAUAAUGGUUAGUUAAAUAUAAUUUAUAUCAUAUUUUUAAUAUAUCGUUAUAUAUAUAUAUAUAUAUAUAUAUAUAUAUAUAUAUAUAUAUAUAUAGAAAUAUUAAUUGUUAGUAAAUCUUAUUUAGUUCGGCCAAUAAAAAUAUUUUGAUUUGGAAAUUCCUGUACUUUUCGUAGCAUUGGGGGUGAUUGGCACAAGGCUUUAAAGACUUUAAGGCUAUUCUAAAGUCUUCACAGUUUUUUUUUUACCAAUUAGGCUUUUUUUACUUUAAUUUUUUUAAAAGUUCUCAAAGCCUUGUUUUUUAUUUGAGAAAUUGUUAAAAAUGCCCCUUUUUCAAUACCCUUUUUCAAAAAUGCCCCCUUUGAGAGUCCAUUUUUAAGUUUGCCCUCUUUUAAUUUUUAAUGACUAUCUUACCCUUAUUUGAAACAAAAUUAGGUCCACAAAAUACAAAAUAUUUUUUGGCGGGAAAAGUGAUCCCGCAAUUUUCCCGCCAAAACACUUGUAAAAACCUUUAAAAUACUUUGUAAAAUUUUCCCGUAAAAAUUUUUUCCGCCAAAAAAUUUUCCCGCCAAAAAAUUUUUUUUGCGGGAAAAGUGAUUCCGCAAUUUUUUUGGCCCGAAAAAUUUUGGCGGGAAAAAUUUACAAGGUAUUUUAAAGGGUUUAUGGAAUAUUUACAAGUGUUUUGUAAAGCUUUACAAUGUAUUUUAAAAGGCAUUACAAGGUACUUAUACGGCAUUUAUAACUUGUAAAACCUUAUAAAAAACUUGCAAAACCUUAUAAAGUANNNNNNNNNNNNNNNNNNNNNNNNNNNNNNNNNNNNNNNNNNNNNNNNNNNNNNNNNNNNNNNNNNNNNNNNNNNNNNNNNNNNNNNNNNNNNNNNNNNNUCUGGGUAGGAGAACCGUGAAGCAUGUAACAAGAGGACAGAAUAGUGGUACGUGACGGAGGUAGAAGAUAGGGGCCAGAGACUGGGAAGACGGCGUCUAGCUCUGAUGGUGGCAGCGGCGAGAAGCGCGAGGAGUUGGGGUGAAAUUGUGCUGGGAGGCUAGGACUAAGAGAAUUUUAUAGGUCUGAGAAGAAAGGAAGAAAAAAUAAGGAAGAAUUUGUGGUUUAGUAACUCCAAGGCGUGCAACGCGCGGAGUCCAGGUCUUUAUAACUAAGGUUGAACCAAAUUUAAGGUCGCUUUUUUUUUGUAGAAAAAGAAGACAAAGAAGGAAAUAAAGAGGGUGACUCGCAAAUAAUGCCAUUUUUUCAAUGCUCCGUUUCAAAAAUGCCGCUUUUGGCGUCCAUUUUUAAAAAUACCCCCUUUUAUGUACAAAAUGACUUAAUGACCCUUCUUUUAUUUAAAGAUAUCAUAAAUAUAUAAGGAAAUAUAACACAAUUUUGUCCCGCCAAAAAAUAUUUUGUAUUUUGUGGACCUAAUUUUGUUAUAUUUCCUUAUAUAUUUAUGAUAUCUUUUAUUAAAAGAAGGGUAAUUUAGUCAUUUUGUACAUAAAAAGGGGUAUUUUUAAAAACGGACAGCCAAAGGGGGCAUUUUUGAAAAAGGGUAUUGAAAAAAUGGCAUUUUUGUGAGUCUCCCUUUUUAUUUCCUUCUUUGUUUUCCUUUUUCUUUUUAAAAAAAGGACCUUAAAUUUGGUUUGACAUUAGUUAUCUUGAUAUGGACCCGUGCGUUGCACGGGUUGCCGGUCGAAAUUAUCAUUCUUAAUAUUUUUAUUUUAUUUUUGUAAGCUUAAAUAAAAUUCUAUAAACAUAUAUAUUUUAGAAAAGGGAAAAAACACAUUUUUAACCUUCAAAGUGUUAUUGGGUAGCACUUUAAACCUCGAAAGAAUUUCACUAACAUUCUAAACCACCAAGAUAAUUUUUCUAACACUUUAAACCUCCAAACUAGCUUUGCUGUUUGUCUCGCCAUAAAAAAUGAUAGAAAAUUUAAUUUCUAUUUGUUUAAUAUACAUUUAUUUAAUUUAAUUUAAAUUUAAAUUAAUUUUAUUAUUACAACUAAUAAAAAUCUAAAAAAGAGACAAAAAAUUUUUUCACUUUCUUUGUUUACUCAUCGUUCGACCAUGAAAUUUCAAAAUUAAACCUCUGAAACUAUAGACUUAAGCAAAAGAGAAGUUUAUAGUAUAAUAAUAGAAACUAAAUAAUGUAGAAUAUGAGGUACAAGAAAAGGUUAAACAGAAUAAUAAAAACCAAAGAAUGUCGAAGUUCAAUCAGAAAGCGAAGCAUUCUUCGUAUCGGAGGAAUCUAUUUUUUUUCUUAGUAAUAGUAAAAUCAUAAUAAAUAAUAAAAUUUAUUAAAAUUUAAAUUAAAUUAAAAAAUUUACAUUAAACCAACAAAAAUUAAUUAUUCCAUCAUCUUUUAUGACGGUGCAAACAUGAAAGCUAGUUUGGAGCCUUGGAGGUUGAAAGUGUUAGUAAGAUUAUUUUGGUGGUUUAUAGUGUUAGUAGAAUUCUUUGGAGGUUUAAAGUGCUACUCAGUGAAACUUUGAGGAUUAAAAAUGUGAUUGCCCCUUUUAGAAAAUGCAGCAUAAUUAUUUCAAAAUAUAGAUUUAUUAGCAUAAUGCGCAAUAUAAAACAUUAUUUAUAGUUAUGUUAUACUAAUUAUUAAUUCAUCUAAUAUAAUGUUGGCCUAUUUAUAAAAUUAUAUAAUUUUUUGUUUAUUAUAAGUUAUGAAGUUAUAAAUGUUCAUAUGUUGUAUUAUUGAAUUUUAAUAAGUUAUUUACAUCCAUCGAAAGAGUGUGUUACAUCUUAUAAUUUCAAUGUGGGCAAGAUGGAAACAAAACUAUGAAAAUAAGAAAAGAUAAAAUUAUAUAGUUACGUAAACAUAUGAACGAUAUAUGUAUAAUAUGUAAACUUAAUUGUCUGAGUUACGUAAAUAUAGAUAUUUUUUUAGAAAAGUUUGACGUCAUAAUAAAAUUGUGACAAUAAAAGAAGAGAAAAUAUGAGACCGUAUACACCUAUGUCACGUAACUUUACUUGAUAAUAUGAAAUAUCCUCAAUAGAAAGAAACAACCUUAUAAGGAAUUAGAGAAUAUAUACUAAAUAACUUAAGACUAAAAAAAAUUUUAAAAAAAAUCAGACUAAACAUUAUCUAUUUGCUAUAUGGCUUUUGUCAUUUUAGGCCAUAUUACCAAUUUUUUAGUUUUUUCUUUUUUCUAAUUCUCAAAUCUCUAUGUAUCUCUCAUUAGAUUUCUCUUAUUUUUGCUCGAACUCCUCUUUCUUUCUUCUUCUCUCCCUCUGUCGGAUUUCUUCACCACCAUAUAUAUAUAUAUAUAUAUAUUUUUUUUUUCCGUAUCUCCAUAGCUCUCAUUCGUCGGCCAUCACUAUCGAGUCUCACUACUUUGACCUACCAACACAACUGAAUCUCACUAUUAUCACAAUCACCACCACCAUCAAUACCGAAUCUCGCUAAUUCUGAGUCACCACCUUUAUCACUAUUUACCGCCACCACCACCACCAAGCUUGAACCACCAUCAUCAACACCAACACCACUGUUACCGUCUCUUAUCCUCUUUUCCCAACUUCUCUUAUUACUCCACCUUAUAUAUUGGUGGUAAUUAUAUAUUGUUUAUGGCAAACUAAAACAAUAUAUUGGUGGUAAUUAUAUAAAUUGUAGUAAUUUUUUUUUACUUUUUGUAAUAUUGUUUUUUACUUAACUGUGUUUUUGUCCUCAAUUAUGAUUGUAGUAUUGUUAGAUUGUUUGUUUCAAUUUCUCUUUUCAUAUUUAAAUUAUCAAAGAUUCAUAUAUCAUCGUGUUUAUAAUUUUUUUAUUUUUAGUUUAACUGUUGUAUCUUUAAAUUAUUUAUUUUGGUUUCUAAAUUCAGUUUAAAUUAUAUCAGAUUUAUAAUAUAUCAUAGUUCUAAUGAUUUUAGGUAGCGACAUAUGUCAUGAUUUAAAUUAGAAAUUUACAUAAUUUAUAUCAAUUUUAUUUUCUAAUUAGAAAUAUGUGAUGAUUUUAAGCAAAGUUUUAUAUUGUUUAUUUGAAAUUCUUGAAUAUGUAAGAACCAUAUAUGCUUCUUCUUUGUUUUUGAUAUUUUGAAUUUAAUUAUACUAUUUUAAAAUUGUUUAUUUAAAUUUCUAUGCUCAUCUUUGAAAUAUAUAAGAUUCAUAUAUCAUCGUGCUUAUAUUUUUUUGAAAUUAUAAAUUUUAAUUGAUUGAUCAUAAAGUCAUUGCAAUCGAGUAUAUAGGAAUCGAACCCGCAACGUUAGUUUGGAAGGUUAAGGGAUUUAUUCGAUUUAUCAUCUUUAUGUUUUUAACGUGUCUAAUUAAAAACCACUUUGAUUUCAUUCGCCAACUUGAUGAUGAAUAUUUUUACUUUUAGUUCUUCAUAUAAGUAUACCAUGAGUUAUUGCUAUGUGAUAUAUUUUUCAUUCGAAUUAAUUUUAAAUUAAUAAUUUAAGUGGUUAAAGAAACAAUGCAACAGUUAAAAAGUAAAUAUUUUUUUUACUUUUGAAAGAAAAUUUCUACUUACAACGUUGUUAAUAAUUUUUUUGUUAAAUUUAAUUUUAAUUUUAAAAUAAUUAAACCCGUCCAUCGGACGGGUCCUUAUCUAGUACUUAUAUACAAUUAUUACAAAAUUUUAUAGCAUCAAAUGAAAAAUGUGAGGGACUCCGUGUUCCAUGUAUUUAACUUGGUAAAUUGAUGGUCUGAAAAUUCUACUUGUACGGACUUCCAUCUGAUCGACACCAAAAUCUGCAGUGGCAUUCUGGUUGUCCUUUACUGGGUUGUGUCGUCUUUGUUCUGCAAGUACCAACACCGUCGGCAGAUUUCUUCUUACAUAGAGAGGCACACAAUUCCGAGUCACAUGUUGAUGCACCUUUAGAAGCAUCUUUUAGAGCUUCAAAACAAGUCUUCGGCGCCUGUCCCAGUGUUUCCUUCACCAUCACCCCUACAAUAAUAAAUAUUUUAGACAUAAAAUGUCAAUUUCUAUUUUAAAAAUAUUUUUUUGUCAAGAUUAUAUUGAUGUUUGAAUAGUUUUUAGCUAAAAACUAAGGGUGCUAUGGUUUUGAAUUUAAUUAUACACUAUGUUCUCCUAGCUAACCAAUUAUAGUGUCUAAUUCAUUUACCAGACUCUCUAGAUGUAUCUUAUCAAAUAAAAAUAGAAAUUUAAGAAAACAAUUAUAAGGUAACUAUACAUAUAUCUUAUAUAAAACAAUUUUUUAAAAAUAUAGAAGAUAAUUAUAAGAAAACUAUAUGUAUCUAUUAAGUAAAAAAUAGAAAUUAAAAAUAUCAUUUACUAAUUCAAAUUUAAAGCUACUAAGUCUAAAAGAAAAAGAUUACUUUUUCCUUAAAAAUUAAAAAUGAUUUAGGAAAUUAUACAAUCUUAUUAUAUAAUAUAAUAAUUAAGGAAAUUUUAUGAUCAAUUAUUAAACCUAGAAGAAAAAGGAUUCUAAAUACUCACAUCUAUAUAAACAAAUAGAUAGCCUCCUAUGUUCUCACCAAACCAAAAAAAAUCUUAGGAAAUUAUACGUAUAUAUCUUGUAUAAAAAAUUAUAAAAAUCUAAAGAAGAUAAUUAUAAAGAAACUAGAUGUAUCUUAUUAAAUAAAAAUAGAAAUUUAAAAAAAAAAAUUAUAAGGCAGCUCUACAUAUAUAAAACAAUUUUAAAAGUAAAGAAGAUAAUUAUAAGGAAACUAUAUGUAUCCUAUUAAAUAAAAUAGAAAUUAGAAAAUUAUUUACUAAUUCUAAUUUAAAGCUACUAAAAAUUAAUUUUCAAGGAUUUAAAAUUUAUAUUUUUAGGUUUGGGUUGAUUAUUUUAGAUUUAAGGUAUAGUUUUAGGGGGUAGGGUUUAGUAUCUAGGGUUUAGGGUUUAGCUUUGAAUGUUAAAAGUUUAAUUUUUAGUUUUGUGGUAUUUUUGGGAAAACAAGAAAUUAAGAAAUUAAGUGGAACUUUUUGAAUAUUAAACUAAUAAUGAUUGUUUUGGAAAAUCAAAACUUAAGUGAGUUUUUUUUAUAUAGAAUUUUUCUAUAUUUUUGAGUGGUAAACUAUUAAAUUAUAUAUAUAUGUAAAUAAAAUGAUGUUUUGACCAGUGGGGUAUAUAUAAAAUAUUUUCUGAAAAAAUUGUGGAAUCAUAUUUUAGGCGAAACUGCAAAAUCAUGUUUUUUGAUAUUUCAAAAUAAUAAUUUUUGGUUUUUUUUUGUUUUUUGUCAACAAUUUGACAUUAAUAAAAAUGAUGAAUAUCUUGGCAAAAUUUUGGUGAUUGGUAAUUUAAAUUUCUUUUAUUAUAAUAAAUGUACCAACAAAUUUAAAAUAUAGAUAUGGAUAGAAGUGUAAUAAGGCAAAUGAUGAAUAUAUAAACAAAUCUUCUGUCUAAUUAAAAAUUUAGCUUCUUAUUUCUUAAAUAUAUUUUUCUAUUCUUAAUUAAAAAACUAAUAUUUAAUUUUAUUUAAAAUUUUAAAAACCCGCCCACCGGGCGGGUCCUAAUCUAGUGAAAAUAUGAUUGAGUGUUGAAAAUACAUUUUGAGUGGUAAACUAUUAAAUUUGUAAAAAAAUGUAAAUAAAAUGAUGGUUUGAUAUGUGGUUCGUAUUUUGAAUAUUUCAUGAAAAAGUUAUGGAAUCUUAUUUAGGCAAAAUUGCAAACCAUGUUUUUUGAGAUUUGACAAUAAUAAUAAUGAAUAUUUUAGCAACUAUUUUGGUGAUUGGUAAUUUAAAUUAACUUGAUUCUUAUAAUAAAUGCACUAAAAAUUUUAAAACAUAGAAAUGCAAAUAAGUGUAUUAAAGCAAAAAGAUGAAUCUAUAUAUAAACAACUUUUCUCUCUAAUUAAUAAGUUAUCUUCUUAUUUCUAAAAUAUAUAGGGAAAAUUGGACAAAAGGAUAUCCACUAAAUUUUGUCCAUAUAUACCUUUGUUAUUGGUUUAUUUGUUGGAUAAUUCCAACUUACUUGAGGAGCAAGUAAUCUCUUUCUAGAAGAUGCUAGAAGAGAUAGAAAAAAUCCUACCAAAAAAAAAAAGAGAUAGAAAAAAGGAAAAACAAGAAAAGUUAAUUAGGAUAAAGUUUUGGGAGAUUUCUUUUUCUUAAGGUUGUUAUUUUCUAUAUAAAUAGGAGUUCAUGGAGAUUUGUUCCAAAGGACAUUAGAGAGAGAGAUAAGGCUUUGGAGAGUUGUUCCAAAAGACCUAGAGAGAUUUAGUUUUGAGUAGUUUCUAAAUCAAUAAAGAAAGUUCGUUCUUUACUCUCUUGUUCUCGUACUGCUGAAUUACUUUCUGAAUCAUUCAGCGACUACGUCAGGGUAAGGUGAUCCUGAUUUGAUUUGGUAUCAGAGCUUAGUUUGAAGACUCUGGACGGUGGUACGUGACUCGUAAGCAAGUAUGGCAGGCGAGAAUCAACAACCACGUGCGAAGGACCUUGGAGUUCCAUCAAUUCAUUGUCCAAUGUUGACAUCGACAAACUACACGGUUUGGGCGAUGAAGAUGAAGGUACUUCUCCGAGUUAGUGAAUUAUGGGAUACAAUUGAUCCAGGAUCUGCUGAUCCAAAGAGGAACGAUGUGGCGAUGGCGCUUCUAUUCCAAUCAAUCCCCGAAUCUCUCAUACUUCAAAUCGGAGAACAGAAAACGGCGAAGAAGGUUUGGGAAGCUAUCAAGUCUUGACACCAAGGAGCAAAGCGGGUGAAGGAGGCGAGGCUUCAAACCCUAGUGGCCGAGUUAGAUCGGUUGAAGAUGAGUGAGACCGAUACAGUAGACGAUUUUGCGGGAAAGAUCUCAGGCAUCGCAGCUCAAUCAGCAUCUCUAGGAGAGACGAUCGAUGAAACAAAACUUGUGAAGAAGUUUUUGACGGGACUUCCAAGAACCAAGUUCAUUCAUAUUGUAGCAUCCCUUGAGCAAGUUCUUGACCUAAAGCAGACGGGGUUCGAAGACAUUGUUGGGAGGUUAAAGGCAUAUGAAGAACGUGUUGGGGAAGAAACUCAAAGUGAAUAUCAAGGAAAACUGAUGUUUUCAAACUCUAACCCUAAGCGUGGAGGCUACGGGAAUAAUAGAGGUGGUUAUAACAGAGGAGGUUUUAACCGUGGUGGAAGAUUCGGUGGUGACGGUUCCGGUGGAGGCAGGGGUCGAGGAAGGACCGGCUUGCAAGCUCAAGGAGGAGAAACCGGAGAUCAAAACCAGAAGAAGAAGGAUCUGUCCAAUAUUACUUGUUGGGUAUGCAACAAGAAGGGUCAUUAUUCAUCAAAAUCUCCCGACAAAGCAACCGGACGACAAGAGACUAACUUGCAUGAGACGCAAGAAGCUGGAGCACUUUAUGUUCACGAAGUGGUGUUCUUGAACGAGGAUAAAGUGUUCCCUAAGAACUACGAUACCAACAGUUGUUGGUGUCGGAUCCCACACGGGUGGUUCAGGACCAACCAAAAAUUGCCACAUAAACAGAAGAGAAGCCCACGAGGGAUAAGGCCCAUUAGACUCAAAAACUAAGGGUGGGAUCGAAGUGUCCGCACCGCAGAGGGAGAUCGAAAUGGUUGUAUCUCGGGAUGAGAACGGAAUCAAAGUCAUGGAUAGUUCGGCUCGAGAUUGUUUGGGCUGAGAGGCGAGGCCCAUGAAGAUCGGAGUCAAUUCAAAUUUGAACGUUUGAGCAUUAAACUCGAAGACUGAAACGGGCACAUUUAAGAGAGAAUAAUUAUAUUUAAUUAGGAGUUAAAUGUCAUUAGUGAGUAUAAAUAUAAGGGCCAAAUUCAUAGCUUUUGUGAAACAAUUUCUAUACUCAAGAAUAAUCAUUCUCACUAAAUAAAUAAAUACUUGAGUGUGUGAAUCCGACAUCCACAACAGUGGAAGUGUUUGGUACCUCGACAACGGAGCAAGCAACCAUAUGACGGGAAAGAAAGAGUUUUUCUCGAGUUUAGAUGAAAAGGUCAAAGGAAAAGUGAAGUUUGGUGAUGGCUCGUUUGUUGACAUUGUAGGGAAAGGAUCCAUUGUCUUUGUGGGCAAGACUGGUGAGAGAAGAUCCCUCAAAGAGAUCUACUACAUACCGGAUCUAAAACACAACAUUAUAAGUCUUGGACAAGCAACCGAAGGAGGAUGUGAAGUAUACAUGAAAGGAGACUCAUUGAUACUCAAUGAUCCUAGUGGAAGGCUGCUUGUAAGAGUCAUAAGAUCACCAAAUCGUCUGUACAAGACGCCAAUGGAGAUAAGAAAACCAACAUGUUUGCAAGCUGAAGGACUUGCUGAGGGACAUGCUGAGGGACUUGCUGAAGGACGAGCUGAAGGACUGACUGAAGGACAUGCUGAUGAAGCUACAAGAACAUGGCAUGCUCGGUUAGGUCAUGUAAGUUUUGGUGUUAUGAAUAAUAUGGUGAAGAAGAAUAUGGUCAUUGGAAUGCCGCAGGCUUUACACGAGAUGAGUGUAUGUGAUGCAUGCUUGGCCGGGAAACAAACGAGACACUCGUUCCCAACCAAAGCUACUUACCGUGCAGCUCAAGAAUUGGAGUUGAUUCACGGAGACUUGUGUGGACCAAUCUCACCUCCAAUACUGGCGAACAACAAGUAUGUGUUUGUGUUGAUAGAUGAUUUCUCAAGAUACAUGUGGACCAUGUUAUCGAAGGAGAAGAGUGAAGCUUUCGAUCGGUAAAAAGGUUUAAAGAGUUUGUAGAAAAGCAAGCCGGUUUGUCUAUCAAAACCUUUCGCACCGAUAGAGGAGGAGAGUUUACUUCAAGUGAGUUCAAUCAUUUUUGUCAAGAGAAUGGAGUCUCUAGGCAUCUAACUGCACCUUAUACGCCUCAACAAAACGGUGUGGUCGAAUGAAGAAAUCGAACUCUAAUGGAGAUGAAAAGAAGCUUGUUAAAAGCUAUGAUGAUUCCGAAUGACAUGUGGGGAGAAGCUGUACGUCAUUCAACCUACCUCAUCAAUAGAGUACCAACAAAAGCUUUGCAAGGGAAGACACCGUAUGAGAGUUUUUGGUCCAAGAAACCCAAUAUCGAGCACUUAAGGGUUUUUGGAUGUGUUGCUCACGUAAAGAUCACGGGACCGCAUCUGAAGAAGUUGGAUGAUAGGUCAAGAAGUGUGAUCAAUCUUGGAACAGAACCGGGUUCCAAGGCAUAUCGACUCUAUGAUCCAAGUACAAGGAAGGUAAUGGUAAGUAGAGAUGUGGUGUUUGAUGAGAAAAGAGCUUGGGAUUGGUCGCCUACAACUAAAGAAACCGGAGAACCUGGUAUGUUCAAGUUAUCUCAUGAAGGAGGUAUUGAAGAUGGAAACGGAUAUGAAGACAUUAACAAUGAUGAUCAUGAUCCGGAUCAAGAACCUGAAGAAGUUCAGGAAGUAGUAUAGGAAGUUGUACAGGUUGCUCAAGGCGGAAAUCAAGAAGCUCAAAAUCAACAAAUCAUGACAAGAUCUGGUCGUGUGGUUAACAAACCAAGGUAUCUUGAUGAUUAUGUGUUACUAGCUGAUCUAGAGUAUGAGAGGCUGUUGUUAACAAUUGAUGGAGAACCCAAAAAUCUCCUUGAAGCCAUCAAAUUGCAAGAAUGGGUAGAAGCAAUGGAAGCGGAGUUGGAUUCUAUCACAAGAAACAAGACUUGGGAACUUGUUGAGAAACCAGAUGGCGUGAAACCUAUAGGGUUAAAGUGGAUCUACAAGAUCAAGAGGAAGGCCGAUGGUUCGGUGAAUAAGUAUAAAGCAAGGCUUGUAACAAAAGGUUAUGUACAACAACAAGGUAUAGAUUUCGAAGAGGCGUUUGCACCAGUGGCAAGGAUCGAAACUAUAUGGCUACUAAUAGCACUUGCAGCGACAAAGGGAUGGGAGAUACAUCACCUAGAUGUCAAGACAUCUUUCUUGAAUGGAGAUCUAAAUGAGGAAGUUUAUGUAAGCCAACCCGAAGGCUUCAUAAAGAAAGGAGAAGAGAACCGAGUGUAUCGACUUUACAAGGCAUUAUAUGGUCUACGUCAAGCACCUAGAGCCUGGAAUGUGAAGCUUGAUCACGUCUUAAAGAAGAUGAGCUUUAAGAGAUGCGUGAAGGAGUCCUCGGUGUACCUCAGAAAAACCGAGAAAUACCUAUUGAUUGUGGCAAUCUAUGUCGAUGACUUGUUUGUGACAGGAACUACAUGGAAAGUCAUUAAUCAGUUCAAGGAGGAUAUGUCAAGGGAGUUUGAGAUGUCGGAUCUUGGAAAGCUGACAUAUUAUCUUGGUAUUGAAGUAAUUCAAGGAGCGGAUGGGAUCCAAAUAAAACAAGAGGGAUAUGCUCAAGGAAUUCUUGUGGAUACUAAGAUGGAUGCUUGUAACUUGACUCAUGUGCCGAUGGAUUCAAGCUUGAAGAUCUCAAAAGCAGAGGAUGAGCAAGAGAUCAAUGCUACAAAGUAUAGAAGAGCCAUUGGAUGCUUGAGGUAUCUUCUACACACAAGACCCGAUAUGGCAUUUGCUGUGGGAGUUUUAAGCCGAUACAUGCAGAGUCCGAGGGUGAUGCAUGGAAAUGCUCUCAAACAUGUUCUAAGGUAUGUGAAAGGAACGACGAGCCUAGGCUUACACUUCAAGAGAGACGGGUCAACGAGAAUGAUCGGAUAUAGUGAUAGUAGUCACAAUAUCGACAUUGAUGAUGGUAGAAGUACUGCAGGGCAUGUCUUCUAUCUUGGUUCAUCUCCAAUCACAUGGACUUCACAAAAGCUACCGACCGUUGCAUUAUCGUCAUGUGAAGCAGACUUUAUGGCAGCUACGGAGGCAGCGAAGCAAGCCAUAUGGCUGAAGGAGUUGUUGAAGGAGAUUCUUUGUAUUGACGAGAAGGUCAUACUAAAGAUUGACAACAAGUCGGCUAUUGCUCUUACCAAGAAUCCGGUGUUUUAUGGAAGGAGUAAGCACAUACUCAAGAAGUAUCACUUCAUUCGAGAAUGCGUGGAGAAUGAGCAGAUUGAAGUUGAGCACGUUCCCGGAGAGGAACAGAAGGCAGACAUACUUACCAAGCCAUUGGCAAGAAUCAAAUUCAAAGACAUGAGGAGUCUAAUCGGAGUUGAAGAGAUCAAGCUUCCCGGAAUUCAAGUUGGAAUUAAGGGGGAGAAUGUUGGAUAAUUCCAACUUACUUGAGGAGCAAGUAAUCUCUUUCUAGAAGAUGCUAGAAGAGAUAGAAAAAAGGAAAAACAAGAAAAGUUAAUUAGGAUAAAGUUUUGGGAGAUUUUCUUUUCUUAAGGUUGUUAUUUUCUAUAUAAAUAGGAGUUCAUGGAGAGUUGUUACAAAGGACAUUAGAGAGAGAGAUAAGACUUUGGAGAGUUGUUCCAAAAGACCUAGAGAGAUUUAGUUUUGAGUAGUUUCUAAAUCAAUAAAGAAAGUUCGUUCUUUAAUCUCUUGUUCUCGUACUGCUGAAUUACUUUCUGAAUCAUUCAGCGACUACGUCAGGGUAAGGUGAUCCUGAUUUGAUUAUUGUCGUAGAUCAUGGACCGAAGAGUCAAGAUGAGAUUACUCAAUUAGAGAAUGUUUUGUUAGUUAACUAAUGGAUAUGGCUGAAAAUUGGUGUGAGAAUAUGGGAGGAAGUCAAAAGAUGAGAAUAAAGAAGUGAAACGAUUGUGUUUGAUGAUCAAUCAGUCUCAUAAUUUGGUCCAUUUUGCUUCGGUUUUGAAACACAAAGCUGCGACCUUUGCUCCCUUGGGCCUGGGCGUGCUUUCCCUUACAUCACCUUCUCUCUGUCUCUGUUCCACUUUAAUGACACAACUUGGCAAUUAUUUAUUCCAAUACCCUCUGUCCAAGCCUAACUCUAUGUUUUUUUUCCCGAGAGAUGGUCUACGAAUUAAAAAAAAAAAAAAAUCCAAGUCCUUUAUUAAGUCUUCGUGAAAAACCUUUAUUCAUUUGGAGGUUUGGUGAUUUUUUUUAAUUUCUAUUUUAGUUUUGUAAAGUCAAAUAGGAAGUUUUAUUUUUUUUUAAUAAAUUUUGAGAGAAAUGAGGGUAAACUUGGGUUUUGAAAUUUAUAAAACCUAUUUGACCAAUCUACAAAAAUAUGGUAUAUUCGGACAAAUUUUUAAGUAGAUAUUCUUUAUAUCCAAUUUUCCCAAAAAUAUUUUCUAUUCACAAUAAAUUUUUUUUGUUAAAUUUAAUUUUAUUUCAUAAAUUUAAACACGUACAUCGAACGGGUCCUAAUCUAGUAAUAAAUACAUCUCGAAUAAGAAAAUAAUAACUUAGAAAUAUUUAAAUUAUAUAUAGCAUAUCUAAUGUUUAAGAUGGAGUAUUACACUAAUUAAUAAUUAUGUAUUUUUAUCUAUUACAUAUAAUAGAUCCUUUUCUGUUUUUCACCGAACUUAAACCCUCCUAAACCCUACUAUUUUUUACUACAUACAUAAAUCUUUUAACUAAAACUUUGUUUACUAUACUAUGAUUUGUUCAAUGCUAUCUCACAAAUGUAAUCACAUUUGCAUAGUCAUGUCAAAAUUUGUUUUGCAAACAAACACAGGAAACAAAAUGACAUGAAAUGUUUAACUCACAGUCUGUACAUCCGGGUCCGGUUCUAGUUGAAAAUUAAUCAAUGGUCUGAGAGGGAGUGUUAGAAUCAGACUUUGAUUAAUACUCAAACUUGAUUAAAUGAUCAUUGAUUUGGUUUGGAAGGAAACAGAGAAGAGAAGAAGUGUUGAGAUGGAGAAGAAGAAGAAACGUCUAAGUGAGGAAGAAGUAGAAAAAGUUUGGGUUAUGGAGUAAAAGGAAACAAGGCCCACUAAGUAAACUAGGCCCAAACAUUAGUGGAUUAAGAGUAGGGUUAAUUACGGGCAGGCCCAACUUUUAAAUUUUUCUUUCAGGUUUUGACAAAGUGGGGAUUAGCUUUCAGCAUUUGACAAUUAUCUCAAUUUCUGACGAAAAUGCCCUUGUAGCCGAACCGGUGUACAGUGACAGCGAACGAAAUCGUCAGGCGAGUUGGUUACGUACACAGUAUCUCGUUAGCUACAGUUGAUUAGUUUUUUAAUAUUUCCAUCGGAUGUACAGUGUACACCGAACGAAUAAAACAAAUAAAAUAUGUUGUCACAAAUGUUUUAAAUGCUGAAAAAGUUGAGACAUGACUCAUUCCAACUGUAAUCAAUGCAAACUCAUCAUUACAUCUUAUUUUAAUCCUCUUAAAUCAAAUAAUCGUACUGUGUUUAGAUUUUGUAAAGAGAAAUAAGAAAAAACACAAACUUCCCCUAAAUAUCUAUGAAGGAAUGAGAUUGUGGCCAUUUUGAUCUUGUUGUUUAACAAAGUUUGCAGGCGAGAAAGCAAUGAAGUUGUAAAUAUAAAUUUUAGGUAUUACAUACACUUCAAUGAAAACAAAAUUGAUUUGGAUACAAAACUUCAGGAAAUUGAUCAUUUAUUCCCGUCUUCAUUCUAUAUUUGUUCUGUAAUAAAUGUUAAAUGAGGAGAUGCAAAGUCUUUUUUUAGUUGGAGUUAUAAAAGUUGUUCUCAGUUGCAUUUAAUGGGAUUCUCCUGAAUUUAUGAUGCAGGAUAUUAAUGGAGAUUCCAGUAUUUAUUAUGGUUGGUGAGUGGAUAAUAACAGAAGAACAAUGGAAAUUUGAACCUGAGAAAGGAAGCUAUGGUCGGUGUGUACGUGUUAGAGAAUACAUGAGAUACACGGAUUUGACACGUACAUUAUGUGAGGUUUUCAAUUUGAAGUACAAUGAAUGGCAGCCAAUAAUUAGUUACUGGAUGCCGGGAAAUAUGUCAAUUAUGAUAGAACGUACACGCCCUCCUGUCUACAUUGACAAUCAAAUGAGCUUGGAUACAUUCUUCCUGAUUCGUGUUGGGGAUCCAAGUGUCAACUUGUUUGUGUCGUUCAGUACAACUGUAGAUGCCACUACUAAUGCGGAUGUAGAUGAGCAAACUGACGUACAUGAUGAAAAAACAAAUGAAGAUGCAGAGGAUGACAGCGACGAAAACAUUGAAAUAGAUGACGAUGCCAGUGGUGGAUAUAGUGCGGGAAGUACCCUCGACCCUACUAUAGACGGCAGUGAAGGUAGUAGUGAAGAUUACAAUUACAACAAGUGGAAUGAUUUGAUUGUAGAAGAAUAUGGAGUUGGCCAUGUUGAGGAGGACGUUUGUGACACUCCACCGACCGUAGAACCGGCAGGGGAAUUCAGUCGUCUAUUGGAAGAUUACAAUUACAACAAGUGGAAUGAUUUGAUUGUAGAAGAAUAUGGAGUUGGCCAUGUUGAGGAGGACGUUUGUGACACUCCACCGACCGUAGAACCGGCAGGGGAAUUCAGUCGUCUAUUGGAAGAGUGUACGAACACAAGUAAACGUGUACGUACAAGAGAAGGAAGUGCGAAUUUGGGUGACACCCAGCCCACUGUGAAUUCAACCCGGACGUGUCAACAUGGAUUGCUCCAAUGUACGUACACUAGAGAAUGUGUACAAGACACAGGAUGCGAAGAUGAAUUUGUUACGUAUACGGAUACCGAUGUUAAUGGUAGAGACGAUGUCAAUGGAGAGAUUGGUGUGGAUUUGGAUAUCGGAGGUUCAGAAACUGGUGUCUUAAAUGAAACUGAUCUCCGUAUACAACCCUCGGUUGAGGCUUAUGAAGUGUAUAAUGGAUUUUCUUUAUUACAUAGUGGAGAGCCGGAGAUUCUUGAUAAUGAUGCUGCUCCAGUAUUUGAUGAUUUAGCCAAAGUUAGAUGUGAUUCUACAGAAGUUGAAAUUAAUACGACUGGUGAGACAUUGUAUGUGGGUAGUGUGUUUAUGAACAGGAAAGUCAUACAACAAACUAUGGCUUAUCUUGCACUCAAAGUUUGCUUUUGCUACAAGCAAACUCGGUCUGAUCCUAGAAGAUUGGAGAUGGUUUGUGUGGAUGAAAAUUGUCGGUGGCAUUUGUCUGCAAAGGUUGUCAAGAAUUCAGAAUGUUUCAAAAUCACAAGGUAUAAUUCCAUCCAUACAUGUGACAUCGACACUCGCAAGGGUUACGCUAAACAUGCUAACCAUAAACUUCUCGGAGAGGUAUUGAAGAGUAGAUACAGUUCUACGCAAGGAGGUCCGAGAGCUGUUGAUUUACCACAUUUGCUAUUAAAUGAUCUCAAUGUUCGGAUUUCAUAUGCUACAGCUUGGAGAGCUAAAGAGGUGGCAGUUGAAAAUGUAACGAGGCGAUGAUAUCAAAAGUUACAGGUUUUUACCAACUUAUUUGUAUCUUCUUAAAGCAGCUAAUCCUGGGACAAUAACACACCUCCACUCUACCCCUGAAGCUGAUGGUAAGCAGCGAUUUAAGUAUGUAUUUGUAGCUCUCGGGGCAUCCAUAAAAGGAGUUAAGUAUAUGCGGAAAGUAGUUGUCGUAGAUGGUACACAGCUAGUAGGUCGUUACAAAGGUGUCCUCCUAAUAACAUGUGCCCAAGACGGGAACUUCCAAAUAUUUCCAAUAGCUUUUGGUAUUGUUGAUGGGGAGACCGAUGCUUCAUGGAUUUGGUUCUUUGAUAAAUUAGCUGAGAUUGUUCCAGACAGUGAAGAUUUAAUGAUUGUCUCGGACAGGAAUUCUUCUAUUUACAAAGGACUCAGUGUUGUGUACCCGAAAGCUCAUCAUGGAGCAUGUGUAGUACACCUUGAGCGAAAUAUAUCCACGUAUUAUAGUAAGUAUGGUGUUUCGGGAUUAUUCUUCAGCGCCGCAAAAGCAUAUAGGGUGAGGGAUUUUGAUAAAUACUUUGCAGAGUUAAGGGGCAGAAGUGCUGGAUGCACAAAAUACUUGGAAGAAAUUGGAUUUGAGCAUUGGACAAGAGCUCACUGCAAAGGGGAACGGUACAAUAUCAUGUCUAGCAACAACUCAGAGUCUAUGAAUAACGUCUUAACCAAAGCAAAAGCAUAUCCGAUUGUCUACAUGAUAGAGUUCAUUCGAGAGGUCCUUAUGCGGUGGUUCGCAGCUAGGCGGAAAAAAGUGGCUAAAUGUAAAUCUUUAGUGACGCCUGAGGUUGAUGAGCGUUUUCUCCAAGAUUUACCUGAGUCCGGGAAAUUCGCAGUGAAGAUGUCUGGACCCUGGAGUUAUCAAGUUACAAGCAAGUCUGGUGAGCAUUUCCAUGUCGUACUCGACGAGUGUACGUGUACGUGUCUUAGGUACACGAAGUUAAGAAUUCCAUGUGAACACGGUCUAGCAACUGCAAUAGAGUUUGGGAUUAAUCCGAAUAUUAUUGUUGGCUGGUGGUAUAGCAUUCAAACGUUUUCCGAUUCUUUUCAAGAACCGAUUCUACCUAUCGCGGAUCCAAAGGAUGUUGUCAUCCCUCAAAAUAUUUCAGAAAUUAUACUUAUUCCUCCUCACAGUAGACGACCACCCGGGAGACCAACCAGCAAAAGGAUACCUUCUAGGGGUGAAAACUGGGUAAGUUAUAUAAUUUUUCCUUGUACGUUAUUGACCAUAUCUAUGCUAUGUCUAUAUACAUGAUUUUCUUGUUUACUUUUGUUGUUUCUCACGUUCAGAAAAAAAGACAGAAAAGACUAAAUCCGAAUCUCUGCACAAGAUGUAGACAAGAAGGUCAUAACAAGAAGACUUGCAAAAAUCCAAUUUAGCUCUGUAGGUUUGUUUUUUUUUGGCAAAGUGUGGGCAGUGUACGUUUAUGUAUUUUUUGUGUAUCCAAGUUUAUUUCGUUGUACGUAUGCCUGUGUAUGUUUUCAGCUUCCCCGUGUACGUAUACUUUAUAAAUGAAACGGUUAUAGACGGUUACACAAGGGAAAAGGGAUUUUCAUAUCCGCAAUUUCUGGUCCGUGGAUUUUUAUACCUGCACAUUUUUUUAGUGUAUUUUUCAAAUCGAUUUCGCAUUUCCUCUUUUUCUUAUCGAUCAUUACAGAAACCCAAACACAAACAUCAUUCAUACAUAUAUAUUCUCAUACUUCAAAACACAUCAUUCUUUUAGUACAAAUCCACAUCAUGCAUUCACUACAAUACAUAUAGAUUCAAAAUAUAAACCUGAACAAGAAAAUCAACACCAAAGCAAACACCACGAUAUUCUGCAAGCUACGGAACUGAAUUUUCAACUCUGCAACUUCUUUUUCAAUCACAGCCUCACAGACACGCGUCUCCAUCGUCAGAUUCUCAAUCUCUGAUUCACACGCAUUGAAGCUUUUUUACAUUGUAAUCGAAGUUCCUUAUAAGUUAUCAACUUUCUCUAUCAAGUCUUGUAUCUCUUCCACCAUACAAGAAUCCGUCCAUUUGAACACAUGAUACCUAUUAUCCUGACAUACCAAGCUAAAUGCAUAUCUUAUAUGACACAAAAACACAUAUAGACAAUAAUUUCCAGAAUUUAGCCACUUACAUUGUCUCCAAAAGGACAAGCAUGAAACAAUCUGCCAGGAUUUCUAGCAGUUUUUGACGUCUUCAUCACUAUAGGUUCUCCGCACCGAUAAUUCUUAGGGAACCCUCUUAAUCGAUCACCCAUUUCACAACUACCCAGCAAAUUUCACCAAUUCAGUCUCAUUUCUUCAUUAAAAUCGAAGGUCGUGGAAGACAUGGUUACCUGCUAGCGAAAUGACGAUUUCUUCUGAUUCAAUUUCUCUUAACCUCUCUGUUCUGCGAUUUUCUCCCCUAUCUUCACUCUAAUUUCGGAGAAGCCGAAGAAGAAAUGAGAAAUCAGAUUCUCAAUUCGAAACCCUAGAAUUCUUAUUUUUCCCCCAAUUCAAAAAGGCGUCGUUUGAUUACUUUGAAAACCCAAAACUGUAAAGGUUUAUAAGUUAAAAUGAUUGUGACAUGUUCGAUGAAAGUUGUGGGAUCAAUUGGUAUAAGGUUCUGGAAGAGUCAAGAACGCACACGGGUUCGAAACCCCAAUUUUGCAUACAUUUUAAAACUUUUAGACCAAGUUGUGAAACGACGUCGUUUUACAAUACAAGUCAGCCCCAAUUUAUUUCCAAAUGUUGCACCUUUCCAACUAACCAUUGCUUGUUACCAAAUUUUAUUAUUUAAGCGCCAAUUUAUUUGCUUUGUUUCCACGUUCCUGCUAUCUCUCGAAAACACCAGUCAAAUCUCGAUUUAUAUCUGUCAAACACAAACUAUCACACCCCUUGUGCUUACAUUCCGUGUUAUCAUCAUGGACGGAUAUCAUACCAUUUCUGAAUUGUGUCCAAUGAUCACUGGGUGGACAAUUUGUGUCUUUGUCGUCCGAGUGUUUAAGAAGUUCGUUGCUCCUAACGUUUUCGAAAUCGGACUCAUCUUGGCAGAUGAAUCGGUAAUAUCCCCAUCUCCCCUAAUUUUUUACCAUCAUACAACCCAUUUGCUUAAAUCUUAUUUGCUUUUUCAUCAUAAUCUGCAGGGUUCCCGCUCACGCAUAGAGGCAACCAUUGACCGUCGUCUUGCUCCUUUUUACUUGGAUCGACCCAAAGAAAAUGAGUGGAAAAUUAUCACAUCAUUUUCUGUACGUAAAAAUGCAGACCCAGUGAAAGCAACAGCGCACGAGUACGGGAUCUGGUUUUUGGAUCGGACCGUUGUUACUAACGCAUUGCGAAGGGACCCAUUCAAUUUUUAUGAUUUCACCAAUUCGACUACAUUAUUCAAAAGACGGUUGAUAAAAAUGUGUUGGUCGGUGAGUAGUUUUACCUUAGACUUGAGUAUUUUUAAAUUUGUACUUAAUGUUUUGGCAAUAGUUACAUAAUAUCUUGGUUUAUACCCCAGAUGUGGUUGGUGCGCAUUUGGAGGUUGGUGGAAUCACCGAAGACUUUUACGGUGUGAAGCUUCCUUUCAAGAUCAAAGAUAGAUAGUACGUAUCUCUAUCCUUUGCAAAUAAAACUACUUCCUACUUUGCUGAUCAUGUUUAUCUUUCCCUCUACUUUAGCAACGAAGUUUUGGAAUGUGAAGCCCACAAUCAACAAGCUUUGGACUUCCAAAGUUACUUCCGCAAUUAUACUCGUCGCAAUAUUGUGGUAGCACUCGUUUGCUGGAGGGUAACCGGGAGAAAUAACCCGAAGCUUGUCAGUCAUGGCCCUGUAUAAAAGUUGUUUGCUGAUCCGGACAUCCCGGAAGUCCAAGAGAUAAAAACGGUGGUUUAUUAGUCCGAAGGCGUGCAUUUUGCUUUGAUUUUUUUUCGUAUUCUAAAAACAACUACAGUUUCUAUUUCUAUAAUCUAUUGUUGCUAUAACAACAAACAAAUAUUGUUGUUUUCUAGUUUGUUUUUCUCCCCAAACUUAAAAAUAUAUGGCCUAAUUUUUUUUUAAUUUUUGUUCCAUUAACAUAAAAUUCUUGACAAGUGUCCGUUCAUAAUGACUAAUUCCAGCAUUGUACGUACAUAUUAUAACAUUUUCGGAUUUUCCAUUUCCUGGAUGAGUACGAUAAUAUUAGUGUUCUCUACUAUGUACGUAUACAUAUUACGUACAACUACAAAACGUUUAAUUAUUCAUAUAUGUUUAAUUCAUAAAAGUAGAUUGCAUUCAUUCAUAACAACAGUCCUUAGAAAGGAAAAUAAAAAGCAUAGAAAUAAAACCUAAGGUUAACUUCAUUCAUUCAUAGCAAGACUCCUGGAAAGGGAAUUACAAAGCAUAGAAAUAAACAGACUAUUACGGUAGAGAUUCAUAAGAAAUAAAGUCAAGGUCACAGCGGAAGCAUAGUCAUAAGUGGGAAAAUUGCAUGCUUCUUCCUUCAUAACCAUCGCACCUCUAGUAGAAAAUGCAUAGUUCUCGAGCGUACCAAUAGAAAAAAAAAUUGCGGCAGGAAUGUCCGUAUGUGCAGCUUCCGAUACAUGGCGGACUGAUGACAAACCUCCAAGAUCUUUGCCACAGCGGAGGGCCUUGAAGAUGAAGUUGACUAAUGUGAUACAUCACCAACUCUCCCACGGCGGUUGCAGCCUGGAAAUUUUGUAUCAUUUCCCAGAACAUUGCAUUUCCCGGGAUGAACUCAGUGUAGCUGACCGUCGUUGUUAAGAACAAGGCAUGUGCGAAGCACACAUAUGGGUCGGCUGGAGAGACCGAACUGAGCAUCGUUAUACCAUGAGUGACGGUGAGGAAGUUGGUACAAAGCCUUACUCCUUCAAGGUAUUGCGCACACAAGGAUCCCGUCUCCAACAAGAUGUCGAAAUACGGUCGGAAAGGAGAAUCGGGCUGAAUGAAAUGCGGCCAAGUCAUAAACUCGUCCAUACAGAUGGAGUUGAUGUCAACGGCAUUCACCAGGUUCCUAAGGGUGUCGACUGGAGUCUGAGAUACAGGAAGGUAGUUUACUAGUAUACUGAUAGGGUUUGGGAGCAGGACCGCAAUAUACAUCUCGGUCGGAGGAGGAGUUGGGAGAGGCAUUUGUUUUUGAGAAUAUUAUAUCGGUUUUGAGUUUGAAAGAUUUGUGUGUAAAGAGACUUGAGGGCUUCAUUAUAUAUAGGGUUAUAACCAAGUAUGUGAAGGCAACAAGUUGAACUACUUCAAUGUGAUGUCACAUCACCUCUGGUUAACGAUACAUCUUUCGAAAUUAGGACAAAAGUAUAGGUACGUAUUUAAUGCUUUAUUGAAUGAGUCUAUCUCCUUCUAACAGUGUACAUUUAUAGCUCCACCGUGUACGUCUAUAUUUGGAACUAGUUGUUAGAAGCAUUUAGAAAUAUUAAAUAUGUUCAUUAUAUAAGUAAGACAAAAUGUAUUUAAUAACUACCCCGAAAGGGGUCAAAUCAAUAUAGGUAGAUCAUUAAUUGAUAAAUUUGCUACAAAUAAUCUACCUUAUAAGUGUGUACAUUUAAAACUAAACCAUGUACGUAUUGAAUAUGACAUUUUUUUCUUUUAUCUGGCAAAAUCUUUAAUCAAAGAUACAUUCCAUAUGUAGUAUACAAUGAAAUUAAUACCCUUUUUCAACUAUUUUAGAUAUUUGUGAAAGAGUGUAAACUCAUUCACAUUUAUAACAACAAGUACUAUAUUUAUGAAACUUUAAGCACACUACAAUAUAGAUAAUAACAUGUAAACAUCAAAGAUAAACUUAGAGGAGUUGGCUAAUUCUUCUAGCACACCACCAUAAAUAGCAAACGUUGCACACAUUUUUAAAGGGACCAGACCUGAUGUAACACAUCAUCGCGCAAGGCGGAGUGUUAAAUCCACGAAACUCAGGGUAAGAAAAUGUUGCACCAUAAGUGUUGUUGUAUGUAAGGCCAUAUUUUUUAAUCUCAUCUAGCAACUCCUCACACAUGUCUCGAGUUUCUUCUGACUGCAACGAGUAAUGGUUUCUCUCAAACAUUAGAAGAUACUCAGCGCCCAUGUACGCGUUACCGUCACAUAUGGAGAGGAUCGCACACGCAAGUAUUGCAUCAGCGUGAUUAGGCACAUUGCGUUGUAAUAGAACUAUAGCUCCCUUUAUGUCAGAUUCAUGUGUUAGAAGACGCAGUCCUUCAUGAUAGAUAGCUAUUGGAUUUCCAGCAUCUACACAUCUUUUGAAGAAAGGUCUAAAGCGACCUUCGGUGUGGAUGUCAUUUGGAUCAUGACCAGCUGCAUGGAAGUCAUCGGGAUCACUGCACAAACUGUAAAUAUUUGCAUCUUCGAGUACAUCGGGCCGGUAUACAAUGUCCCUUCCACGAGGGCCUGAUCUUAAGAGAGGCUGUAGGUACCUCCAACAUUUGUGAACCAUUAUCUUCACAAUCUUGGCUAGGACAUCGUCAGGUAUAUUUGGAUUUGACAUGUUUUGGAUUGAGGUGUGGAACUCCCCAUCAAUCUUAUCCACUUAAAUAGGCGAGGUGAAAGUUUUAGUUGGGAAGAUAAUAGUUGUAUUCAAUGAGAUUAGCAAUAAGUGUAGUUCCAAUACGUCAGCAAUGUCAAAUCAAUUAACUAUAUGUAACCUUAUCUAUUUUGAAUAAUUUUUUUUCUCCAAUACUAUAUACAUUUGUGGUAGCCAUAUAUGUUUAGUUUGUACGUACACAGAAAUUAAUUUUCAUACAUAUGUACGUACAUCAGAAUUUUUAGAUAUUAUGUUUGGAUCUUUAGAUUAAAACAUGAGAUACGUUCAAAAUACAUAAAAUAAGUUUAGAGUGCUAUAAACAUAAAAUAGCCUACACCGCAAGGCAGAAGUUUAGAGUGCUUGAAACAAAACAUAGCCCACACGCAAAGGCAAAAGUUGUUAAAAAACACAAAACCCUUAGAUAAAACAGAAGUUGUAAACGAUAUUAAUAACACCAGAUACACGGCCAUUAGGUCAGAGACCUUACACCAUGCUCGAAGAUGUCAACAGCGUACCCCUUACGAUAGUUGUCCAUAUCAACCUCUUCAAUGGUCUGCAACUCUUCCAUUGAGCGUCCAAGCAUCAGUAGCUCCAUAAACUUCAUCGAGAACGGACCGUAGUCUCCGGUACAAGGGUUCUGAGAAAUGCAGUCCACCCGAAAGUAUGUGAAAGAGUCGAGAGAGUACUUCUCACCUACAUAGUCCUUGCACACCGCUUUCAAUAGAUAAGGCAUCAUAGCCAGGAUGGGCUGCAUCCGAGUCUUCACAACAAUUUCCCGGGUUUUACUUACGAGGGGGUCAUAGAUAGUGACAUGCCGCAUCUUGAGGUGGAUGCUGAGACCAACCCAAUGCUCUUGUGACCAGUUCAAAGGGACGUAAAGGACGUCGACGUCCUUUAGCCACUUGAGCUUAGGUUGACGGUUAAUGCGUUCACCAUUUGCAAUUUCGUAGAGCAGUUCACCCCAAUUGAAACUCUCUUUUUUUUUACACCGACUGAAUUCAUUUGCACGCCGUGAGAGGUCGUACGUGAGUAAUGAAUCCAAAACAAUUGCCCGACUUUUCCUCAUAUGUUCUCCAUUCUUGUGCCACAUCAUGAGGGCGAUCAUUUCCAAGUGCUGAAAAUGUAAACACGACUAUGAUGUUGUGUACGUAUAACGUGUACGUAUAUCAAUACAUGUGUACGUAUAUCAACAAAUGUGGACAUAUACCAACAAUACGUACAUUAGAUUGAACCCAUUCACCAGGUUCUGCAAGGGUGGCGAAAAAACGGUUCUCUAGUUUUCGUAAUCCAAAACCUGUGUGGACCCUGAACGUCGGAGCAAACAAAACAUAGUUAAAUACAUGAUUUGCAUUUAAAGUGAAAAGAAAGAGUAUAUGAUAUUUUAUAAAGUUAGAGAUUCUUACACAUCUGGUCCAUUGAUGAUAUCAGUUAAAAGCUGGAAUUUUGCAUCGUUCACCUUCUCUAAUGGGUUGUAUGGUUCAUUUCCGGCCUUGACCAAAAACGCAGAGUUUGAUGAUGAUUCUUUCGUCUCAAUUAAUAUCUCGACAUCCUUGGAAUCAUCAGGAAUUUGACCAUCACUUCCUUCAACACAUGCAUCCUUCUUCGGUUCCUCCUACACCAAAAAAAAUGUCAAAUUAUUUUACGGUCAUAUUUAAAACCUUAAGGAUAUAUGUAUAUAAUUUAUUAACAACAGCCUCUAUAACUUACUUGAUUUUCCGUGGUAGAGGCGGUUAUAUCCUCUGUAUCCUCAAAAAUAACUCUUCGUUUAACAGAUUUCUUCUCUUUUACGGGGACAACAUCCUCAGGUUUUUGAGACUCACUUACUCCCACAUCAAAAUCAUUUUUUGUUUCCUCCUGAAAAAUAGAUAUAAUUACUAAAUCAAACAAAUAGAAAGCUUAUAUUGAAAUCAUUGCAUGAUAUGUAAAUAAUAUAUAUAGACUUACAAGAUUUUGAGGAACAGAUGCGGUUGUUCUAGCCUCAUCAACGAUAGUGUUUUUAUCCUCCUCCCAAAAUGAUAUAUGCUUUCACCAUUGGUUCAACCUUAUCGAAAUAACGUACACCACCAUCAGUUAUAUGUACGCAAUAACGCAUAUGUACGUACAUCAUGUGUAUAGAAAUUAUAAGUUAAUUUAAUAAACACAGUUACCUCGAUGACAUUGGUACCAGCAGUUACAUCAACAAAGGUUCCCAACUCUGUUAGUACCUGAUGAAAACAUAAUUUUUACUUUGUUGCGAUGUUACAUUAAUGAGGAACAAACUUAUUGUAUUAACAUAUAAGUAACUUACAGUUUAUACGAUUACAGAAGACGGUGAAGGCAUAGAACUAAGGUUGCCAUCAACGCCAAUAGCCCCUCCAGCAUUCCUCUGACCAGCAAUUGUAGGUUCAUCAGCCGGAGAAGCCUACAAUUGGUGCAUUACUCAUUAGUUAAGGGAUAGGUCAUUAUUAUAUGCCACUCAAAGUUUAACAUUGACUUGAUCAUACCUCCAAUUCGUCAGCUCCACGUUUUGGGGAACUAGGAGCAUUAAACAAUUCUUGAUCAUCUCCAACGUUGCUUUCCUCCUGAUUAAACAAUUCUUGAUCAUCUCCAACGUUGCUUUCCUCCUGAUGCAACAUGUCCUGAUCAUCUCCAGUUUUGGUUUCAUCCUCAGGCAAGACGUCCUCAUCAUCUCCAGUUUUGUGUUCCUCAGCAGGAAACACGUCUUUAUCAUCUUCAGAAAUGUCUGCCAUUUCAGUGUCAGACUUAUCUUGUUGUUUGGUAGCUGAAUCUAGCGGUCCUUUGUCAUAUUCACCACCAUCACAUAUGACUUCGUCCUGAAAUAAAGUAAAUAAACAUAUUUAUAGUUUAUGUACGUACAGUACUACACUCUGUGACUAUUUCUAGUACACGACAUACCUCGUCAGAAGGUCCACCAUAAUAAAGUCCAGCACUUUCAUUGUCAGACAUAUCUGCUUCUUUUCUAGCAGAUUCUGGGGCAGUUUUCUCUACAUCCUGUAACAUAAAAAACAUUAUCAUCGCAAACAUAAUGUAUGUACGUACAUUAUCUUCGCAAACAUAAUGUACGUACACGACAUACCUUCUCAGAAGGUGGAGGUACAUCAUCAACAUUGUUUUCUGAAGUAUUCAUUUUCUUCAGCCGAGGAGAUCUCCUUGUUCCAAUCUGAACAUUUCUGGAUUUUUUUACCAUUGGCUUGUCCACCUNNNNNNNNNNNNNNNNNNNNNNNNNNNNNNNNNNNNNNNNNNNNNNNNNNNNNNNNNNNNNNNNNNNNNNNNNNNNNNNNNNNNNNNNNNNNNNNNNNNNNNNNNNNNNNNNNNNNNNNNNNNNNNNNNNNNNNNNNNNNNNNNNNNNNNNNNNNNNNNNNNNNNNNNNNNNNNNNNNNNNNNNNNNNNNNNNNNNNNNNNNNNNNNNNNNNNNNNNNNNNNNNNNNNNNNNNNNNNNNNNNNNNNNNNNNNNNNNNNNNNNNNNNNNNNNNNNNNNNNNNNNNNNNNNNNNNNNNNNNNNNNNNNNNNNNNNNNNNNNNNNNNNNNNNNNNNNNNNNNNNNNNNNNNNNNNNNNNNNNNNNNNNNNNNNNNNNNNNAUUAGAGGAGUAUUUCAUAAAUGAGAAAAUCGUUUGUACUUAUGCUUACCUUUCUCUUCUGGCCGCAGCUGCUUUGGACAUUCAUCAUGACCUCCAACCCAUGUGUUUUCGGACCACUUGUGCCCAUCUAUCAGCUUGCUCAAAAUGUAAUCAACUCUAUGAUCCUCAACUUCCUUUUUCCAUACUAAGGAUUCAGGACAAUCAGUAUCCUCUGGAUCCACAAUAUAGGUGACAUCCACCUAUAAGAUUUUGUUUUUAACGUCUUAGUGAAUGUACGUAUUAAAUUAUCAUCCGAUGUACGUAUAUUAGAAAGCGUACACACCUGAUCUGCAGCUUCGCACUCCAAGAUACUGGAAGUCCGGAUUGGAUGCAUUUUGGCCAGAUUCUUGAUUGACCUCUGAGUGAAUAAGUUUACAUCUGCAGAAGAAGGAACUAGCUUACGAAGAGAUGGGAUAGUUUGGAAGGCAAAAAGCUGCAGCGCUAGUGGAAAGCCAUAGACCAUAUAAGACUGCUGCUUGCAACCAAUUAUCACAUCUUCUAUCUUUUUAGCGGAUUUGAAUCUGGAUAUCCUGUCCAGUGUACGGUUGAAAGCAAGCCUUCCCCAUGGGUAUUUGCAGAAGAAAUCAAGGUCUUUCGUCAUCUCAACUGUCUUUGAAACAGGUCGCACUCGCUGCUUCUGACAGAUUAGAACACCAUCAACAAUGAUUAUCAGCGCUAAUGCUAGUCUCUUCCAUCCUGGCAUUUUUUUCUCUGUCUUCAAGCUCACGACCAAAUCAUCAAUAGUUGGAGACUUAUCACCAAAUAGAGUCUUCCACACAGUAGUACAUCCCUUUUUCACCGUUACCACUUUCUCCACAGCUUUUUUUUUUGGAUAUUUCCCACACUCCAAACCGGUUAUCCGAUAAAAUUCUCUUAAUCCAAACCACAGUGGAUGACCACCAAAAACCAUCCACAUCUCAUAACAUUUUUUGGUCACUAACUGACGGCAAAUCAAGCCAAGAACUAGCUUGCCAGAAAAUGAUACCAUGUUAGGAGGGAUAUUAAAGAGCUCCCCAAAAGGAGAAGAUAGGAGAAAAGCCAUUUCUUCAGUUCCUUUAAGGGCUGUUGCAAUAUCAGCAAGGUACUCCGGUUUGGAAUACGCAUUGAUCUUCGUUUCAGUAGGGUGCUUAUCCAGAGCAAAAAGCCUCGGCGGUAACUCUUCACAUCCUUCACCAAUAUUACCUUCUUCAAUCGGAUCCAUGCUUCCUGCAAGUUAUGUGUAAUAGAAAUAUGUCAGUUUCUAAUAUCCAUAACUAAUUUAACAUACAAACACUAUAACGAAUAAACCCUAGUAGGCCAUAUACGCAUUUUUUUCAAAAUCACUUAAAGUAGAAAAAUUAAUAACUCCAAUUUCGCGUACGUACACAGAUUUGAACAUAAAUCUUCUCAAUUUUCUAUUUUGGCGCAAAAAUCGAUUUAGUUUGAAAACCCAGAAAUUAAAUCCUCGAUUCGAAAUCAGUAUCCCCAUAUUUGGGAUUCCUGAAUCCCCAUUCCCAAUUAAAUUUGAUUUCGGUUUUUACAGAUACUUACCCUGACUUGUGCUCUCGGGCUCCGGCGGGGACUCGGAAUCUCGAUUUCCUUCUCCGGUGAACUAUUCGCUUCACCCUUUUUUGAACUUUUCGCUACCUUCGCGCGGCGCCGAGUCUUCUUCUUCAAUAGAUUCUUUUUCUUCGCCGUCAUCUGUACUCCGUUAUCUUACUCGUCGGAAAUUUCUUUGCUUUUGGUCGUUUCGGCAAAACGGAAAGAUAAUGAGAGAUUUAAAGAGGAAUGGAAACGGAAUUCGCCGGAAUUUUUCCCCCUUUUGGUCGUUUCCAAGUAGAAGAAUCAAAAUGAGAUAUUAGAUUGAAGAAUGGAAACGGUUUGUACUCAGAUUUUUUCCUCCUCUUUCUCUUCGCUUUCUUCGCCGUUCUUCUUCUUUUUUUUUUUAAUUUAAAUUCAAAAAUAUUAACAAACCAAAUAAAACAAAAUCAGAGAAACCGAACCAGCACAGUAACGUCUCUAGUUGAGGGGCAUUUUCGUCAGAAAUCUGGCUAAAUGUCAAACCGUGAAACCCUUUCUCCACUUUGUCAAUUGGUGAGACAAAUGUCAAAAACUGUCCCUUUUUUGAAAAUUUCUUUUAAGAGUAUCGGGUAAACCUUAAAUUAUACCCUAAUGAUGACGUAUAUAUAUUAUGUGUUAUAUAUGUUGUGUUGUGUAAUAAUGUUGUUAGCAAGAAAAAAAAGAUCAAAAGGAUAAGAUUUUCCAGCGGCUGACUCAAAUCGAACAUUUAAGUCUACCUAAUUACUCUAUCGCAUCGCCUAGGGCUUGAUUGGUUCUCCCGCUAGCACCCUCCUAGCGGUUGCUAGCGGUUGGUUGCGGUUGUUAGCGGUUGUUACCAAUCAUGGAAACCGUUCCAUACCGUUUCGAACCGCUCGAAAUUGCUGAAUUUCAAAAGCUCCUUCCCGCAAGCGUUUGCGGUUGCGGGCGGUAGCGGUUGGAUUUAAAAAAAAAAAAUAAUUAAAAAAUAAAUCAAAUGUUUACUUAUAAUUAUUAUAAUAUAUAUUAAUCCUAUAUAUAUCUUUCAUCUUUCUAUCACGUUCUCAUAAGAAAACCCUAAUCAAUAUUCUCAAACCCUAUUCUCUCAAUUAUGUCUUCCACCCAAACUGAUGAAAAUCAAGAAUCAAACGUAAGUAUCAUAUAUCAUUUUAUUCAUUCAUCACUUCAUGUGCAACUCUUCGAAUAUUUUUCAUGACAUCGUUUUUUCUUUUCAUUAUGUAUUGGUUUGCUUGAUGAUUAAAUAUAUGUUUUGAUUUCUUUUCUCGAAUAGAAACUCACUUGGUCAGAUGAGAAACAAGCUGGAAAUUCUAGAGGCAAAAGUUAGAAUUAAUAACACUAGAGAAACAAGCUGGAAAUUCUAGAGGCAAAAGUUUGAGUGAGAAAGGAAAAGAAAACGUUCUCACAGAAUUUAAAAAACAAUUUCCACUAACCUUAAAUUGGAACAAAAUUAAGAACAGACUUGAUACUUUAAAGAAGCAAUACAAAGUCUAUCGUAAAAUCACGUUUGGGUCGACUGGGCUUGGAACUAAUCAAAGGACAGGAAGUCUUGAUGCCCCUGACCAUUGGUGGAAAGAUAAAAUUAAGGUACGUAACCACAUAGUUGUAUUUAUAUAUUAAUUUCUUGUUUUCUAUUCUUAUUUUGAUUGAAAUUUGUUUUUGGUUUAUAAGGCUUAUCCUGAAGCUGCUAAACUUUUUUUUUUUUUUUUUUUUUUUUUUUUUUUUUUUUUUUAAACUGCUAAACUUCGGUCGCACCCACUGCGGUUUAUACCACUUCUUGAUGUGGUCUUCCGAGAUGAAACUGUUGUGGUUGAGGAGUCAUGGCAACCAAGACGUGGUGUAUAUCGUCGUGCUCCAAUAAUGGACUUAAGUGACAAUGAAUGGGUAAACAAUAAUGGAGAAGACAAAAGAGAGGUACCUUCUUUUUCUUUUUGCUAAUUAAACGUGUUUCUAUUUCAAUUAUGAUAGUAGAUUUGGUUAAAUUUUGCUAAUGAUCAUGUUGAUUUUAGUUGUAAUUAUGUUUUAUUAUAUCUGUUUUAAGGUGAUAUUCAUGGCUUCCCAACCUAAUCUUUUGGCUUCCACUUCUAAAGUAAGUUAUUUUUAUGUUUAUGCAUAAUUUAUAAUUUACUGGAUUACAAUAUAUAGUUUAUUGAAAUAUAUUGAAAUAUUUCAGAAAUUUAUGUGGUCUGACGAGAUCACAUAUGCUUUACUUCAACAGGGUAUUGUGGAGAAACAAACGGAAGAAGCCAAAGAAGAACCCAAAAUCAGAUUUCUAAGUGGUGUUCAAAGAGAAAAUAUUCUUAAGAAUAUUAACGACCAGUUUGGAAUUGAUUUGAGUUGGAGCUGUGUUAAAAAUCGUUUGGAUACCUUGAAGAAAUUUUACAAUAUUUAUAAAGGAAAUCCAGAAAAUCCGCGAAUUCAACGUUAUUUGCAGUUUGUCCCAUUACUUGAUGCAAUUUUUGGUGUUAAACCAGAUGUAUAAGUACUAUCUUGUUACAAAAUUUCUUUAUUUUUUUAUAAUUAUUUAGUGCUUUAUUUAUGGUUUUAAUUAUUAAGAAUGUUCAAUUUUUCUAAUAUUAUCAUAAUAAUAUAUUGGUUUUUUAUUUCUUUUUUUUUGUAAUAUUUUUGAAUUUAUUUUGGUCAUUUUUUUAUUUAACUGAUACUGCACCCGCUGGUUUACCAGUCAUAAAACUCCCGCAAACGCAUCCAUUUUUAAAUGUUAAACCAGUCUUUUAAAACGCUUUGUAACGCUUAAAGCCGCAACCGCCCGCUUCCGCAAACUCCCGCAACCGCUACGUUUAAACCAGUCAAGCCCUUAGUAAGCAUAUAAAAAAUUGAACAUGAAGAGACUUUUGUGUUUACAAGCUAAGAUAAAAGAUGUGUCAAAUCUUAAAAGAGAGUUUUUCUCAACUAAUAUAAAAGAAUAGGUGUCAAACGAAAUUCUUUAUCAACAAACACUCAAAAAGCUAACUGGCUAACAUGUCUCGGCUAACAGGUGUCUCGCUAACUCUCACUGUUUGAUAUCAACAAGUUGAGAUCUCACCUGCAAUGGAAGAAACCAAAUACGUGUCACACAAGAAGAUAAAGUUUCCUCUACUAAGAAGACUAGGUGUCAAACAAAAUUCUUUACAACAAGCCCUCAAGAAGCUAACUGGCUAACAUGUGUCUAGCUAACUCUCACUGUUGUUUACAUCAUCAUGUUGAGAUCUCACCUGUAAUGGAAGAAUUCAGGUGGCUUCUUAUACCUUUCACUUGUAUCUGUAGAUUGCCGUCCUCUAAACACAGAAACUAUAACAGGUGUUUCGCUAACUCUCACUGUUUGAUAUCAACAAGUUGAGAUCUCACCUGCAAUGGAAGAAACCAAAUACGUGUCACACAUGAAGAUAAAGUUUCCUCUACUAAGCAGAAUAGGUGUCAAAAGAAAUUCUUUACAAUAAGCCCUCAAGAAGCUAACUGGCUAACAUGUGUCUAGCUAACUCUCACUGAUUUUUACAUCAACAAGUUGAGAUCUCACCUGUAAUGGAAGAAACCAGGUGGCUUCUUAUACCUUUCACUUGUAUCUGUAGAUUGCCGUCCUCUAAACACAGAAUCUUUCCUCAACAACUUGGUUAUUUCAGCAAACGAUGGGGGCUCCUCAGUCCAACACAUCUCCAUAAUCCCAACAAGUAUUGCACUGGCUUCUUUUGGAACUCGUUCCCUAAAAACUUCUAGAAAGGUUUCCAUGAUGUUUCGUGGCUGCUUCACAAAAUCAUUAGGUUUUCGAUCUUCCUCUUUAGCCUUAAGCUUUUUCUUCGCCUGUUCAAGGGCAAAGCUCAUUGGAGUCUAGAAACAACAGAACAAAAAAAGAACUUACGUUAGAAUAAAAUAAGUAUCAAACUAACAUAAUUAAAGAAUUUGACUUUUACCUCUGUUGUGAUGAGUUCCCACAAGAAUAUUCCAUAGCUAAACACGUCAGCUUUCAUAGACAAAGUAUAAAGUUUUUGAUUUCCCGUAACACCAUAUCCGGACACUUUAAUAACCUAGUCAAUGAAAAGGAAAACACAAAUCUCAAUGGUAAGUAAUAAAAGAUAAAAAUGUGUUUCUAACAAAAGACAAAAACAAAACAAAAGUCACCCUUACACCAUCUUUGCUCAUUAGAAGAUCCGAAGAUGUAAUAUCUCCAUGCAUAAUUUGAUGUGCAUGGAGAAAUUCCAUUCCACAUGCUAUAUCCAAAGCAAUAUGGAUCAAAGUAGAGUGAUCAAGUACCCUUUGGUCGUUGUGAAGAAUUUCGUGGAGUGACCUUGAUACGGGGCUCUAUAACCAUUAGAGAAAAACAUAUAUUAUAAGAAUAGACAGACGAAACAACAAUGAUAAAAGAACCACAAAACAUUAUUCUAAAGAAACAGAAUCAGUGAGAAUAUAUUACUAACCAAAUAUGAUCAAGUGAUUUAAGGGAUCAGAAUAUAUCCCGGAGAUUUUAAUCACAUUCUUAUGUGACAACCUUGCAAUCUCUCUGACUUUGCACACGUCUAAGCUUUUUAGAAAUUUGAUAGAAACUUCAUUGUUCCUAUACUUGCCUGUGAACCUACACAAAUACAGAGAAUAAAUAAAUAUGCCAAUUUAAGAAUAGAAAGAGAGUAAAAAGGUGACUUACAAAUCAUUCCCGAGUACCUUUUCAACUAGGAGGAAUGAUCUAUCAAUUACACAGACUGGUGUGCUUCAAUUGUUUUGUCAAUAGGUUGUUGGAAAGCUCGUGAUUCUUCUUCAAUCUAAAAAAGCAUCAAACAACAGACCUCAACCUUCAGAGAACAGUUAAACCCUAAUUAAGCCAGUCCUUGGAUGUAAAAAAAUCAUCAAACUUAAAUCAUUAAACCCGAUUCUCAGGGGACCCCUGAACCUAAUUAAGCCGAAGCUAAACUAGUUGAUGCUAAGUUCUGAGAAAAAAGGCUAACCAUUUCGUGAUGGAAAUCAGAUUUAAUUCCAUCUUCAUGUAAUCUUAGCGCAGCAAGCCGUUGCCUUUCUCGUUCGCAGGAAAAUUUGUCCAUUGUCGUCGUCGUGACUAUGUUGAAUCAAUGAGAGAGAUUGGAAACUGAAAACCCUAAAUCGGGUUUAAUCUUCGUACAAUUGUAGCGAGGCUAAUCCUUCCCGUUCUCGUUCGCAGGCAGAUUCCUCAAUUUUCGUCGUCAAAUUGAAUGAGAAAGUUGGGGAAACAAAAACCCUAAAUUUUGACGAGUGUGUAGCAGAACAAAUAACGGGAAAGAAGAUAAAUGUGGCUUACAAAAAUCUUAAAGACGUGAGCAAAUAUAUUAGGGCAAUAGGGCCUGUAAGUUCGAUAAAGUCGUUGAUUUCAUUUUAAUUUUACAUUUUACUAUUAAGAAUUUUUUCAAAAAAAAGGCAAAAUUAUGAAUUUUGUUUAAAAAUAAACAGAUCUUAGUAAUCUAGGCCAUACCGCUAUUUAGAAAAAGCUGCAAAACAGAGCCACCUGCUCCUGGAAAUAAGGAUAUUCAGCGUUAUCUGGAUGAUUUCAAGUUUAUCAAUCGUGCAGCCACACACUGGCUGAUUCUCUUGCAAAAGAAGCUAGACUUAAAAACUCACCUUAUGUUGUAUCUUGGCUAGGGCUGUAAACGGAGCGGAUAUCCGGUUUUUUUAGGAUAUCCGUAUCCGUAUCCGUAUUCGUAUUAUCCGCCAAUUUGGUAUCCGGAUCCGGAAUUCCGGAUAUCCGGUAUCCGGAUAUCCGUUAAAAAUCCGGAUAUCCGCGGAUAUCCGCGAAUAUCCGUAGACAUGCAAAAAAAAAAUAAAUCAUUUUUUCAUAUAAAAAUACUGUAUUUUCGUAUAAAAAUACCGUAUUUUCGUAUAAAAAUACUGUAUUUCGUAUAAAAAUACCGUAUUUUCGUAUAAAAAUACAAAAUAACCGGAUAUCCGUUAUCCGUUUUUAAAAUUAACAUUAUCCGUAUCCGUAUCCGUAUCCGGAAUAUCCGUUAUUUUAUUAUCCGUAUCCGUAUCCGUUUUCCCGGAUAUCCGUUUUUUCGGAUAAAAAAACGGAUAUGGAUACGGAUAUCCGCGGAUACCGGAUAAUAAUCUCAGGCCUAAUCUUGGCUUUGUUAAUCGUGUGCUUAAUCCUAUGUACUAAACUCUUUUUAUCUAAUAGAUAAAGUUGGCCGUCAAAAAAAUAAAAAAAAAAAAGUUACUACUGAAUACGCUGGGAAAAACGGUCUAUUUCCCCCCUAGAACUAUCGUAUCUGGCCAGAUAAAGCCCGAUCUUUGACCUCUGUCUAUAUACCCAUGAAACGGAAGUUAAAUGUUUAUUUCCCCACCAAUUGAAAGUUCGAGAGCUUAAUGUCCACGAAUCCUAAGUUCGAGAUUUAAAACCCCAUAGCGCUGGGUUUAAUUGGUUUACUGUAUACCAAACCGAUCCUUUAACCAAUUAAACCUAAUUAGAACCAGCAAUUUCAACUAAUUAACCACAAAUCCAACCCGACAAAACCAACCGACCCAACUUCUUCUUCUUCACCAAAUUUUUCCAGAGCUAAUAUCAUCGCUGGAACAUUCGACUCUAAUGGCGCAGCAAAUCGAAACCAAUGUGGACAGAACCAGCUCCUCCAAAUCUCCUCCUCUCUCUGUAUUGCCCACCAACGCCUCUCCGUCUUCCUAAACUCCAUCCCAUCGGUGGGAUCGAGUCGAGAAAUCUCUCUCCUCCGGCGAGCCGAUGCAAUUAGGAGAGGAAGAGAAUGGAGAGGCUGAGUUUCCAGAAGGAGCGGCGGUACGAUGAUUUGGGUGUAACGAUGGAUUAGGUGACGGCGUGAUUUGGGAUUCGGAAUUUUGAGUGGGGAUGAAAGCGGCGGUGCGUGAUUGUGACUGGAGAGGCCGAGAGGGAAUUGGUUCUUUCAUCGGCGCUGGUGAAGUUAGUGCCGUCGGAGAUGGUGGUGGUAAACGUGAUUGAGAUUCUAGAUUCGAUCAUCAAUAGCAUCGAAUCAAAUAAAUGUCUGACAUCGAAUCACAUACUUCAAAUUCGAUCUUCUCUUCUUCUAACAGUUCUUACUUAUUAGAUGACUAUAGCAGAGAAAGAGAGAACAGAAAAUUCCUAACUAUGGCUUUGCAAAGUAGUAAACUUCAUUUGUUUUUCUUCUUGAGAAAGAUAGUCAAUUUUAUCCACAUUUAUUCAACUAUUAAAGCUUCACCCAAUACAUUUAUAUUACCUCCGGUGGAGGCAUCGUUGCCGUAAAUUUCUUCUCUUUUUCUUCUUCUCCGGCAACAUGAUGCAAAAUUGGAUUUUGGGUUUGCUUGAAUUAAUUUAUUCGGUUAAGUGUUGGUUUUAGAUGGUUUAGUAUCGGUUUAGAUUUUUAACCGGGUUUCGUCUCGGGUUUACGCACUAAACCGACAAAACCAUGAUUCAUGGACAUUAAGCUCUCGAACUUUCAAUUGGUGGGGAAAUAAAAAUUUAACUUCCGUUUCAUGGGUAUAUAGACAGAGGCAGUGUUCUAAAAAGCGGUCUAGGCGGUCGCCUAGGCCCCGACUAGGCGCUAGGCUCUUAUGCGACGCCUAGAUAACCGCCUUGACCGCCUAAAAUUACACAGAUCUUGUUUAAUGUAUUUUUUAAAUUUUAAUUAGAGUUUUAUUUAUAUAUAUAGUUAUAAAUAUUCAUAUAUUGUUUAAUAUAAAUAUAAAUAAAUGUUUUAUCUAAUUUUUGUUUAUGAUUUCAUAAUUUUUAGUUUUAUAUAGAUAUUUUAUAUAACUUUUAUAUAUAAUAUCAUAUGUAUAAUAUUUUAUGUUAUAAACGUCUAAACCGCCUAAAAAAUCGCCUAGACCCCGAUUAGGCGUUCUAGGCGCUAGGCAUUGGGUCACCGCCCGCUUAACUUCCGUUUCAUGGGUAUAUAGACAGAGGUCAAAGAUCGGGCUUUAUCUGGCCAGAUACGAUAGUUUUCGGGGGACUUAUAUGGGUUUCUCGAGCCCAACAAAAUUGGUUACUAAAGCUCGGCCCAACACCAAAAGUAUUAGGAAGAGAUAUGAGAUCUUUUUCCCACCUUAUAAUCUUGUUACUCACUCCCACAGAGAAGCUGAUAAUUCUUUUGUAGUCUCUGCUCGUUUUAACGGCAAUGGCUUCCUCUCUCUCUGCGUUGCCUUUUUCUGAUCGAACUUUCCGUAAAAAGCCUUCUUCUUCGAAUUUCUUCCUUCGAGCAAGAGCUGCUGCAAAAGAAGUUCACUUUAACCGUGAUGGCUCUGUCACCAAGAAGCUUCAGGUUCUCUCGUUCUUCUUUCAGGCCUUUUUUUAUAGAAUUUUGUUUUCUUAUGAUGGAAAAUGGUGGUGAAGGCAGGUGCAGAUAUGGUCGCUAAGCUAUUAGGCGUGACAUUAGGUCCAAAGGGACGAAACGUAGUGUUGCAGAACAAGUACGGACCUCCCAAGAUUGUCAAUGACGGUGAAACUGUUCUUAAAGAGUUUUUUUUACUUACCUUUUAUAGCCACACGCUUCUGAUGAUGCUCAAUGAAAUGCCAAAACAUUCAUCAGUUUUUAUUGUGUGGUGUAGAUUGAAUUGGAGGACCCGUUAGAGAAUGUUGGCGUGAAACUUGUGAGGCAAGCGGGUGCUAAGACUAAUGACCUUGCGGGUGAUGGUUCCACUACAUCUAUAAUUCUUGCUCAUGGCCUUAUUACUGAAGGUAUUAAGGUAUACAUAAUUCCCACUAUGACCUAUUGGAUAAUGCAUCACCAUAUCAGCUUCUACUUUUGAACCCAUUUUUCUCAUCUUCAGGUGGUUUCUGCUGGAACAAAUCCCAUCCAAGUGGCCCGUGGUAUUGAGAGAACCGCAAAAGCUCUUGUUUUAGAGCUCAGGUCAAUGUCCAGAAAAAUUGUAUCAUACCUUGUUUAUAUGUUUACAGACAUGAUGACACAUGUUAUAAACUGGAAGAGAAUAUGAAACUAUCAUCAGGUACCUACAUAAAUACCGGGACACUACACUACAACCUCAACAGAUUAGACAUUUUGACAUAAAGGUAAUAUCUUCCAAUGAAAUUGAAACCAUCUAGGCUUCAGUCUACGAGAUUCUUAAGAGACAUUACGUGUCAGAUCAUCUACAGAUAACAAAAGGGAUCGUCCCUAGCUUAAACAUUCUGUAAAAUAGAGAAAAGCAAAACAGAGUCACAUGUUUAUGGGUGAGAGCUAGACUGAACAAAACACAAGUGAGAAACAGAGUACUGCAGCAAUAUCACCCGUUGUUAGUCCCAAGCUGAUACAAUUGUACUAUACAAAACUCUAGCGAGAAUCAUCACACAACCAGAUAAAUAUGAUACAUAAUCACAAGGUCCAUACUCAAUAGUCAAUACAAACCUGAACAUGACCGUGAUCAAUAACAAUUAAACAAGGGUUUAAGAGAAUCAUAGCAAUAUUCCAUGCCACGUCAGUAUUUUUAUAAUAUAAAUUUUCUUUUCUCGCCCAAGUGAAGGAAAAUAAAAAAGGAAAUCUCGUAAACAAAUACAAUAUAAUAAAAAGAAUUUCCUUUUACUUCACACCAAAAAUAAAAGUAAUUUCCUUUUACCGUGGCUGAGGUUUUGAUAUAAAACCUAAGGACCAUCAUGAUCAAAAUUUUCAAUAUCUUCAAAGCACUCAAGAGACUAAAAUCUUUUACAAGGUGUUUUUUUUCUGUUUUUUUGACUAAAGCUUCUGCGAUCAGUGUAGAAGAUAUAUAUACGAUGGCAACUCUUGAAGCUUCUUUCUACGCAGACAUUGACGAGUUAUCUGACAACGAAGUAGAUGCUGGAAAAGAGGAGGAGGAGGAUAUUGACGUGGACAUGGCAGUGUCAGAAACCCUUAACUAUGAUGAUCUCGAGAGCGUUUCUAAGCUACAGAAAACACAGAGAUACGCUGAUAUAAUGAAGAAAGUGGAACAGGCUCUCGAAGAGGUGAUAGGAACUGAUCCUGAAUACAAACUAAUCGUAGAUUGCAAUCAGCUGUCAGUUGAUAUUGAGAACGAGAUAGUCAUCGUCCACAACUUUAUCCGCGACAAGUACAGACGUAAGUUCCAAGAGCUUGAGUCGCUAAUACAUGACCCAAUCGAUUAUGCCCGUGUUGUGAAAAAAAUUGGCAAUGAGACAGAUUUAACCCUUGUUAAUCUGGAAGACCUUCUUCUUCUUAAACCAGCGACUAUUAUUUCUGUUUCACUUACUGCUUUAACCACGAAAGGGAAUCCAUUGCCAGAUGAUAUCCUACAAAAGACGUUAGACGCUUGUGAUCGGGCUCUUAAUCUUGAUUCCGCAAGGAAGAAGGUUCUUGACUUUCUUGAAAGUAAGAUGGGAUAUAUCGCACCAAAUCUUUCUGCCAUUGUCGGGAGCGCUGUUGCAGCCAAGCUCAUGGGAACUGCUGGAGGUUUAACGGCACUUGCAAAAAUGCCUGCCUGUAAUGUUCUAGUACUUGGCCACAAGAGGAAGAACCUUGACGGAUUCUCUACUGCAACGUCACAGUCUCGUGUGGGUUAUCUGGAGCAGACAGAGAUUGUCCAAAGCACGCCUCCUGGACUUCGAAUGCGCGCUAGCAGGCUCUUGGCUUCAAAAUCGACUUUGGCGGCAAGAGUUGACGCUACUAGAGGAGAUGCAUCUGGAACAAACGGGAAAGCUUUGAGGGAGCAAAUCCGCAAGAAUAUUGACAAGUGGCAAGAACGUCCUCCUGGAAAGCAACCUACGCCACUUCCUGUUCCUUAUUCUGAGCCUAAAAAGAAAAGGGGUGGUCGCCGUCUAAGAAAAACGAAAGAAAGGUAUCAAGUGACAGACAUAAGGAAGUUAGCCAAUAGGAUGGCGUUUGGUACACCCGAAGAGAGCUCUCUGGGUGAUGGAUAUGGUGAUGGAUAUGGACUGGGAGCAAGAGGCUGCGUGUUUCGAGCAAGCUGAAACUUAAUGCUAAGGUCACCAAAAAGCGUCAGAACACAGGUGGUGCCAGGUGGUGCCACUACCUCUGGUUUGAGGACAUCAAGUCUGGCUUUCACUCUUGUGCAGGGAAUAGAGUUGUGCAAUCCUCAAGCGAUAGGAUUAGGCAGUGGGAGUCAAAGCAGUUACUUCUCAGAGUCAGGAACUUUCUCCAAGUUCAAGAAGAUUUAAACUUGAAUAGGACAUCUCCAAUGAAUCUCUAUUUCUUACAAAGGUUGUGUAAAUGAAAACAGUGUUAAUUGUUUCUGUGAUCUCUUUAGCUAUCAUUCUUAUUACUAGAACAAGUUUUGAAAAUGGAACUGAGAGUGAUGCUCGACCCAAUAAGGAUCAUUGCUUUCUUUUAUUUGCAUUAUUAGUUUCAGUUCUCUAUCUGCUUAAAUGAUAGUCACUUGACACAACGUAGUGAAAUUUUAUUAAAGGAAUACUAAUCCAAAAUUCACUCAUGAGCUUACUUAGAUUAAGAAACCUAAAACGUUCUGAGGUUAAUGUGCACAAAAAGAAAAGUUUUAUUAUGUGUUGGAAAACUGAAAUACAAGGAGCAGAAGUUACCAAUCGCUCUCCCAGUCAAAAGUGUUGGUUAACACUUCAUGGCUAAUACGCGUGUUCCACCAAAUGCCACUGAAGAAAUUCAAUAAAGAUUCGAAGCAUGGUUAGUGACAACUUGUAUAUGAAUUUGAAAUACUCAAACUUUAACAGAUUCUAUCAGCACAGAGCAGAGCAUCAACAUUACACUCAUAAAUCACACAACAGAAGAAGACACACUAGUUCAUGUGAGCAUAACAUAAAAGACAGCCAUGAGAGCAAGAACUUACAGACAAGUCCUGUAUUAUCAAUGUUGUAUCGAUUAGAUAUUCAUUGAGAUAAUCCACUCUUUUGUCUGCAUAAUAAAUUUACAUAAACAGAGAUAUUAGAAGUGGCAAAUCUAUAGAACAUAAGAACCACUCCGUAAGCUUCUUAAACUGGAAACACUACAAAAAAAGUCCACAUUGAUAGCACUAGACGAUAGCGCAUUUUCCUGACCUGCUAUAAUAGAUGAGUUCGUGAUUUUGGUUACUUUUUAAUAGCACCUGAUAAAUGCUAAAACCAAAAAUCCUUAAGCGGGAAACAAAAAUGACCUAUUCCGCCAACACUUAGCAAAACUUUUCAUAAACAUUUCUUCCUUUUACCCAAAACGUAUUGAGAACUUCUCACAGACUUAGACCUAAAAAAAAUUGAUUCUCACAGACUUAGUGGUCUCCCUCUCUCAUCCUUUCGAUCUCACUGUUCUCACUCUAUCGCUACCAUUUCCAUCACUCUAUCGGUAACGAUGGGUCUAUCAACAAAUCUCCAUAGCCUCAACCUUCGAUUCCACUUUCUUCACCGGUCUCUGUUCUUUUCCAUCCUAAUCCCAUCUAAUUCAUCAAAAAAUUUCUCCUAUACGCGAAAUUCCCCUCCAUCAAAGCCCAAGUCUCCACUAAUUUUGAAAGGGGAUCUAGGGUUUUUCUGAUUUUGAUUGAAUUUUGAGUUUAUCAUUUCGUCUCUAACGAAAUUGGUAAUGCAGGUGGUAACGGAGGAGUCAAGAAGCCACAUCGUUACCGUCCUGGAACCAUCGCUGUUCGUGAGAUUCAUAAAUUUAGUGAAGAUGAGAUUAGAGCCGAGAAGAAUCCUCGCCCAUUUGAUGAAGAUGAUAUCGCUCUCGUAAAGAAUUAUGUAAGCGUUUCUUUGGAACCUUAUUUGAGUGGUGUUUCAGAUUUUGUCGAUUUUUACUCAAAUUUUCUAGGUUUGGUUUCUUGAAUGUGAUAGUUUCGUCUCUUUCCUCUAGAGUAAUUUCGAGCUAGAUUUGUUCUUAAUUGCCAUUUUAUGAGCAUGAAUUGUCUGUUUUGUUCAAUUUCAUGCUAUUUACUUACUUUGUUUUCUCAUGAGUUUCGAGCUAGAUUUUGUGCCUCACUGUUUGAAUAAUUCAAAGUUGAAACUUUCAUAAUAUGAGUCAUAUACUUUGUUGUAUCUUUUAGCUUGCUUGUCGGAUUUUGAAUUUCAGGUUUGAUUCAUUGAGUCAAUAGAUUAUUUUCUGUCAAAGCACUAUGUUAACAGGUUUAGUUCGCUCCUUUUGGAUCAAUACAUGUUUGGUUCCAGCUCUUUAAUGAUCGUGAGAGGUUUAGAUAUGAUGCAUAUUUUCAAUUACAAAACAUGAUGCAGGUUUUCACAAGAUGCAGGUUUUCACAAGAUGCAGGUCUUCACAUGUGUAGGUUUUAACAUUAUACAUAACGGUACCCACCAUCAAUACUUUGUUUAAUGGCUUAUGGUUGUGAUGCUAACGUUUUCUAUUAAAAAAAUAUGGAUGUCUUGAUUUAGCAGGGAUGAUCCGUUGAUGAUGUUUAUGUUUAGUCAGUAACUUCUACUAAUUUCAGAAAGUUUUUGUCACUAUGUGCAUGUCUCCUUUGGUCAUUGAUUCAUACGUGUGUUUUGGCCACAGUUUUGUCUAUUUGUUUGCGGUUUUCUUUUUGUCUAGUUCUUUCAAUAUCCAGAAGCCAAAAGAGAAGAGCUUCUUUUUAGAGCUAGAGCUUCCUAUAUCUAGUAUUCAUCUCUUUUUUUUAACCUCCUUAGUGUAUUUUGUGUUUUCAGUGUUCUCAUAAUUUCUGUGGAUCUGGUUGUUGUUGUUGUUGUUGUCUAGAAGUUCAAGUUGUGGAGACAUGUGACUGAGGCUAAGAAGAAACAUUCAGAGAAGUAAAACUCGUUUUGCCUUACCUUUGACUUGAAUGUAUUGUUUCUAUAUGUGAUAUUGUUUUUGUUUUUCAGGAAGGUGACGAAGUCUGAUGAACCUAAGCCAAAAAGACUUAGAAUAGCCAAGGAUACGAAGAAGAGCUCUUCUACCUUAAACAUGCCCAAACGACCUCUUACGGGCUUCUUUAUCUUCGUGUAAUGUUCAUCAUUUCACACUUACUUUUGUUGAUAGUUAGUUGUUUAGUCUUUGGGGAUUUUGCUGAUGUUGCCUUUCACUUUGCAGGAAUAUAUUCUGUCAUUUUUUUUGACGAGAGCAUCUAAGUUCUCUCAUUAAGGAUGUAAGACUUUAACUUAGCUGAUUGCUAUGCUUGACUCCUAUGUAAAGUGUUUAUGAGAUUUACCAAACUGUGUAUUUAUAUAUGAUUGUAGGUUGCAAAGAUCGGUGGUGGAAAGUGGACGUCUAUGACUGAGGAAUUGAGUUGCUUUAUUAUCUUGUUUCUUUGUUAGUUUCAUGGCGAUUUGUUUCUCUUUGUAGUUUAUCUCAUAAAUUAGUACUUUGUUGUGUAAGAGUAAUAGUUAGAUUUUUUUGUAUAAGACUUGUUAUAUAUGUUUUGUGUAAUGAUAAUUUUUGAUAAUAUUUUUGAUAAUUUAUGUAAUAAAAAGAAAUUAUAUAUAAAUCCAAUAAAAUAAAUAUUGCAAAACAGGGUUCAAAAAUGCAAAUUAAAUAAAAAUCAAAUUAAAUUUAUAUAGCGGAAAAAUAAUGUUACAACAUUUUAUAAAAUAACACUAAACGUGUGUUACAGUAAAAUAUAUUAUAGCAUUCGAUUAGCGCUUAAAUAUAUAGACAUUUAAUAACAUGCCAAAAAACGUUAUCGUAUGUGGGGGUCUACCAUAACAGGGGCCUAAAAUAGCAUUUAUGAAAACGCUAUCAAUGACAUAUUAUAGUUUUUCUCUCAUGUUAAUAAUGUAGAUAUUUCUUGUAGUGAAAGUAUGUAAAAAACGAUGCGAGAGAUUUUUACUACUCUAGACCGGCGAGUGGCUGAAGUACACAUAUCAACUCAUUCAAGGGUGAAGGGUCUUUGCUUGCUUGAGUCCGCUACUAAGCUCUCGGCAGCUUCCAUGCCAUCUAGGUGUAAAAGAAAUCAACACAUGAGUUAGUUAAAACAUCAAGAGAGUGUGUUACUACCAUCCGAAUCUAAAAUUUCCUCGCCGGAAUUGCUUCCAUCUUCAUUAUGAUUCUAGGACUCGGGAGUACUUUCCCUCAUUCAUCUUGUUGUUCAGUUAAGACUUUGAGAUGCGGAUUGAGAUGCAAUUUAAAGACAUUAAUUUGCAGGAAACUAUUUGCAACACCUUCUCAAAGUCGCUUUGAGGACAGCCAAUCAUUUAACACAGUACUCCUCAGUUUGAUAGGUUGUGAACAUAAAGAUAAACAGAUGUCACCGCUUGUAACAGGAACAUUUUUUACCAGCAGAUAACUGCACAAAUACAUCCACAUGACUUGAGCAAGUUGCAUCAUCUAAAAGAUCUUCUAAAAGAACAGAGUUUGCAAACACACUUCUCUGUUGCUAUUUUCAUGUUGCUUCUGCUCCCAUUUUAAAAACUUAAACACCAAAGAAUACUACUACUUAUGAACUCUAGCAGGAGAAUGUUGCAACGUAAGAAACAUAAAAUAGAUCACAUUUAGAACUGAUCCUGUUCAAGUAAGGUCGUAUUUUGCUUUCUUUAUUACAGAUUUACUGGUGUGUAUAACACCAAAAUAUUGAUCUUUUUAUAUUUUGCGUUAAAAUUCCAAAGAAUGAUCCUUUUGUGCUCCUUUUUCAGGCUUUCCUAUAACAUCAUGUUUUUAGUUCUCAUAAACCAAUCAUAUUUGUGCAUCAAAGCAAAUCCAAGAGAAACUGAUGCAGGAGGAAACUAUUUGCAACACGAAGAUCAGCUAAAAAAUUAAUGGGCACGUUUAAGGGAUGCAAUUCAUGAAUCAGUAAAAACUAAAAACAAUAAAAGUCAUAUCUCUUCACCAAAGCUCUCAAGAAUCUGUUUUCUUCAGCAUCCUGAACUUUCACAGUAUGUCAAAAUCUAAGUGCAUGCAGCAAAAAUUAAAAUAAGUUUAAUUUCAACUAGAAAAAAACUACGUCGAAUUUGAAAGAAGCAAGAAAGCAUUCACCUUCUCAAAAUCGGCUAUAGGCUUCUUUGAGGAAGGGUAUUUCUUUCUCUCCCAAGGGGAUUGAAUUCCGUUUGUAUAAAUUCCUAGCAAAGGAGUUAGUAAAGUGAGCUAGAGAUGUUAAUGAAGAAUGAGAGACUGACGCCAAAAACUAUCAUAACGAGAUUGAACCUUACCAUUUUUCUUUCUAUCAUCUAUGCCAUAGACCAUAGUAUAAUAAUACACUUCUCGAAGGCAUUUGAUCCCGACCUGUUCUUCUUGAUUCUUGAUAGAAAUUUUUAAUUUUGGAAUGUUAAAAUGGCAAACCAUAUUAACGUGUAUAUAGUCACAGUUUUGAUCCGGGCUCUGGAAUGUCCAGUUUAUAAUUCUAAUUAUGAUGUAAUCUCGGUUCAUUGUUGUUUAAUUUGUUGUUAUUGUAUAUAAACAUUGUAACAACCUUUUGAUCAUUCUAAUGAGAAAAUUUGGGUUUCAUCAAAACACUAAUAUGGUAUCAGAGCAAAUCUCUCUCAAAUUCUCUGAAAUUUUCUCGGAAUCUUCUCAUUUUCUUAUUUAUUUAUUCCGACAUAUUCCUUCUUAUUUAUACCCUAGAAAGUUAGUUAGUAGUCUCAUUAUAUACAGUAUACAAAAUAUAAUUUAAAAAAAAAAAACAAAUCAAAAAGAUUCAACAUGAGAAAGAGUCUUAGUUUCCAAUCUCCCAACGAAUGUUGAACUUUUUAGAGAUAGAAGAUGUCUUUAUUUCCAAAAUGUAUGUUUUGCGUUUUGCAUUCUUUUUGUCUAGAAAACCUAUUAAGAGUUUUGAGACCACAAAUGGUGGAAAAACACUAAGAUCAUAAUAAACACUUAUUAAAACAAUAGUAAAAGCGGAUAAAAAUCUUCCAGAAACAACAUCGGCCAGAUUUUUUAUUUCUUUCAGAAACAAAACAAUCUUUUUUUUUAUGGAAAAAUUUCUCGGUCAUUUUGGUUAUAAAAAUUUAAAAACGGUUGAUCCUAUCGGUUGUAGUGGCGGUUUAGCUCUUUAUUAUAACAAUGAUUUUAAUGUUUCUAUUGUUUAUGAAAGUAAUCGGUUAAUUGAUGUGAAAGUUGUGGUAAAAGGGAAAACAAUUCAUCUUACUUUUGUUUAUGGUGACCCGGUUCCAAAAAAUAGAGAUCAAGUUUGGGAACGGUUAACGCGGAUUGGUUUGACUAGGGAUACACCCUGGUUUUUAAUUGGUGAUUUUAAUGAGUUAACCGGAAAUCAUGAGAAAAGAGGUGGUACUCUAAGACAUGCAUCUUCGUUUAUCCCUUUUAAUUUUAUGAUUCAAAAUUGCGGCCUUUUGGAAUUUCCAUACAUCGGAGACUGGUUGUCCUGGCGGGGUUGGCGGGAUAAAAAACCUAUACGGUGUCGUUUGCAUAGAGCUUUAGCGAAUGAAGAUUGGCAUGAAUUAUUCUACAACUCUUUCGUUUAAUAUUUACCAAUGGUUGCUUCCGACCAUUCACCGGUGGUAGCUACGCUAUUGGAUAAGAUACCACGUGGAAAACGAAUCUUUAGGUUUGAUAAGAGAUGGAUUGGAAAGGAUGGUUUAAUGGAGGCAAUUUCAAAUGGUUGGAAUUCGGAAUCUGAAUCAGGAGCAGGACAAUUCGUGGAAAAGUUGAAUAACUGUAGGCGGGCAAUUUCGCAAUGGAGGAGAGAACUAACUCCUUACGGGCGGCAAACAAUUGAGGAACUUAAAUCGGAAUUAUUUGUGGCACAGAGGGAUGACAGAAGAUCAAGGGAGGAGAUUACGGAAUUAACAUUACGGUUGAAAGAAGCUUAUCGAGAUGAGGAACUGUACUGGUAUCAAAAAAGUAGGUGCUCUUGGAUGAAACUAGGAGAUAAUAACUCAAAGUACUUUCAUGCUCUAACAAAACAGAGACGGGCAAGGAAUCGGAUUACUGGGUUGCAUAAUGCAAACGGGAUUUGGUCUGCGGAAGAUAAAGAUAUUCAAAAUAUAGCGGUCUCUUAUUUUAAGGAUUUGUUUACUACAACCAAGCCCGAGGCUUUUGAGGAGUCUCUGGCUGAAAUUCAAAGUCUGAUUACGGAUCAUGUUAAUAAUUUUCUAACGGCACCUGCUACGGAGAGUGAGGUGAGAACAGCUUUGUUUAUGAUACAUCCAGAGAAAUCGCCAGGGCCCGAUGCCAUGACAGCCUUAUUUUUCCAAAAGGCUUGGAUUACAAUUAAAUCAGAUCUUCUUGUUCUGGUUAAUUCUUUUUUAGAGGAUGGAAUUUUUGAUAAACGGUUAAAUACGACAAACAUUUGUCUGAUCCCAAAAACGGAAAGACCGACACGGAUGACGGAAUUAUGGCCUAUUAGUCUAUGUGAUGUGGGCUAUAAAAUUAUAUCGAAGAUUCUUUGUCAAAGACUUAAAACGGUUUUACCAAAACUGAUUUCGGAAACACAAUCAGCUUUUGUCGAAGGACGAUUGAUUUCGGAUAAUAUACUUAUUGCACAAGAGAUGUUUCAUGGGUUGAGGACUAACCCGACAUGUAAAGGAAAAUUCAUGGCCAUUAAAACUGAUAUGAGUAAAGCUUAUGACAGAGUAGAAUGGAUUUUCGUUGAGAAGGUUCUAAGAACAUUAGGUUUCUGUGAGAAAUGGAUUACCUGGAUAAUGUGGUGUAUUACAACAGUUCAAUAUAGAGUGCUCCUUAAUGGGCAACCUAGAGGACUAAUUGUACCAGAAAGGGGAUUACGACAAGGGGAUCCGCUUUCUCCUUAUUUAUUCAUCUUUUGUACAAAGGUACUAAUUGCGAAUAUUCGGAAAGCAGAAAGGGAAAAACUAAUUACGGGUAUUAAGAUAGCAAAUGCAAGCCCUUCGGUUUCACAUCUGUUAUUUGCGGAUGAUAGCUUAUUCUUUUGUAAGGCAAAUAAGGACCAAUGUGAGGUAAUAUUGGGGAUUUUAAAGAAAUAUGAAGCGGUCUCCGGACAGCAGAUUAAUUUUUUAAAAUCCUCGAUUCAGUUUGGACAUAAGGUAGAUGAGGAUAUCAAGGAGGAAAUCAAAUCGGGAAUCACUAAUAUCAGUGGGAUGGGUUCUUAUCUUGGUCUACCAGAGAGUUUGGGUGGAUCUAAAACAAAAAAUUUCUCUUUUGUCAAAGAUAGAUUGCAAACAAGAAUUAACGGAUGGUCGGCAAAAUUUCUAUCGAAAGGUGGGAAAGAAGUGAUGAUUAAAUCGGUAGCUGCAGCACUACCAACUUAUGUUAUGUCGUGCUUCAGACUUCCGAAAAAAAUUACUUCUAAACUUACUAGUGCGGUUGCUAAAUUUUGGUGGAGUUCAAAUGGAGAUGCACUUAAUGGCUUGGAACAAGUUGUGCAAUAGUAAAUCGGAAGGAGGGCUAGGCUUUCGGAAUGUAGACGAUUUUAAUUCAGCCCUAUUAGCUAAACAAUUAUGGCGGUUGAUUACGGUUCCAGAUUCCCUUUUUGCGAAGGUGUUUAAAGGGCGGUAUUUUCGGAAAUCCAAUCCCUUGGAAAAUAUUAAAUCAUACUCUCCAUCAUAUGGAUGGCGUAGUAUCUGUUUAGCUAGAUCUCUGGUUAAUAAAGGACUUAUUAAAAGGGUCGGAUCGGGGACAUCCAUCUCAGUUUGGGAGGAUCCCUGGAUUCCAGCUCAAUUCCCGAGACCAGCAAAGAGUAAUGGUUCACUUGUUGACCCAUUGUUAAAAGUAAACAAUCUUAUAGAUAGUCGGUCGAAUUUUUGGAAUAUUGCUCUCCUAGAGGAGAUCUUUGAUCCAGAAGAUAUCGCCAUCAUAAGUGCCUUACCGGUGGGUGCGCCAACUAAGGAGGAUACACUGGGUUGGCAUUUCACAAAAUCCGGAAAAUAUACAGUCAAAUCGGGAUAUCAUACCGCACGGUUAGGAAAUUUGGAGACAAAUUUCUCAUUGAUUGGUCCAGACAUCAAACCGUUAAAAGCACAUUCUUGGAAAGUGCAUUGUCCACCUAAGAUACGUCAUUUCUUAUGGCAAAUUUUAACGGGUUGUGUACCAGUUACGGAAAGUUUACGGAGAAGAGGAAUCGAUUGUGAUACAGGUUGUGCCAGAUGUGGCGAACCAGUGGAAACAAUCAAUCAUACACUCUUUCAGUGCCACCCGACACGACAAGUUUGGGCACUCUCAGAUUCCUACAUCAAUGAGAAUUUUUCCAACGGAGUCUAUCUUUGCGAAUUUGGACCAUUUAUUUUGGAGAAUACCUUCGGACUUUGACUCUUCAGCCUUUACAUGGAUUAUCUGGUAUAUAUGGAAAGCAAGGAAUGAAAAAAAAUUUGAAAAUAUUGAUAAAGAUCCAUUGGAGGUAUUACGGUUAGCGGAAAAAGAAGCACAAUUGUGGCAGUCUGCCCAAAUUGAGCUUCAUCAUGAAACGCAUGGUACUGUAGAAUUGGUAAAUCGGCCUCGAGUGGGGAAUACUUCACUUGACUCGAAUUAUUCAGGGUACCGUUGCUUUGUGGAUGGAUCGUGGAAAGAAAGUGAUAAGUUCUCCGGUACAGGAUGGUUCUGUACAUCAUCAAACGGAGAGCCGCCAACCAUGGGAGCUGCAAAUCUCCGUCGAAGUUUAUCUCCGUUACAUACCGAGUUCGAGGCCCUUCUCUGGGCGAUGAAGUGUAUGAUAGGUGCAGAUAAUCAAGAAGUAGAGUUCCUUACAGACUGUUCUGAUCUGGUUAAGAUGGUGUCUUCUCCAACCGAAUGGCCGGCGUUUUCAGUGUACUUGGAGGAAUUUCAGAGCGACAAGAAAGAAUUCUCAUCAUUCUAUUUAUCUUUAAUUUCUCGCAAUGCUAAUGUAAAAGCGGAUCAUCUGGCACAAAAAAUUCGUACAGAACCGCUUCAUAUCACAUUUGUAAACAACAUUCCACAGGAAUGGCUCUUUUGAGUUCUAAUUAAUUUCGGAUGACAAAAAAAAAAAAAAGCGGAUAAAAAUCAAUGUUAUUAGGGCUUUAUUUAAAUGGUAAAUAACUAAGCAAGAAUGACAGAUGAAAUAAAAAUAAAUAACAUGAUUUUUAAAAAAAAUGAUGUAUUUCUUUAAGCUUUAUUUAAAUGGUUUGAUUUCCAAAAGAUUCAACAUUAUAACUAAGCAAGAAUGACAGAUGAAAAAAAAAAAAGAAACAUGAUUUUUUCAAAAAUGAUGUAUUUCUUUAAUUUAUUCAUAUGAGAGCAUGUAUUUAUAUAUAAAAAAAUCGACCUACAAAAUGAAAAAAGAAAAGAAACUAUAGAGUCUGUAAACUUAUCUUAAGGUUUUUAACAAAAGAAAUCGUGUUAUUUUUUCAAAUAAUGUUUAUCUACUGUCUAAAAAAAAUAAACGCUAAUGAGAGCCACAGUUCUUUCAGCAUAAGAAUUUAAUUUUUGUUUAUUUUUAAAAUUAAACAUCAUUUAUUAUCUACUUAAACACGAUUUAACUAAUGAUAAAACAAUCACCAUAAUAUAUAUUGUUAAAUCAAUAAAAUAAAUUUAUUAGUAUUGCAUUGAAAGUUGAAACCAUCAUCUAAUAUGAAACAAAAAAAAAGUGUUCUAAAACAUUACUUAUGUUAUAAAACGGAUGAAAUAUAGAAAUAUAAAUGCAUGUCAUUAUUAUAUGAUGUGGUUUCGGGUAUAGAGGAUUACGGGCUUUGGCUCCGAACCUCUUCGUAUUCAAAAAACAAAAACAUCAUAAAAAUAAAAUAAAAUGCAUGUCAUUCUAAUAGACGUAGCAGAACAUUUUGCGUUUCAGAUUAUUGGCCUCAUUAAUGACAAGUAGGUUUUGGAAAUUACAGACACAAUAGAUUCUGGUUCGCUUUGGCAAUUACUAUGAAAACAAUCGACGAAACUUACAACGCAACACAUGAGCAUGAAGAAGUCAUAGAGGUAUUAAAUGGAUGGGUUUGACCCAUCAUGAAUAGUAUUUGUAGACCCAACAUGUUCUUGUCACACCAUGAUUGAAUUAGCUGGGUUGGCAAAAAACCAUUAAAUUUUCCGGGUCUAGUAGCGAUAUCAAAAAUCUAUGAACUUGAAAUACUAUUUGUUAUGAGCGCAAAUUUCGGAAUUUAUUGUAAUAAUGAGUGGUUGUGUUCCUACUAAUCACUCUAGCGAGUGUCGAAUAGUGGGCCGUGAUUCUUUCAGAUUACGACUUCGAUCGUUUCAUUUCAUUUGUAGAUGUAUAAGCCAAACUCAGACAACGUGCAUUUGUAUUAUACUACAACACUAUUUUCGGGAAAAAAAAAUGAAGAAAAAAAACAAAUUUAGAAAAAUUGAAAAUUUAUUUUAUAAAAUAAAAAAAUUGUUUUAUGUAUUUUACAAAUGCAUUUUCAAACUCAGAAAUUUGCAUUGAAUAAAAUACUUAAAUUUUUAUUAAAAUCAUAAUCCUGAGAUUUUUUUCUUUUUUAGAUUAGCAUCAAUCAUCGAUUUUUCAAAAACAUAGUUACAAACCAAUGCCGAUUAUUUCGUAGAUCAUUUGGCAGGAGUUUCCCGCAAUUCCACCACGAUUUUAUUCCCACCGGAAUCCAAAAGUUCAAGUGGUUCCAAUUGAAACAAAUUAGUUUGAACUAAAAAUGGAACUCUGGCACACUAAAGUCAGAAGGAUACAAUAUCCUUUCGUAAGAUUAUGAUCUUAUUACUAUUGCACAACUUUGCUUGGGUUAGAUUCUCAAAUUUUGAUUCAUUGGCUCCCUUAUUUAUUUAUUUUACCCCCGUUUGUAUUUCCAUGUUUUAAUGAUUCUAAUAUAGUUAUAACAUUUCCAUGCUAGUGUUUGUGGCUCUAAAAAGAUGGAGCAAGUUAAGAACAUGCCUAGUAUUUUUAUUGAGAUCUUGAUCUCUUAAACGAUCCAACUAAAAUUGAUCUAUCAACACAUGAUCAACUUUAAAAUAAUCUUAUAUUAUACAUAGUUUUGGUCUUUGGUACAUUGAUGAAUCCACAUGAAAAAAAUACAAACAAAUAAAAUAAAAAUUGAAAGAGUAAAUGAUAAUGAGACCUUUUUGCCCUGUCUCUUUGGCUUUGCAGAAUCCUUGAUAUGUGUAGUUUCCAUCUCAUGGACCCCUUUCAUGUCCUCUUCAACACGUUAUGUAAUAAUAACAAAUCUUCUGAGUCUUUUUGUCGUUAAUCUACUUAACAAUAUCGAUGUGAAACCAAAUUUGCACUGUAUUGAUUUUUGAAGAUUAGGUGAUCAGUGAUGUAUAUAGCAAUGCAACCGUUAUUAAUGCCUUAAUUUUGUGGGUCAUAAAAUUAAAAAGAAAAACAAAUUGAAGUUUUUUUGGGGACCAUGGAAUCAUAAUGCAUGUGCAAAGGCAUGUGCCUUUUGAUUCACUCAUCUAUCACAAAACAUACACUUAAAAGCCAGUCAAACUCAUAAAAAAAUUUCCUCCUUUGACUGGCUUUUCCAGUUGGUUUUUGGUUACUAAUUUAAUUAAUACUUCUAAAACACACAUCAUAAUCACAACAUAAAGCUAGACACAUGGCUCUAAGAGAGAUUAGAGAAAGUAAAUAGAGUUUCUAAAAUAGACAAAAUUGACAAAAAGCCAAGCUUUAGCAAAAACAUGAAUAAAUGAUGUGUUUUUUCAUAAGUGAUAUCAUAUAGAACCGAAUUUUAUCAAUGAAAAAUCACAUGAUAUUUGUUGAAAAACCAAACAAAAACCAAUGUAUUUACCAUUAGAUCAUUCAAAGAGAUAUAGGAAACAAAACAAAUAAUAAAAUAAACAAAAGAGAAAAAGACAAAUACACAUAAAAAAAUAUCCUAAGUUGUUUGACAAAAGAUGAUGAUGAACAUAGAAGAGUAGUGGUGUGACAUUACAAUACUAAUAAGAUUUAUCAAAAAGAUCAUCAACAAAUAUUUCAAGAACACCUAAAAGAUAAACACAUUGAUGAAAAGACAAAACUAAUUAUUAAUGUAUUUUUCUCGUUUAAGAACUUAUUAGAAACACAAAGAUCAAAGUUUUUAAUUUAUUCAGCUUCUGACAGACAACAAAGAAGGAAUUGCACCCAAGUUUGGAGUUGUGUUCUUGCUUGUAGAAUCUGAAAUUGUACGGCCUCUUUUACCAAACGAUGAAGAAGAACUAAAUGCUCUCAUUGGACUUGCAAAUGCCCAUCCCCAGCUUCUGUUCCUUCCUCCACCAUGACCCAUGUUAUGAUUAUGAUGAUGAUGUUCAGCUGAUGAUGAUGAUACCCAUGAUGAUGAAGAUGAAGAAGAAGACGAUGACGUCAUUAUCAUAAACCCACCAAAGAUCCCACCACAUCUCACCAUCUCUCUCACACCAUUACUAGGGUUACUACUAACCUUGUUACCUUUGUUAUUAUUACCUUCUCUCUGUGACUCAACUCUUCUCAAAGUACAAUCUCCAAACCCAUUAGUGAUCCUCUCAAAGAAAUCACCAGAGAAGCUUCUACUUCCACACCCAACAGAUCUAGAUCUUGACACUUUCCUCUCACUUGGUGUUACUUCAAUGUUAGGACUUCCAUCUUCUUCAACAAUCACAUCAAUACCGUUUCUGUUACUAUUACUCCCACCAACAACUCUCUUUGACAUUGAAGAAGAAGCUGACGAAGAAGACGAAGAUCCCACUGUUGUAGUCUCUGUCAACUCUGUUUUUAUCUCAAUCUGGCUUGUGGGUUGAUGAAAGUUUCCAACUUUUUUACUGCUUCCAUGGUGUUUUGAAGAGUAGAGAUGAAGAAACGACCAAAACCCAUUUCUCUUUCUCGGGCUCAAAUCUGAAUCUCCGUACGUUGUCUUCGUCGUCCUCGUAGAUUGACUUCUCUUGUAAACAAUAUUCGCCGUGGUUGCAGAAGAAGAAGCAGUAAGCAUCUUCUUCUUCUUCUUAGCUAACAAAAACGGAAGCUUGUUGUUGUUUGUUGCUCCGGAGACGGAGAGAGAGAGAGAAGCUGCAGAGGCAGUGGUUGUACUACCAACAGAGUCAGAUCUGAAGGAAGGAGAAGAAGAAGUUGAAGAAGAAGAGAGGUGUUUAGGAAGUGGGAAAGAUGAAGUUACAAGCUUUCCAAGCUUUUCUUGAAGACAAAAGGCACAGAUCCCACCUGGGUUUUUAGUAAAUGGAUGGUUUAUACAUUGCAUACCAUCACCCAUAUCUUGAUCUUUCACUUCCACCAUUGAUAACCAAAAACCAAAACUUACUUCCUCUGUUUCUGUGUGUGUGAGAUGAGAAAGCUUUGAGCUUUGAGUAUUAUUAUUUUGGUUCUCUGCUUUUGAGAGAGAGAAAGAGAGAUUGGUGGAGAAAGAGAGAAAUGAAGGAGAAGAGAAGAGAGUGGGUUGUGGCAGAGAGAGGGGUCGAGUUCCCAGAUGCACGUGGGAUACUGACUUGUUUGUGGCCUAUUUCUCUAAUGAGAGCUUUUUCUUUAUUUUUGUGUUUGUGUGUUUUGGGUUUAAUCUAUUUUCUAUAGCUCUUCAAAUCUUUUUUUUUUUUUUUUUGUCAUCUGAUUUAUAUAUAAAAACAUAAAAAGAUAUAUUUUGAGAUUAUAUACGCCGGCGGAAAUACUGAAUAUCCUCGGAAACCAAAGCCCAAAAGAGGGAAGCAUAAACCGGCGAACGACAUAAAUAUCUCCGGAAACUAGGCGAACUUAAAACACUGGAAAUACAAAGCAAAUAUAGCAACCCGACAACGCAAGAGAACGAAACCAUAAACUAAGAAAGAAGCAGAAGGUAAAAACCUUAAGAAAACCAAUAGACAAAAGAAUACAAGGAAACCACUUCUUCUGAAGUACCUGCGAUUGAGAUUUACCUAGGAUGCCCGCGGCCAAUCCUAAAAUAACAUCUACCUUCUCCUAUCACGAUGAGAGCUGAUCUCUCGAAACCAAGAAACAAAGACUUCAGAACCCGGCAAGCAAAACCUAUGAGUUGAGAGAACCUCGAGCACGCUUCCGAAUACGACUAUGACGACUGCCACGUCCAACAAUGUCUAACUAGAAAUCAUCAAAAGACAAUCUUAUCUAAACAAAUUCAGGAAAGCAAGACAAGGAGAGAGGCCCAAUCUCUCAAAUAUCACCGAUCUUUUUUUUAGCUCUUCAAAUCUUCUAAAAGGUUUUUUUUUUUUAAGACUAAUCUUUUUUGGUUUCUCAAUAAAAAUCAUGUUUGGGAUGGGACUAAAAAAGUUUAUGGUUUAGUGUGUAAAUGUAACCAUACAUCCACGUGGCUUUUUCUACUAUUUUGGUUUUCAUUAUUGUUAUUGAAUGCUCUUUGUUGCUGUAAAUCUCCGGACCUGCUACAGGCUAUAUAGCCAAAGCUAAACUAGCUACACUAGUAUUCAUGUAAAAGAAAUGUUCAGACGUGGAAUUUAUUUUUUCUUUUCUUUUUCUUUUUGAUAACUUAAUAAUGUAGGUUGAACAUUUUUCUUUUUUAAAAUCUUGAUACCCAAAUACAUUUCCACUUUUUAGAUGAUUAUUAUCUUAUGUGUAGGUAUGGACGUUCGGAUCUUCGGAUCGGAUUCCGAUCGGAUAUUUCGGUGUUCGGAUAUUUCGAAUUUAGAAAUUUAAGUUCCGUUCGAGUAUUUUACAAUUUCGGAUCAGAUUUAGAACUUAAUCGUUAGAGUUUUAAUUAAUUUAGUUUUAUUUUCUGUUUAAUAAUUUGGUAAUUUUUAUUAGUUUUCUCUUUUCACAUGGUUUUUAUUUGUUUAUUUGUUUUAUUAAUGUUAAAUUUGUUUCCUUUUUAAUAAUUCAAAUUUAUCUAUAUAAAGAAGUCCUAGAUAUUUGUAAAAAAGAUAUCUUAUAAUUAUUGUUUUUGUUGAUUUUCUCUUUUUUAGUUGAUUCUAGAAUUUCUUGUGUAUUAUAGAAUUUUAUCUUUCAAGUUCAUCAUCUGUAAACUUGUAUUUUUAUCUAGGUUAAGCGUAUGUUUUACCUAGAUUUUCUGAAUAUGUCACUUGGGUAACUUGUGUCAUUUGAAAUAUCUAACUGGUGUCAGAUAAUACUUUGUGGGCAUUUUACAUUUCCGGCUAAUUUUGAUCCUUGUACACCGUUGUAGUCCGAUGUUCCAUUUCUUAUUUUUUAAUUAGGAUUUUUUUAAUUAUAUAUUAAAUAAAUAAAAACUUAGUGCAUGUUGUAAAAAUAAUUUUUUUAUUUAGUUAUAUUACUCUCUAAAGUGCACCUUCACUCCAUUUCUCUUUUCGAUUCGUAAUUCAGUAAUUGACUCGAUCAGUAAAAUUGCUAUUGAUUGUGAAAAUCAAUACAUUACAAAUAUGGGCCGAACGGAGAAUCCAAUGGUGAUUAUUGCCCAGUUUGCAAUAAGGAUCGUUGGAUGGAUAAGAGGAGACUCCGAAAUUGUUUUGUCUUAUUCUAAAGAACAUAGGGAAAGAGAUGGGAAAGAUGUCACGCCACCUUGAGAGCACACUACCUACGAAGUACGAACUAUAUAUUUCCCAAUUGGGUGAACGACUUGUGUCCUCCCCCGUAAGUUUCAUAUAGUACCAUAACAACACAGAUUUCGGGUCUCGUCUCCAGUCCACACAAAACGAAAGUUAAACUCCAGUUUCCCCCUAAAUCGAAAGUUCUAGACCUCAGUCUCCAAAAUUUCAAAUUUCUUGGUUUAUCUUCGGUUUACUGUGCCGGUCACACCAUUAACCGCUUAACAUCGAAAUUAAACCGAAAUUACCCAGAAACCAACCCGAUUAUUAGAUCCAUUACACCCGAUAUUCCCCAAAUCAAACCCUAGAACCCUAAAAACGAAAAAUCCCCAAAUUGAACCUUAGAACCCUAGAAUCAAAAAAUCCCCAAAUUGAUGGAUUCGAAUGAGCUUGAUACGAAUGCUCUCGUCGUUCAUGCGGAGGCUACUGGAGUUGGUCCGCAAGAGGAAGGAGAUCCAGGAGAUAAUGGACCUGAUAAUGUACCCGAUGAUGAAGACCCAAGGGAGCGAGAUGCUUUUGAAAUCGAGAAGGCUGUAAUGGAGUUUAGAGACGAACCUUCGAUUCUACAUGAUGAGUAUCCAGACAGUGAGGAAGACGAAAAAGACGAAGCUGCUCGGGAGAGAAAACGAGACAACAUUAGAGGCGGAGGUGGGAAUUUGUACUAUCACCAGACAUUCUUCAGUGCCAUUGCUUUUAAAGAAGCUGUUCUCGACCAUGCUUUGAAGACAGGCUGCAACAUCGCAAAAUACAGGUAUGAUAAAACGAAGCUUGGAUUUAAAUGUGAUGGGGAUGGAUGUAUAUGGCGGAUAUACUGUGCAAUCACGAAGAAAUGUUCUAAGUGGAGAGUUAACGUGUACAAGGAUGUCCACACAUGUAAUCCGAAUGGAGAUUGUGAGAUGUUGAAGGUUCCUGUUAUUGCUAGGUUGUUUCUAGAUAGUAUUAGAGAUGAACCCGACUAUUUUCUUCCUAUGAAAAUUGAAGAAACCAUUAAAAGGAAAUGGAAGAUCACAGUUUCCAGGCCUCAAUGUCAAGCUGCAAGGAGAAAAGCAUUGAGAUGGAUAGAAGAGGAAAAUGAUAAUCAGUUUGCUAGGCUUCAAGACUAUGCUGAAGAGAUAAGAGACUCCAACAAAUAUUCAACUGUUGAAGUGCAGACUGUGACAAAUGAUGCAGGACAAGAGGUAUUUAAUAGGUUCUAUGUCUGUUUUAAUGCGAUUAGAGAACAUGGAAAGAGACUUGUAGGCCAUUGAUUGGAGUGGAUGGAACUUUUAUCAAAGGAAAGGUUAAAGGUCAGCUGCUGGUUGCUUUAGGUAGAGACGCUGAUAAUGCUAUAUACCCAAUAGCAUGGGGGUGUGUUCAAGUAGAAAACAUAGAGAAUUGGGUGUGGUUUGUGAGGAAGCUGAAAGAUGAUUUGGGACUAAUGGAUGGUGAUGGUUACAUCAUAGUGUCUGAUCGUCAAAAGGUAAUAAGCUUCAGAUUUCUUCACAUUUAAGCAUUUAUUAUUUCUGUUUCAUGACAUAAUAAGCUUCUGAUUUCUUUAUUUUACAGGGUUUGAUCCGAGCAGUUGAGCUAGAGCUACCAAAAGUAGAGCAUAGAAUGUGUGUGAGACACAUCUAUGGUAAUCUGAAGAAGAAUCAUGGAAAAGAUAAAGAGAUGAAGAAGUACAUUUGGGAUGUGGCAUGGAGCUACAAUGAGAGCAGCUUUGAAGCUCACAUGACUGAGCUUUACAACUACAAUGCGGCAGUUUGGCGUGAUGUUGUCAAGUCAAAACCAAGAACUUGGUGCAGGGCAUUCUACAAGCAAGGAAACUACUGUGAAGAUGUAGAGAAUAAUUCAACCGAGUCCUUCAACAACUCCAUUGUAAAGGCUAGAGACAAAGCAUUUGUGCCAAUGCUGGAGACCAUUAGGAGACUUGCAAUGGUCAGAAUCUUCAAGAGAUCUGUGGAAUCUAGUGACCAUAAUGGGAGAUGCACGCCAUAUGUUGGUAAGUUUCUUGCCAAGGAACACAAGAAAGCUUCAGAGAUGAAUAUAAGAAGAAGCACCAAUGACAUGUAUGAAGCUACCAGAGGAUUAGAUACUCAUAGGAUAAGCUUGACUGAUAGGACUUGUACUUAUCAGAAAUGGCAAGUCUGUGGCAUUCCUUGUGAGCAUGCUUAUGGAGUCAUCUUAGAGAAGAAGCUUGAGGUUGAGGACUAUGUGUGUCACUGGUUUCGGACAGCUAUGUGGCAGAAGAACUACAAGGACGGCCUGUGGAUGUCGGAUUCACACACUCAAGUAUUUUGUUAAGUGGGAAAGAUUAUUCUUGAGGGACAAAAAUGAACACGUAAGAACUUGUAAAUUGAUGCGAAAAUUGCUAUAUUAUUUCUCUCUUGAGAGGAAGAUCCCCUUUACAUGGCCAUUGGCCUCUAUAUUUAUACAUAGCUAAACGACAUUUAAAAUGAGUAAUUAAAUACAAUUAUUUCUUCUUAAAUGUGUCCGUUUUGAUUCUUCGGCUUUAAUGCUCAACGUUUGAAUUUGAGUUGACCCUGAUCUUCAUGGGCCUCGCCUCUUUUGGCCCAAGUGUCCUUGAACCGACUUACCCGUGUCUUCUACACCGAACUCGUGUCACAGUGAAGUCACUUCGGAUUCUCGAAAUGGUGACAACCACUUCGACCGUCCCUUCAGCUCACGGGUCCAAUGGGCUUCAUCCUUUAUGGGCCAUUAUCCUGAUUACGUGGCAAUCUUUGGUUGGUCUCGUACUUCUGGUGCGGGAUCCGACACCAACAAUUAGCCCCCCAAGUUCUUCGAAGUGUUAUUCCAAUUCGGAGGACUUUAAAUGCUCAAGUGGCCAAAGAUUGCGCUCGAGAAUCUUUCUGAUUUCCCGCCGAAAAUCUCAUCACUCCUUUAAUUUCGGCACUAGCCAUUUUUAACCGAGUGACAUCUGUCAUCAUUAUGACCGUAUAUUGAUUAAUUACUAUUAAAACGGGAAAAACCUUCCCACUUCCCACACGACUUUCGAGGCGGUUUCAUCAUUAGCUUGAGGUAACUUCUUUUCACCAUUACUCUCUUCUUUUACUUUCGUACUUUAAUCAAAACCUCUCUCUUCGUUCCUUCACCAAAACCCUUCUUCGCCGGAUCUUGAAUUUUUCUUUCUUACCAAUGACUUCCGAUUCCGAUAGACCCGAGUCUCCGUCUUUUGACGAGAGGCGUUCUAGUAACGACGAGUGCACCCGCCCUGGUGACAUUGCCGGUCCGUACUAUAGGUCCACUUGUACUCUUCAAUCCCUCGAGCGAUUGAGAGAGCUUUGCCGGAUUCCGCCGGAAAUUAUGGCGGAAGCACAAAUAGCUUCCCCCACAGAAUCUCCAGAAAACCAUCGCGAUGGUUACUUCUGUGUAUAUGAGAUUUAUUUCAAGGGUUGCGGGCUGACCUUUCCUCUUCCCGAAGCCCUAAUUUUAUACCUAGCGGCUCUUGAAAUCGCUCUUCCUCAAUUAACCCCCAAUCUUCUCCGUACUAUUCUUGGAAUUAUAACAAUCGCGGCGGAGGCCGGUUAUGUUAUCGGAGUUGCUGAACUUAAUGAGCUUCUGAGCGUGAGAAGUUCAUCGAAGAAAACGGGAUAUUUCUCAGCAUAUCCUAAUGCCAACAGGAACAUCAUUUCACAUCUUCCGAACAAGGAUGAAAAUUGGCAUCAUCCUUGGUUUCUAAUUAAGAAAACCCCCGCUUCGAUUGGAAAUCUCGCUGAUUUUCUCCCUUCGAAGUGGUCUGCGAAACCCGGUAGUGAUUAGGUUGCACGUAUCUUUCCCGGUUGUUUCUUUAUCUUUAUUGACUAACACCGUUGUUUCAUUUCGCAGCUUUCAUCGCUUCCAACCUCCCAUCUGAAGAGUUCAUCGAAUUCUUCAAAAUAAUUCUUGAAGGGGAAACCCUUUGGAAUUCCUUCACUCUUGAACGAUUCCUGGAAGCUAACCACAGACUCAGGAUGAGUCCGCCUGGUCAUCUUCACCAAAUUCCUCCCCCUCCUUCAACUCAAGGAAUGUCAUCUCGGGCCCUUGCGGCCAAGCGUAAGUUGCUUUCCAAGCCGAUGGCUGAGGCUUACGAGGAGAAGAAAAAGUUCCUCGCGACUUCUAUAGACAAGAAGGACUACAGUAGAACCUUGCUGGUUGAUGAUGGCAGCACCGAGGGAGCUCGAUCUGUCGCUUCCUUCAGAUUAACUCCUCGUCGCGAUCGUCGCGACUCACGUUCUCCUCGGAGGGUUCAAUCUCCUCGCCGUGAUUCACCUCGUCCUCCCCGAGAUGAUUUUAGUAACGAGCCAAUUAAGAACUUGGUUCGCCGGAAGAGAGACAAAUCCUCUCGCAGCGAUUCUUCUCCGCAGAGGGAAAAGUCGAGGGCCCGGACUGACCGCUCACCUCGAUCAUCUCCUCCUCCUGAACCAAUGGGUCCUCCACGUCCGGUUGAUAUGUCUUCCUCCUCCCAGCCUGAUAGUGGAAAGACUGCUCGGAGUGCGUCUCCGAAAAAGGGGGACUCUGAAUCUCGAGAUGCUUCCUCGAGGUUAAAACCUGCUCUUGUCCCUCAAGUCAAAUCACUUUCAGGUUUGGUGAUUUACAUACUUCAACUUUUUGUCUUUAUUAAAAUUCCAAUUUUUACAAUUCUUCCUUCCUCGCAGCUAUGGAGACAGAAGGCAGCGUCUUCCGAUGCUUCAAGACCCGUUCGGGUUCGAUCUUGCCAGAUUUCAACAAAUGGCGCCCUGCAAUUCGUGAACGCUAUUUGCUUCACGCUUACCACUCAUCUCGGGUUAGUUCCGUUUUCUUUUUUUUUUUUUUUUGCAUUGCCAUUCUGCGAACUGACUCACCAUCCUUGGUUCAUGUAUAAUGCCAGGCUCAGAGCGAAUUUAACGACAUGAUCGAACAUUACGAAGGGUUGGUCAUCGGACGGGAGAAGGAGAUUGACAUGUGGAAGAAGAAAUUCUCAGCUCUUGAGGCUGACCUCAACUCUUCUGAUGGCUCUAAGCACGAUCUGGAGGAUAAGGUCGAUAGGUUGACGUCGGAGUUGGCGCAGGUAAAGGGGGAACUGCAAGACUACUAUGACCGGAAUUACAAACUCCAGGACGAACUGUCUGGUGUUCAGGGUAGACUUCACGAAUCCGAAUCAACCGCCGACACCCUGAAUAACCAACUUAUCGAGCUUGACGCGAAGUACAAGGCGCUAGCCAAGUUGCGUGAUUCUGAGUUGGCAAUGUCGGCAUCGAAGGCCAGAAAGGAAGUUAAGGGACGCGGGAUGGAAUUGAUCCAAGGAGCCAUUCGCUUCAUGCAAACCGAGAAAGCUAGGUCGGACUUGGAGUCAGACAUCAAGGAGCACGAAAGCAACUUGAUUCUGCUGGACCAAAUCCAUGAAGCAGAUUUCUCCGAGGAGCAAGAAAGGACCGAGCUGUCGACUAACCUUUCUGAAAAACGGAGUCGCUUAGCAGCUCUUUCCACUUCGGUCUUCAACCCGCUUGACUUCGAGGCAUUCUUUACUGAAUCACCUCCUAUCAGUGAAUCGGGUUUAGAUUGGGCAGGUAACACUUGGCUCCUGUGGCUUACCUUUUUCUUACCUUGUACCUUUGAUUGACUGGAAUCAUUAUUUCUAGGUCCAAGUGAGACGGAAGACGUUGUCCCGCCCGCAGCUCCAAUGGUACCAGAGGUCACUCCGGAGGUUGGUUGUACCGCGGAGGGUGGCCAGGGAGCUUCAUCUGAUCAAGCACCAAUUAAGGAGGUGAAUGAAACUUUGGUUGCUGAGCCGGAGUCCGGGGUGGAGAUUACUCCGUAGUGGCUGUGUCCACUUUAAAUUGGGGAUUGUCCCUUUAUCUUUAAGACUUAACUUAUUUUUGGCCUAAGGAGGCUUUAUUGUUUCUUUUGAACAAGAUAUUUGCCUGAGGAGGCUUUUAAACCUUUCUAGGUUGUGACCCAAGGGGGUUUGGUUAAAAUUAUAUGCGGGUUUGCAAAGUCCGCUUUUAACCUUUUGUGGCCUUGUGGCAAUGCUUUCGAGAUUUUUAGGUUGAUCAGACCUUUCUCUUUAAAAUGCGAGAGCUGAGCUCGGCUUAAAGCGAGUUCCCCACUUCGGGUUUAGUCAACUCGGUAAACUUGUCAGGCUUGGGCCUUAGAAACUUUUGCAGUUAAUGCGACGGUUGCUUUUUCCCUUCUUAAAGAGAACGGCUCGUCUUUUAAUGUGAUAAUUGUCUUUUCUCGAUUUUCCAAAAAUGGUUUAAUCCACUCGGAAACGCUACCAUUAAUGGAUUUAUGGUUCCAAGACAAACCCUAAAUCAUUAUAAAUAAAGGCUUACCUACCUCUAGGCUUUAUUAAACAUGACUAUAGAAUCUCACUUGAGAAAUAUUUUAAGAAUGGAAAACGAAGAAGUAGCCCCCAACGCUCCCGGCAGCCCACUUUUCUUGUCCGGCGACGGAUUUGAACCGGCUGGCGUUCUCUUUCCUCACGCCGUCUUUCACUUCCCUUCAAAAGAGAAGAAAGAGGCUUGCGACUUCAUCGACAAGGUAAAUAUUCAAAGUUUUUUUUUUUUUUUGACUUAAAAACUUUUUCGUUUUGCCUUAUUCAUUCAUUUUUAUGCUAGGUCGUCGACAAGCACCGUUGCUUGUGUGAAGAGAGGCAGCGGCUGGGACUCAAAAAGCAGACGCUCGAGGCUCGCAUCGCCCGGGUGGAAAGGAAGAUACGGGCCCUGGAGAGCGAUCCCUUUCAAUGGGAGUGGCGGAACUUUGACUCCGUUGCUGAGAUCCCGAAGAUGCUUCGGAUGUAUCUCCGCGCUAGAGGAGUCCCGGGUCCCGUGAACGCCCCUGUCUGCGACAGUGAAGAGGAAGAGGACUUGGAGGAGGAGGCCAGCAACUGCCGGAAACGCGUUCGAGAUCGUUCCGAAGUGGAUGCCACGAACAAGGCGUCCACUUCGGAAUCUAAACCGGCGAUGAAGGAGCCUGUUCCUGAGCCUCUCCCAUAAAUGUUCUUUAACUUCCUCACUUUUCUCCUUUUUUUUUUUAGAAAACUCGUAAUGGGCUUCGGCCCUUUUUAUUUAUGGAAAUAUUUGCAACUUUCUUUUCUUUCCAAAUAUUCUUGGAGAUGCGUCCUUUAAUGCAGGAUCCAUUCGAGGGCAUAAAUCUCUCCGUGAAUCACUCUAUUCCUUGGAUAAAAUCCGCAGCUUGCUAAGGAUAUGGGGUUCCUAUAAAUUAUAGGUUCGAUUUUCCUUUACUUCUCAUCCUUCUUUUCAUUUUAGCAGGUAUGGAGUUCAAUCUUCGCUGUUCAGAAUCUAUGCCCGAAUUCUCCAGAAUCGGAAUGAUGGAUGAAGAUGUUUCAAAUGAGCCAAACAGGCAGCCUUCCCCACUUCGCGGCCUCUCGAGAUCUCAGAUCCGAGCCCCAUGUGCUUUGAUCAGGGAUCUCCCAAUCAGAGACCAAGGAACAGCGACGGCGUUCAUAGAGGCACUUGAACUUCAACACCGGAAGCUUACGUCGGAAAAGAGGAGGCUCCGGAAGAGGAUUAACCGGAUGCAACGCAGGCUUACUACGGUGUCAAGAAAUCUUCACAUCCUUGAAUCUCACCCCGGAGAAUGGAUUGAGCUUGGAAUCUCUGACUUUGCUCGAAUUCCGGACUGCAUGAUGUCAAUCCUCGAUCUUGCUGGUCAAGGAAUUGAAGUGUUCUGCUCGUCAACGAGGAUUUCGUAGUUCGAAGUGUACGAUGAGGGACACUUCGCCUUUUUUUUUUUGAAUAAACGCUUUAUUUCCAAUCUCUUGUAUGUUCGCAUAGCCGAACCUUCUUCCUUUAAUAAAGAAAUAAAACAAAAAUUUUAUUAAUAGCUGAACUCGUUUUCGAGCUGCCUACGUACCCAUUUCGGGAUCAAGCCAAAUCGUAGUUCAUGUACAUAAACAAUGCAUGUAGCUUCUAAACAUAAAACUUCUUUAAGUUGAUCACAUUCCAAGGUCGCUUGACUGGAUUGUCUUCUAGGUCUUUUAACCUAUAAACGCCGUUUCGAACCACCUCGGUAAUAAUGUAAGGUCCCUCCCAAUUAAUACCAAGUUUUCCAGCACCUUCUUCUUUUUUAUUGUCAAAGACGCGUCUUAAUACGUAAUCUCCCACGAAGAACGGCCUACUUUUAACUUUAGAAUUGUAAUACCGGGCUGCUGCCUGUUGGUAAUUCUGGAUCCGAAUUAGAGCUUGAUCACGCCUUUCAUUUAUGGUAUCCAGUGAAUCGUUAAGCAUUACUGAAUUUUCUUCCUCAUUUAACGGUGCUUCUGUUCGACGAAGUCCGGGCACAUUGAGUUCAGCUGGUACUACCGCUUCCAUGCCAUAAACCAAAGAGAAUGGAGUUUCUCCUGUGGGUCGCCUAGGGGUUGUACGAUAAGCCCACAGGACGGGUUGGAGUUCUUCAUACCAUCCUCCCUUUAGAUGACUUAAGCGUUUCUUGAGAUUGCUUAAUAUCGUCUUGUUCGCGGCUUCGGCUUGACCGUUUCCUUGCGGAUAUCUUGGAGUAGAAUAACUAACUUUAAUUCCCCAGUCCGCACAAAAGGCAUCAAACUCGUGUGAAAUGAAUUGCGGUCCAUUAUCAGUGACUAUUUCGUACGGAACUCCAUGUCGACAUAUAAUGUUUUUCCAAAUAAAGGUCUUCACCGCCGAAUCCUUGAUACCAACAUACGCCUCAGCUUCAAUCCAUUUCGAAAAGUAGUCCGUAAGGACUAAAAGGUACUGUACACCUCGAGUUGAUUUGUGCAAUGGUCCGAUGAUGUCCAUUGACCACCUCAUAAACGGGUACGGGGCGGAAAUGGAGGAGAAUAACUCCGACGGUUGAUGGAUUAAUGGCGCAUGGAGUUGGCAGCGCUUGCAUCUUUGGGCGAACUUAACACAAUCUGUGAUCAUAGUGGGCCAAAAGUACCCCAUUCUUUUAACUUUAAAAGCCAUAGUUCUUCCUGAUGAAUGACUUCCACAUAAUCUCUCAUGCACUUCGCUCAUGACGAUUUCGACUUCGGGCCCAAAAAUGCAUAAUAGGUAAGGGUCACUAACUCCUCGCCUAUAUAACGCAUCUUUUGAUAGGCAAAAUUUCGCGCUAACGACUUUCAUUUUCCUGGCCUGCCAUUUAUUCUUUGGGAGUUCGCCUGUCGUGAUGUAGUGCUUUAUUGGCUCCCUCCAGUCAGCCCCCCAGUCUUUAGCCGGAAUUUGGUCAACUUUAUGAAAUAUCCGUGGCUCUGGUUCGGGAUGUUCGUUUGGUUCAAGAAUAUUCUCCCCGAGUAAUGGCUCGGUUUCUAACAUCGUUUCUGGAAUCAUUUCUUCAACUAGGACAACGGGUUCCUUGUUAGAUGUAUUUGAUCCCUUUGACUUUCUUCGUUUGUUGGGUGGCGGUUCGAUCUCUGGUUCGCCACGGUCGCGUGCCGCUGCUCGAGACCUUGUAACGACGAGGGUUUCCUUGCUGUCUUGAAUGCUUCGCUCCGAGAUGCAUUCUACUGGAAUAACUCUCUUUAACUCAGGAUCUGAUGUUGACGCCAAUGCGGCAAGUGCAUCUGCAGUUGUAUUCUCUCCCCGAGGUAUACGGAUUAAUUCAAAUUUCGAGAAAUUUUUAGAUAGAUCCUUCACCACUUCGAGGUAUGCUUCCAUUCUUGAAUCUUUAGCCUCAUAGUCUCCAUUAAAUUGGUUAACUACUAAUUGUGAGUCGCAAUAAGCCAAUAUUUCCUUAGCUCCAACUCCUUGUGCUAGUCGAAGUCCGGCAAUAAGGGCUUCGUAUUCUGCCUCGUUGUUAGAGGCUUUGAAUAACAAUCGGAAUGACUGUUCUAGAAUUUCCGAUGUUGGAGAUUCCAACUUGAUUCCCACUCCGGAUCCUUGUUUUGUUGAAGACCCGUCUACGUGUAAUUUCCAAGUUUGGUUCUCCGGUUGCUCUAUCGUUCCAGGUAUUGGUAGUUCGGUCAGGAAGUCUGCUAAGACCUGAGCCUUCAUACUGAUCCGGCUUUUGAACUCUAUGUCGUACUCGCUUAAUUCCACCGCCCAUUUCGCCAAACGUCCGGACUGACUCGGACUAUGAAGUAUUGUUCGGAGUGGUUGGUUAGUUAAUACUUCAACCGGAUGGGAUUGAAAAUAUGGACGAAGCUUCCGAGCCGAAGUUACCACCGCGAGUGCGAGUUUUUCCAUCAUUGUGUAUCUGGUUUCCGGAUCAGUCAUUGACUUGCUCACGUAGUAAAUUGGUUUCUGCUCCCCACAGUCUUCCCGAACCAAGACUCCACUAACCGCGUGAUUUGAAACUGAUACGUACAAGUAAAGUUUUUCAUCUACUUCCGGUUUGGACAGUACAGGUGGAGUGGUUAAGUAUGCCUUAAGCUGCCCAAAAGCUUCUUCACACUUCUCAUCCCAAAGGAAUCCUUUGUUCCCUUUUAGAAUUUGGUAGAAAGGCAACGACUUAUCUGUUGACCUCGAGAUAAAACGGUUCAAAGCCGCAAUCCGCCCAGUCAACCGUUGUACUUCUUUGAAGUUUCUUGGAGAUGGCAUGUUCAGAAAGGCGUUAAUUUGAUUUGGAUUGGCUUCAAUCCCUCUUUCUGUCACGAUAUAGCCAAGAAAUUCUCCGGAUGGGACUCCAAAUGUGCAUUUCGCCGGGUUCAGCUUCAUUUGAUAUUUAUUGAGAAUAUCAAAACAUUCCUUCAAAUGUUUAACAUGAUCUUCUUUCUUCAAUGAUUUAACCAACAUAUCAUCUAUGUAGACUUCCAUAGUCUUCCCGAGGUGAUUGUGAAACAUUUUGUUCACCAAUCGUUGGUAAGUUGCUCCUGCAUUUUUCAAACCAAAAGGCAUUACCUUGUAACAGUAGAUACCUCUAUCUGUGAUAAAUGACGUCUUUUCUUGAUCUUCGGGGUUCAUCAUUAUCUGAUUAUAACCCGAGAAGGCAUCCAUGAACGUUAACAGCUCAUUUCCAGCGGUGGACUCUACAAGUCGAUCUAUAUACGGGAGCGGGAAACUAUCUUUAGGACAUGCUUUAUUCAGGUCUGUAAAAUCGAUGCAAACCCUAUCUUUCCCAUUCUUUUUCUUGACAACGACAGUGUUUGCUACCCACUCCGGAUAUUGCACUUCUCUUAUGGACCCUAUCUUCAAGAGUUUAUCCACUUCGUCGUUUACUAUUUUUGCCCGCUCCACUCCAAGCUUUCUUCUUUUUUGUUUCACCGGUUUGAAGCUUGGAUCUACGUUUAGUUCAUGACAAAUUAUACUCGGAUUUAUGCCCGGCAUGUCCGCUGCUGACCAUGCAAACGACGCUUUGUUUUUCCUUAAGAGUUCGAUCAAAGCUUCUUUUAUUUGGUCAGUCAAAGUUGCUCCAAUUCUAAUUUUCCGGUCCGGCUUGUCUUCUUCCAGUGCCACUUCGACUACUACAUCCUCUUUCUUCUGCCCACUAGGAAAUUUUAUUUUUAGUCCUUCUUUUGCGGGCUUCGUUAGUUGCUAUUGAAUCUUCAUACGGUGGCUAGCUAAGUAACAAGUCCGUGAAGCUUCUUGGUCUCCCCGAAUUGUUUCCACCCCAUUUGAUGUUGGAAAUUUGAUACAUUGAUGGUAUGUAGAGAGAACUGCUUUCAUUCGAUAAAUCCAGGGAGUCCCAAGGAUGAUGUUGUAAGCUGCGGGCUUAUCGAAGACGACGAAGUCCACAAUUUUUGAUACUUUUUUGGCAAGGACCGGUAGCUUGAUUGUCCCGAGAGACAUGGCUGAUUCGCUUGUGAAUGCAACUAAUGGAGACGGAGGUCCUACUAUGUCUCCUCGGCUGAUUCCCAUUUUUUCUAGAGUACUUAAAAAGAUCAAGUCGACCGAACUGCCUGUAUCUAUAAGGAUCCUUGAUACUUCGAAGUUUGCGACGUCAAGAGUAAUGACUAGAGCAUCGUCAUGCGGUCUUUCGAGAUGCCGCGUUUCUUCUUCGUUAAAUGAUAUUGAAGCACCUUGAAAAUCAAUUUCUUCACUCAAGCUUGCUUUGAGUAAGACAUUUCGUCUAUGUUUUUUGAUGGAACUUAUUGAAUCUCCGCAAAAUCUGGAACCUCCUAGAAUCACAUUGAUCUUCCCCUUCGAACUCCUUGGUUCUUCCUCGUUGGAUAACCUUGGUCUUUUGGAAUCUUGAUCUUUGGAGUUUUCCUUUGCUUCGUGGUAUUCCUUCACAAAAUCUUUUAUAUCGAAUUUAGAAAGAUCGCCACUAGCCCAAAGCUCUGCGAGGUGCUUUUUAAGAACGCUGCAAUCCUUGGUUAAAUGUCCGGUUACUUUAUGAAUGUCGCAAUAUAGACUUUCAUCACGGACCCAAGUGUUUGAUCUUCCUUUCCCUUGGAAUUGCUUCCCGACGGAAUUGUUGAAGGGUUGCGACCCAAACUUCCUUGGUCCUUUGCUCUCUCUAGGCUCGAACUUCUUGGUAGGGACGGUGACUGCCGGCUUUUCUUGUUUAUUCCGUUUGGCAAAACUUUCUUUUUCGUUUUCUACCUCCAUCCAAUUGUUUGCACGGAAGAGUGCAUCCUGAAUUGUAUCUGGUUUAUGAAGUAUUAAGUCUUCUUUAAACCUCGAAUCAUGUCGCAAUCCUUUUCGUAGGGCAGAUAAAGCUGAUUGCUGUGAGAUUCUUGGGAGUUUUGAUAGCACUCCUUUGAAUUUGGUGAUGAAAACUCGAAGUGACUCAUUAGAUCCUUGCGUUAAGUUCCAAAGAUCGGCAUCCGAAACGCUUUUAUCCAUAAGGAUAGAGUAUUGCUUUAAGAACACGGCUGAUAAUUCGUCGAAAUUGCUGAUCGAACCCGGCUCUAAUUGGGUGAACCACAUUAGAGUUUGGCCACAUAGAUUCUCCGAAAACAGCUUGCAAUAGCCUGCGUCCUCAUCAGCUUCAUCCAACUCGACUCUUCCUGCAGCGAUCAGAAAGGCUGCAAGAUAGCUUUGGAUCCUCCAAUCCGCUGUAAGGGUCCAACUUGAGCUUCCGAGAAUCUUUGAUCCUCAAACUUGCAAUUCGCGGGAUAAAAGGGGUUCGCCUUGCUUCUUCAAUGACUCGAUUGAUGUCUGGCUCCGAACUUGUAGCCUGAUGAAAUUUUGAUUUCAUUUCUUUUAAUUCCUGGCUAACCUUCCUCAUGGUCUCGAACUGGUCGAGGUUCUCCUGCUCGUACGGAGCUGCAAGUUGUUCUUCAUCCCCGAGCUGCAUCUCGUCUUCCGACGUCUGAGCUAUAUUAUUAGUAGCACCGGGAGUUGUUUGUCCGCUGGUUUCAUUUCGUGCAGCGGAACUUGGCGAGUUGAAUAUCCCUCUUCGGGUUCCCACCGGGUUUCCUGCACUUAAAGAGCGAACACGAGUUUGUAUAUUAUUGACGUUUUGACUAAGAGAUACCUGGGAUGUUUGCAACGUAUCGACGGCCUUCUCCAUAUCCGAGAAUUUUUGUGAUAUGUCCGACAUGGUUUGCUGCAUAGCUUUGAGGGUUUCGGCCAAUGAUGUCUCAACGGCGUCUCCUCCGGACAUUGUCGCUUAUCUCGGGAAUGUAGAAAAGAAGAAAUCUGACCACUCAAGAAUCCUGAUGUCCCCACAGACGGCGCCAAAAUGUGGAUGUCGGAUUCACACACUCAAGUAUUUUGUUAAGUGGGAAAGAUUAUUCUUGAGGGACAAAAAUGAACACGUAAGAACUUGUAAAUUGAUGCGAAAAAUUGCUAUAUUAUUUCUCUCUUGAGAGGAAGAUCCCCUUUACAUGGCCAUUGGCCUCUAUAUUUAUACAUAGCUAAACGACAUUUAAAAUGAGUAAUUAAAUACAAUUAUUUCUUCUUAAAUGUGUCCGUUUUGAUUCUUCGGCUUUAAUGCUCAACGUUUGAAUUUGAGUUGACCCUGAUCUUCAUGGGCCUCGCCUCUUUUGGCCCAAGUGUCCUUGAACCGACUUACCCGUGUCUUCUACACCGAACUCGUGUCACAGUGAAGUCACUUCGGAUUCUCGAAAUGGUGACAACCACUUCGACCGUCCCUUCAGCUCACGGGUCCAAUGGGCUUCAUCCUUUAUGGGCCAUUAUCCUGAUUACGUGGCAAUCUUUGGUUGGUCUCGUACUUCUGGUGCGGGAUCCGACACCAACACGGCCUAUUUCCACAGAGAGGACCUGCUUUUUGGCCAUCAACAGCUCAUCCUAAUGUGCAUGUACCACCACCACCACCUACACCUGGGAGGAAGAAAGGAAAAGAGAGUAAAAAGGACAAAAAGAGGAAGAAGGGAAAGAAUGAGUCACCUACAAAGAAAGCACCUAAGCAGAUGAAAAAGAUAAUGCACUGUGGUGUUUGUCAUGCAGCUGGUCACAACUCCAGGUUUCAUAAGAAGAAGAAGUCUUCUGCAUUGGUAAGUAUGAUUAUUUAUUGGUUCAGUUGGUCACAAUAGGUUACUGACAUGUUUUGCUUCAUGAUUUGUCUUAGGCCUUUGAAGGAGUUGAGACUGCAACUCAUGGCAGUCAAGUGGAACCGUCUCAAGGAGUGGUGAUGUCUCAAGGCUGAAGGAUUAGAGUGAAGGAUUAAAGUAGUGUUAGAUGGCAUUAGGUUUUUUGGUUUACCAUCUGAUUAGGAUUAUAGUACAACGGCUUUGUAUUUUUGGUUUCUUUACCAUGGCUUUAACUUUUUGGUUUCAUUACAACGGCUUUGUGUUUUUGGUUGCAUGACCAUGUGUAAUGGUACAUUGUUGUCUCUGUCUUUUGGAUGAUUGGUACAUUGGUAAAGCAUUGAACCAAUUUAUGCUAUUUCUGUCUCAGUGUUUUGCUAUUUGUCUCUGUUUUAGGAAAAUAUAACAUUACAUAGGUCACAAGAAGUACACAUAACAAGCACAAGAACCAAAUUUCAUGUUUCAUUAGACAUUACAACAACAAGAACAAAACAAAACAAGAAGCACAAACAAAGACCAACAACAACAAGCCAAUACACUCGUUUCAGCCUAUCACAUUACUCAAACCAAGCAUGAUCAUACACCCUACGAUGACAGCAAUCGACAUUUUCUUCAUGCUUGAUUUGGAUUCCAACAUUUCUGCUUCUACCCUCUCAAAAAUCUCUUUCUCUAGCUUCAUUUGCAUCCUCUCAAAAAUCAUCUUCUGGUGAUCCAUAGUCUCUGAUGUAAUCUGGGACAUGGUUUGUUCAAGUGCAGUCGUUCUUACACUCAAUCUCUCUAUCUCAUCUAACAAAGCUUCGUCAACCCACUUGAAAGUGUGGUUAUCAUCGAUAAGCUACAGAGACCAGAGAAUUAAAGUCAAAAUUCGUAAGAAACAACCCAAAUAUCAAUCACAUUACCUUAUGUGAUGCAGCAUAAGCACAACGAUAGUAACGGCGGUAUGGAUUGGCGGCGGAUUUGGAGAUGAUCGCCGAGAUACUUGCUCCACACCAACACAUCUUCGGCACACCCACAACUCUUCUUCUCUGUCCCACAUUUGAUGCUCCACUCGUAGCUCCGGAUGAAUUGCUCAUAUUCAAGCUUAGACUUCAAAUCUCUGAUGUUGUUGAAAUCUCUGAUGUUGAAGAGAAAAAUCAAAAUUAGGGUUCUUCUCAAUUUGGGGAUUCUUGAAAUAAGUAUUUAUUUCGGGUUGUGGUAACUCGAAUCGGGUUCAAAAUCGGUUUAUUAUUCUGGGUUUUGGUUUGGCAUCGGGUUCGGCACAGUAAACCGAAGAUAAACCAAGAAAUUUGAAAUUUUGGAGACUGAGGUCUAGAACUUUCGAUUUAGGGGGAAACUGGAGUUUAACUUUCGUUUUGUGUGGACUGGAGACGAGACCCGAAAUCUGUGUUGUUAUGGUACUAUAUGAAACUUACUGGGGGGACACAGGUCGUUCACCUUCCCAAUUUUAUUUUAUCUUUGACUUGCUAUUUCCCUAUUUCAUUGAUCGACUACAUGGCUAUAUAAUUUAUGAUAUAGUAUAGGUCUUAAAUUAUGAGUGGAUUAUGUAUAUAUAAAUAAUAAAAUACAGAUGGUUCACGUUAGGCCUGGGUAUUUGGGUACCCGUUCGUGUUCGGUUCUUUUUUUUGGUAUCGGGUCUAUUCGGGUAGGGGUCGAGACCCAUUCGGGUAUUCUAAAAAUUCGGUUCGGGUUCGGUUCGGGUUCGGAUCGGUUCGGAUAUUUUAAUAAAAAAGCAAAAUAUCCGAAAAUAACCAAAAAUACCCGAAAUAUUUUCGGGUUCGGGUUUUUUACUCGUAUAUACCCAAAUCUAACCGAAAUACCCGAUUUCUCAAAAAUACAUUGGUUACUCUUUGCCCAAAUAUAACCAAAAAUAUCUAAAAAUACUAAAAUUACCCAAAAGAAAACUACAUCAUUAGUUACUUUUUAACCAAAUAUAUCCAAAUGUAUCCGAAUUACUCACAAAUACCUAGUAUAUUCGGAUUUAUGAUUGUAAUUUUAGGUAUUUCGGAUAUUAUAAGUAUAAAUAUAACUAAUAUUUUUAGGUGUAUAUUUGUAUUCGGGUACCCACGGGUAUUGGAUUCGGUUCGGGUUCGGUUCGGGUUUUUUUCGGGUAGGAGGUCUAGGAUCCAUUCGGGUAUUUUUGAAAAUCGGUUCGGAUUCGAUUCGGAUAUUUUUUCGGGUUUUUCGGUUCGGGUAUUCGGUUCCGGUUAUUUUGCCCAGGCCUAGUUCACGUAAUUGUGUAACUUGACAGAGAGACACCUACAUUAAAGGCUAUUUUGCUGCCCAAAAAAAGAGAGACUAAUUUGCAUGGACGCUUGGACAGGCUCGCAAGAGGCUGAGCUCGCUCCUUACACCAACGCCACAUCAUCUUAAUCACUGUUACAGUCUGAUUAUAUUUCCUCAGGUUUUUUCAUAAAGUUUUUGCAUACCGAUUAAAAGUUCAUUUUAUUUUUAUUUAUUUUUAAAAUAAAACAUCUUUUAUUUUAAUAAAAAUAAAAUAUUAUUUAUUAUCUAAUCAAUCAAUAAAAAAAAUUAACAAAAAAAAUCAAUUAAAAAUAUACAAAAUAUUAAUCGUCAAAAUUAAUAAAAAAAACUAAUUAAUAUUACAUAAGCUUUAUUUUCUCUCCCAGACACAAGUCUCGAGAAACCUGAAAGAAACAAAUAUUUUUAAAAUUAGUAUAUCUUAACCACUUUUUCAGCUAUUUUCGGAAGCUUUUGUUCUUCUUCUUCGUCGGAGCUUUUCUUCCCUGAACUUUUCAGAUGGUUUCUUUUUUGGCUAGCCUCCCCUCUCUUUCCCCUAGCUUCUCCCCUUAUCUCUUAUGUGUUUUUUUACCCACAUUUCUCUUGCAACCUGCACUUUCUCAAGGUGGUAACAAGAGUAUUAUUUUUCACCCUCUCAGUCAAAGUCCAUGCUUUCUCUCUUCACCACUUUCCGGCUUCUCCUCAAGCCGCUCUCUUUUGCAUGUGAAGAACGAACAAAAUCUCUCUUGAACACCUUCCUGCAAAAGCUGAGACUCUUGUUUCACUCCUUCUAGUUUUAAGCUAAAGUCUGUUACUUUUGUUUACCUCUCUACUCUCACAAUGUCAAAGAGAGAAAGACCAAGCUGGUACCGAGAAUCUCCUCCAAAACAAUCUCCUUUUGUCUUUGAACCUAAGUAUGAGAAUGAUGUGGUGAUUCUCCCUUAAGCGGUUAACUCAGCUCUGUUAGCUCGCCUUCAACUUAACCUUGUUGGGCGAAUAUUCCAUCAAGGUGGACGUAGUAUCGAAACCCUAGUGGCUCUCCUCCCCAAAGAGCACACUUUGGAUGUUGAAAGACGGGUCCGUAGAGUCUCUUUCGGUGAUUCGCGGUUCCAGUUCUUUUUCGAGUCUGAAGCUGACCUGUAGAAGAUUCUCAACAAACACCCUUGUCACUUUAAUAAGUGGUCUUUUGCUCUUGAAAAGUGGGAAUCUCACAUUGAAACUUAUUUCCCAGAUAGCAUGAAUUUCUGGAUUAAAACGAAAGGAAUCCCAGCUGACUUCUGGGAAGAGAAAGUUCUUAGAAACUUUGGAAGUUUUCUUGGGUGUGGGCCGAAGAGUUGAUUCUACUAAAGGAAGAAUCUAAAUCUCUGUUAAGACAGAUGUUCCCCUUAGAUUCCAUAAGAAUGUUCAACUACCUACAGGCGAGAUUGUGAAAGUGAAAUUCUUUUUCAAAAAGCUUCUCCGAUGGUGCUCUUAAUGCCAUCGCAUAUGCCAUGAAGUUGAGUUAUGCGCUUUACUUGAUAAAAACUAGAGAGCGGCUUUGUUUGGUGAAGAGGUAAAAAGGAACUCUCGCUACUCGACUAGAGGAGAUGAUAAUAACCAGUACUAUUGUUUUUCGUAUUGGUCAUGAGAGAAAAAACUUACCCUUUAUGGCUGCACCCCGAGUUGCAAGAAAGAUGUCUCCGGAUGGUGGUUCUAAGAGACACAGAGUCUGCCAUGACCAUGUCAACACAGCUCCACGCAAUGGUGGUAACCGCCAGCUUCAGCAUCCUUCUCAUCGUUACCAUUCCUCUAGAGCUUUUCUCAUCAUUACCAUUCCUCUAGAGCUUUAAUGCUUAAUCGUCCUCUAGCUUCAACUUCAUUGUAGCGUCCUUCUCCAAAUCCAGCAGUUCUAGAGGAGGGUUAGGAUGGGACACUUCAUCGCAAAGAUCCGACUUUGAGCCUCAACAAUGAUGAGAAGGAUUGGAUUUGGAAUCCAAAAUCGAUGUCGGAAGCUCUUAAUCUCGAUUGGACCAAGGAAGAUGAAGCUGCCUACAACGCCUUGGAGUCUCCUCAUCGGAAUUCUCGCCUUUCCGAUGAGGAGAAUUUGGAAGAUGACGAUGACGAUCUACUGGGGGAGGAACUGCAUGAUGUGAUCCAAUUUGGUUCGGUGGGUUCCUCAAAAUCGUUUGAUGUCUCGGCAAAGGUGAAGAAUCUUUCCGACAAGCUGAAAUGCAAAAUUGUGUCUCUGGUGGUUAUUGACUCAGAGAAUGAGACUAACGAUGGAGAUUUGGGCCCUGCUCGGCCCAAAGUCAAAAAGAAGGAGCCAAUAAAAAAAAAAAAACUCAGACAUGUUUCUUAAUUCAGCCUCAAAGAAGAUUUAAAAUUUUAACCCUUCUAAGCCGAGGAACUCUACGAAACCCGCUUCGGUUCCGAAAAGUGAGGUCUUCCAUCUUCAAAGUUCAAGUCUACGGUUUUGAUUGUUGGUUCGAUGGGGCCUCCAAACCUCUCCGACACUAACACAUGAGGAUCCUAGCGUGGAGUUUUCAAGGAGCGGGUGUUCAACUUAUAAUUCGUCUACUAGAGGAAUUGUGUCGUAUUUAUUCUCCAGGUUUUCUUAUUUUAUCGGAGUCUAAAAAUGACCUUAUGCAUCUUCAGAAUAUGAAAAUGUCUUUAGACUUUGAUUCUCUUCAAACUGUUGAUCCCAUUUGUAACAGUGGUGGUUUUGCUCUUAUGUAUUCAAAAUAUUAUCCAGUUAAGUUUUUUUUUGUUAGUGAUUGGCUUAUUGAUAUUGAAAUUAUUAUUGAUGGAAACCGAGUUUUUAUUAUCUUUGUCUAUAGAGAUCCGGUAGUUAAUACCGUGAUAUAGUUUAGGAGCGCUUGACUCGUAUUGGUAUUACUCGCUCUGAUCCAUGGUUUAUGAUUGGUGAAUUUAAUGAGAUUACCGGAAACCAUGAGAAGAGGGGUGGUAAACGUAGAUAUGAAUCCUCUUUCCUCCCAUUCUGAUGCAUGAUUGAAAAUUGUGGGAUGAUCGAGGUCCUAUCCCAGGGUAAUUUGUUCUCAUGGGUGGGACGACGUAGCUGUGGAGUUGCGGGUCGGAGAAUUCAUAACCUUAUAAAAUCCUGGUUCGAUAGAGCUUUGGGUAAUGAAGAAUGACAUACCAUUUUUUCCCACACAAAUGUAGAGUAUUUAAAAUUAUGGAGAUCUAAUCAUAGAUCCCUCCUAGCUUCAAUCCAUAACAGUCCUCACCGGUUCGUUAAACAUUUUAUCUUUGAUAAAAGAUGGAUUGACAAAUCUGGGUUUAAAGAAUCGGUCCUUGAAGGCUGGGUGUUCCCUUCUCAAGAAGGAGUUUCUCUCUUACAGAAAGUUAAAAAUUGUAGGAGGACCAUUUCUAUCUGGAAGAAAUCAAAUUCAACGAACUCUAAGAAGUUGAUUUUGGAAUUAUAAAGCCAGAUCGACCUAGCGCAGGAAGACGAGUCCAUUUCCUCAAAAGGUCUACUAGCCUUAAAGUGGAAGCUAUGUGACGCUUGUAGGGAGGAUGAGAUAUUCUGGAAGACAAAGAGUCGGGAAACGUGGUUUCAAGUCGCUGAUAAGAAAACAAAAUUCUUCCAUGCUAUUACUAAGCAAAGAAGAGCAAAGAACAAGAUUAUUGGAUUAUUGAACCAAGAUGGUUUGUGGGUGGACAAGGAUAUAAGAAUUGAGAGUUUAGUGGUGGAUUAAUUUGAAGACCUGCUCACCACUUUUGAUCCACUAGAUUUCCAUUCCGCUCUUAGGGAUGUGCAGGUUAUGAUCUCAGAAGUUAUGAACCAGAAACUCACCAAAGAGAUCUCCCCAAAGGAAGUUAAACUAGCUCUCUUUUUGCUUAAUCCAGACAAAGCCCUAGGCCCGGAUGGGAUGACGUCUCUUUUCUAUCAGUGGUUUUGGGAUUUGACCGGGCCUGAUCUAAUAAAAUUAGUUCAAGAUUUCCAUUCUUCAGGUUUCUUUGAUGAGCGUUUGAAUGAGAUAAAUAUAUAUUUGAUUCCAAAAACAGAUAGACCAAGGAAAAUGGUGGAAUUCCGACCAAUCACCUUGUGUAAAGUUAGUUACAAAAUUAUCUCGAAAGUUCUAAGUUCCCGUCUUAAAAAACUUCUUCCGGAGUUAAUCUCUGAGACUUAAUCCGCCUUUGUGUCUGGAAGACUCAUUACAUAUAAUAUUCUUAUAGCGCAAGAAAACUUUCAUGCUCUCCGGACAAACCCAGCUUGUAUGCAAAAGUUCAUGGCUAUAAAAAUUGAUAUGAGUAAAGGUUACGACCAUGUAGAAUGAUCCUUUUUACUAGCUAUAAUGGUAAAGAUGGGGUUCGCUCAGAAAUGGGUAGACAAGAUAAUAUUUUGUAUUUCCUCGGUCUCAUAUAAAGUUCUUUUAAAUGGGUCACCGAGAGGCUCCAUUAAACCGACCAUAAGAAUUUGACAAGGCGACCCGAUAUCUCUGUUCCUUUUUAUCUUGUGUACGGAAACUCUGAUAGCAAACCUUAAAAAUGCAGAAUGGAAAUUCAAGGUCUCCAAAUUUCCCGUGCAAGUCCAUACACCUCUCAUCUUUAGUUUGCAGACUUUAUUCUUCUAUAAAGUAGACCCAAUCCAAGGUUAAGAAAUAAUUAAUAUUCUCCGCAUUUAUGGCGAGGCUUCGGAACAACAGUUAAAUGCUGCUAAGUCAUCGGUGAUGUUUGGCCACGAUGUGGACAAUACAACCCGGAAUUCUAUUAAGGCGACAUUGGAGAUCCAUAAGGACGAGGGCAUGGGAUCUUACUUGGGUUUACCUGAGAAACUUCAUGGCUCCAAAACUCAAGUCAUUUCCUUUGUUAGAGAUAGACUCUAAAAACGGCUUAAUAAAGUCGUUUGCCAGCUAAAUUCUUUGCCAGCUAAAUUCUUUCUAAAGGUGGCAAAGAGAUCCUUAUAAAGUCUGUAGCACAUGCCCUUACGACAUAUGUUAUGUCGUGUUUCCUCCUCCCUAAAGCGAUUCGCUCAAAACUAAGUAGUGCCAUUGCGAAUUUCUGGGGAAAACUAGUAAAAACAGUAAUAGUAUACACUGGAUAGCAUGGGAUAAGCUUUGUACCCUCACAAUCCGAUGGCGGCCUUGGCUUUAUAAGGCUUGAAGAAUUUAAUCUUGCUUUAUUAGCAAAACACCCUUAUCAGAUUCCUAAACUCUUGAGGGGUAGAUACUUUCGCUAUAGUGAUCCCCUACAUAUAAGAACUUCUAACUGCCCUUCCUUCGGAUGGAGAAGCAUCAUGGCUGGUAAACCACUUCUUAGCUCGGGUCUUCGAAGGAGUUUGACAUGUGUCGUAAUCGUGACACUUUUCACACAUGCGCUCGUUUAUGUAACACUUUUCGCGACCUCAUGACACUUGCCAUUAUGCGAUACUUUUCACCAUUUCGCAACACUUUUCGCCAUUUCGCAAUACUUAUUGCGUGUACUCUCUUCGUUUUUGUCAGUUGUCCAUGAGAGGAAAAAUCCUUUAGGUUAACAAUUUUACAUUACGAAAUAACAAUUCUAAUAGAAAACUGACGAUUAUUAGACCAUAUAAUAGAAAGAAAAAAAAUCUAUUUUUACAAGCCGAUAUUUGUUGAAAAAUAACUAUAUUGUUAUAAAAGAGUAUUUGAUUUUAUGGUGGAUAUAUAAAUAUUUAAUGAAGAGAAAAUUAUACCCGCAGAAGGAUCGGGAUACUGAAUAAAAAGAAAUGAAAGAGAGCGAGAGAAUUACUUCUUAUACUCGAAGUUUUUGUUAUUGAGUUGUGUAUUACAAACGAUCGUUUAUAUAGAGGUAGAAAAGAUAAGUUACUAUACCGCAUAGUGAUGGUGGGCUCCACACAAAAUAAUAUUAAAACGUAAAACGAUAAACAUGUGUGCGCCUCAAUCUUUGACAUUUGCAAUGCUCCCUGUUAUUUUCACUUUCGUAACACUCCCCCUUGGAGACCAGUAUCACUAUUCUUUUGCGUAAUAUCUUUUGUUGCCUCGUUAAAAACCUUUCUAGGAAAACCCGGUGGGAAAAACCAUAGUAGGUAAAAAGAGUGCAACCGCGCAAGCUCCCCCUCGAAUGAUCAGGAUCAUAACUUACAAGUCUUGUUGACGACGCAUUCCAAUGUUAUGAACAUGUUUCCUGAAUAUAGAGGUGGGUAAUGAUUUCGUGAAGAGAUCCGCAGAAUUCUCGGAUGAUCGGACAUAUUUUACUUCAAUGUCUUUAUUCUUCACGAGCUCUUGGGUGUAUGAAAAGAACUUCGGAGGGAUAUGUUUGGUUCUAUCGCUUAUGAUAUAUCCUUCCUUUGUCUGAGCAACACAUGCAUCAUUGUCUUCAUAUAAGAUAGUUGGCUCUGUAUUCAGACUAAUUCCACUACUGGUUUGAAUAUGUCGACUUAUUGAUCUUAGCCAUACGCAUUCUUUACUCGCUUCAUGGAGUGCGAUGAUUUCAGCAUGAUUCGAAGAAGUAGCUACAAGCGUCUGCUUCUGAGAACGCCAUGAUAUAGCAGUACCUCCAAUCAUGAAUACGUAUCCUGUUUGGGAUCGAGCUUUGUGUGGAUCUGAUAAAUAUCCUGCAUCUGCAAAACCAAUCAUUUGACCAUUUAUAUUUUUAGGAUAAAAUAACCCUAAGUCAAUAGUCCCUUGAAGAUAACGAAAGACAUGUUUAAUUCCGUUCCAAUGUCUUCGUGUAGGGGAUGAACUAAAUCUAGCCAAAAGAUUGACUGAAAAUGAUAUAUCAGGUCGGGUGCAAUUUGCAAGAUACAUAAGAGCUCCAAUUGUACUUAAAUACGGUACUUCAGGACCGAGUAUCUCUUCAUUCUCUUUAGGUGGUCUGAAUGGGUCACUCUCAACAUUAAGUGAUCUAACGACCAUUGGAGUACUGAGAGGAGUUUCCUUAUCCAUAUUAAAGUGUUUUAACACUCUUUUGGUGUAUGUGGAUUGAUGUACCAAUAUACCCUUUUGAGUAUGUUCAAUUUGUAGGCCAAGACAAAAUUUUGUUUGUCCGAGAUCUUUCAUCUCAAAUUCCCCUUUUAAAUAGUUUGUUGCUUUCUGUAUUUCAGCUUGAGUCCCGAUUAUGUUUAGAUCAUCAACAUAUACUGCGAUUAUCACAAAUCCGGAAUUUGUUUUCUUUAUGAAAACACAUGGGCAUAUAAGAUCGUUCACAUAUCCUUCUUUCGUUAAGUGCUCACUGAGACGAUUAUACCACAUUCGUCCAGAUUGCUUUAACCCAUAUAAUGAUCUCUGCAACUUUAUUGCACAUAACUCUUUGGGUUUAGAUUUUAAUGCUUUUGGAAUAUUAAACCCAUCGGGAACUCUCAUAUAGAUAUCUGUAUCUAAUGAUCCAUAUAAAUAUGCUGUAACGACAUCCAUGAGACGCAUCUCUAGAUUUUCGCCAGCUGCUAGACUCAUCAGAAAUCUAAACGUUAUAGCAUCUAUAACAGGGGAAUAUGUUUCCUCAUAAUCAAUCCCGGGUCUUUGAGAAAAUCCUUGAGCUACGAGACGAGCCUUGUAUCUCGUAAUUUCAUUUUUCUCAUUUCGUUUUCUAACGAAAACCCAUUUGUAUCCAACCGGUCUCACAUCUUCAGGUGUGAGUACAAUAGGUCCGAAUACAUUUCGCUUAUUGAGCGAAUCAAGUUCGACUUAUAUUGCAUCUUUCCAUUUUAUCCAGUCAUGUCUCUUUUGACAUUCAUAUACAGACUUUGGUUCUGGAUCCUCGUUUUCCUCAUCAAUUUCCUUUGACAAAAGGUAUGAGAAAACGUCAUUAACAUCAUCCAUUUUAUUUCGAUCCCAAAUCUUUCCAUUAUGUAUAUAGUUGAUAGAAAUCUCUUGAUUUCCUUCAGGCUCAUGAUGCUCAUCAUUGUCAUUAGACUCAUGAUUCGUUUCUUCCAAAAUGCUUUCUGCUAUUUUGGGAAUAUCAUGCUUUUCAACUUCCUUUCGUUUUCUAGGAUUUUUAUCCUUAGCACCAACUGGUCUACCACGUUUCAAGCGUGUUUUAGACUCACGUGUAUCAUCUGCUCCUCCACGUUCUUGUGGGAUUUCAAUUCGAGCAGGUACAUUUACAGCCGUUAUAUAUGAUUUAGUUACUGUUUUGGUAUCUGCAAAAGCAUCGGGAAGUUGAUUUGCUAUACUUUGCAAAUGCACAAUUCGUCGAACUUCUAUUUCUGACUGUUUUGUAGGAGGAUCAAGGUGUAACAGGGAUGGUACACACCAUUUGAUUUCUUUUCCUACUUGCUUAUUUUCUCCCCCUAGAACCGGAAAUACUUUCUCAUCAAAGUGACAAUCGGCAAAUCGUGCCAUAAAGACAUCACCAGUCUACGGUUCUAGGUAUCUUAUAAUUGAUGGAGAAUCACAGCCAAUAUAUAUUCCCAACCUUCUUUGUGGUCCCAUCUUUGUACGUUGUGGUGGUGCUAUAGGCACAUACACCGCACAACCAAAAAUUCUUAGAUGAGAUAUAUUUGGUUCUCGACCAAAUGCUAACUGUAGUGGGGAGUAUUUAUGGUAUGCAUUUGGCCUUAUCCGAAUAAGUGCUUCUGCAUGCAAAAUGGCAUGUCCCCAUACAGAGGUUAGAAGUUUUGAUCUCAUGAUCAAUGGUCUUGCAAUCAAUUGCAGACGUUUAAUUAAUGAUUCCGCCAAGCCAUUUUGUGUAUGAACAUGAGCUACAGGAUGUUCAACUUCAAUUCCUGUUACCAUACAAUAAUCAUUGAAUGCUUGGGAUGUGAAUUCACCAGCGUUGUCUAGUCUAACCCUCUUAAUGGAAUAAUCAGAGAACUGAGCUCUUAAUUUGAUUAUCUGAGUUAUAAAUCUCGCAUAUGCCAAAUUUCGAGAUGACAAUAGACAAACAUGUGACCAUCUGCUAGAUGCGUCAAUCAUUACUAUAAAAUAGUGGAAUGGUCCACAUGGUGGAUGUAUCGGUCCACAAAUAUCGCCUUGAAUUCGUUCAAGGAACUUUGGUGAUUCUUUAUCAAUUUUGGUUGGCGAUGGCCUUAUGAUUAACUUUCCAAGAGAACACGCUGCACAUGUCAUUUUAUUUCCAUGUUUCAACUCAUGAUUUUUCAAUGAGUGACCAUGUGAGCUCUCUAUGAUUUUUCGCAUCAUUGUGGUGCCUGGGUGACCAAGGCGAUCAUGCCAUAGUACGAAAUCUUCUGGAUUUCUUUUGAUCACAAGGUUUGACUCUAUGGCAUCUAUAUAGGUAUGAUGCAAACCAGAAGGAAGUUCUGGAAAUCUUUCCAAGACGUGUCUUUUUCCAGAUUUAUUAGAAGUUAUAUACAUAUACUUCUUUCCAUCCUUAGUUGCAGACUGAGUUUCAUAUCCUUGAAGGUAUAUGUCUUUGAAACUCAACAAAUUCCUCUUAGAAUUCGGAGAAUAUAAGGCAUUAUUUAUGGAAAACUUUGUUCCAUUAGGCAAUUUAAAAUUUGCUUUGCCACUUCCUUCAAUCAAAUCCGUAGGACCCGAUAUUGUAUUGACAAUAAUUUUUGUCGGUUUUAAUUCAGAGAAAAAUCUCUGAUGUCUCAGAAUAGUGGCGUUGUUCCACUAUCUGGUAUACAAAUUUCUUUGAUAUUUUCCCUUGCUAUCGUUUUGUUUGAAUCUUGAUCCAUUUCUGUAAUUAACAUAAACAUUAAUAAAUAUAAGUAAAUAUUAUUGAUGUUGAAAACAUAUAAUAAUUAUACAUCAGUUCAUUUUUCAGAAACAACAUUAUUUUAGAACAACUGAAAUACAUAAUAAUUAUACAAUAGCAUUACUGGAGACUAGUAGUCUCACUACAAGCAUUUCAGUUAUCCGCAUGAGCGGUCUCGUCGACAUCGUUUAUAAAGUCGGAAGCUUCGAGGUACGAUGUACCCUCAAAGUGCUCAGUAAGAUUUACUUCCUUCCCUUUUCCCUUUUGGGACUCUUUGUACAACUUACAAAGAUGUUCAGGGGUUCGACAUACAUGAGCCCAAUGCCCUUUUGAUCCACAUCUGUAACAGAUGCUUUCACGCUUUUGAGCGUUACGCCCUUGGGAUUCUUUUCCUUUUGAACUUUGAUCAGGUCGAACCCAUGUAUAAGACUUUCUGCUUUGUGGGUUAAAGGAUCUUCCACGUCCACGAUUGAAUCGACGGCCACGACCUCGAUAGGUUUGACUUGCUCUCUCCGGAUUUUUUACAUCCGUUGCAUUGACCUCAGGAAAUGCUUUGGCCCCCGUAGGCCGAGAGUUGUGGUUCUUAAGAAGAAGUUCAUUAUUCUUCUCCGCCAGUAUGAGAGUCACAAUUAACUCAGAGAACCUUUUGUAUCCGCAAUUUCUAUACAUCUCUUGCAGGACACGGUGUUCUUUAUGAAAAGUAAGGUAAGCCUUCUCGAGCAUUUCAGCUUCAGUAAUAGGCUUACCACAAUACUUUAAUUGUGAUACUAUCCUCAGCAUAGCGGAAUUAUAUUCCUCCACUUUCUCAAAGUCCUGUAACCUCAAGUUUUUCCAGUCCUCUAACGCAUGAGGGAGAGUUAUUUUUCUCUGGUUGUGAAACCGUGCUUUUAAAGCUUGCCACAGCUCUGCUGGGUCUUUUAUGUGAGCAUAGUCAUGCGUCACAUUUUCAUCGAGAUGCUUUCUCAAAAAUAUUAUCGCCUUUGCCUUAUCUUUUGGAGGCGAUAAAUUUUCCGAUUUUAAGGCCUCGGAUAAUUCUUGCGACUCAAAAUAUAGUUCCACAUCAGUGGUCCAUGCUAUGUAGUUUGCGCCAGUAAUUUUGAGAGCCGGAAAUUUAAGCUUCUCAAUGUUUGCCAUUUGUUAUCUAAAAUAAAAACAUGGAAUAUUAUUAGAAAUCUUUAUUUAAUUUAUUUUAAAACAUAUUUAAAAUGAACCGUUUACAUUAAUAAUGCAAGCGAUUACAAAAAGAAAAAGCGUACAAACAAGUAAACUAAUGUUCAAACGAAAUUCUUGCGGAGUAAAAUCUACAACGCAAAGAUUAUAAAUACACAAAAUAAUGAUUCCAAAAGCAAAUAUUAAAAGUAAUCGAAACAUUCUUCAAAACUUCAAAACUUCAAAAUUCUUCUUCUUUUUUUCGGAGAGAGUUUUUAGAGAUAUGAAAAAUUUUGUUUUGAUGAAAUGAAUGUAUUUAUAGAUUGAAAAUACUAUUCCUAGCCGUUGGAAAAAGUUGAAUUUUUUGAAAUUUUUUUGAAAUUUUUCUUUGAGACCGUUGGCAGAAAAAUAUUUAAAAAAUUAAUCUGAAAAAUUAGAGAUCAAUCAGAUAAAAAUUAUCGAUUCAGAUAAAAAUAUUUAUACAGGUGAAUAAACUAUAAUAUAAACAAAUAAUUCACAGUGAUAUUAUGGUGACGAAUUAUCCACAUGGAACAGUAAAUAAAUAUGUGGCGGCUCAGCCGACCGGUAGCAGAAAUAAGUUUUUAAAGCAGUGCAUAAAAUUAAGGCGGCUCAGCCGACCGGCAACAGAAAUAAAUAUUUAAAGCAGUAAAUAGAAUUUCAGGUGGCUCAGCCAACCAUUAACAGAAAAUAAUUAAUUAUGGUGCAUGAAAUAACAUAUAUAUAUACAUAUAUAGUUUCUUUUAUUUAUUUCUAUAAUUUUCUUUUCUUUUUUCUUUCUUUUUUCUUUUUUUUUUCUCAUAUUUUUUCUUUUAACGAGGCGACAUACCGCCCGGUAUAAUACCGUAUUUUUUCAGCGAUCAUAGAAUGAUCGUGCUGAUAACGUGUUAUAAAAGAGUAUUUGAUUUUAUGGUGGAUAUAUAAAUAUUUAAUGAAGAGAAAAUUAUACCCGCAGAAGGAUCGGGAUACUGAAUAAAAAGAAAUGAAAGAAAGCGAGAAAAUUACUUCUUAUACUCGAAGUUUUUGUUAUUGAGUUGUGUAUUACAAACGAUCGUUCGAUCGUUUAUAUAGAGGUAGAAAAGAUAAGUUACUAUACCGCAUAGUGAUGGUGGGCUCUACACAAAAUAAUAUUAAAACGAUAAACAUGUGUCCACCUCAAUCUUUGACAUUUGCAAUGCUCCCUGUUAUUUUCACGUAACAUAUAUAACAUAUAUCUAUAUGAAAAAGAUUAUGGGAAUAGAAGUGGGAGGAGAGAGAAACUUUUAUUAUAUGUUAUUAAUAUCUAAUCUCUGAUGAACAAGUUCUAUUUAUAGGCAAAGAAUUUUUGCAUGCAUGCGGACAAGUGGCAAAGUAUUCGCGACAAAAAAUGGAUGUCUUACGACACAUGGCGACUAUCGCCGAUACAUGGCGAAGCUAUAGUGCAAAAUAGGAAUUCCAGCGACAAAUGUCACGACCGCGUUGACACUUGUCACGACCGCGGCGACACAUGUAAAUACCGAUGACAAGUAUUAAUAUGGUAUAUAACACUUGUUUAUGAUGAAUACUCUCUUAUUUCAUAACAAUAUCAAUAUUUUCGCUUGAUUUAUAUAGACCAACCAAAUGUGUUAAAUACAAGGGUUAGUAAUAAAUUCAUCCAAAUAUUUCGAAAAUAGCCGAUUUAUCUUUAGGUGCAUAAUGAACAUAAUGGGUCUGAAUGGAGAGCGUUUAAAAAGUGGUUCACCCUUGAAAUGGACGAACUGCAAUAAAUUUUGCCAUUCAUGAAUUUUUUAAAUAAAUUACAAAAAGCAGACGAUAUGCAAGUGAUUCAAUUAUUUUUAUCUUUUUGUGGGGAAAAGUGGAUGAUUCAUGCAACAGUCCAUACUCAACAAUUUGUGAGCGUUCUUUCUAUUAUGUACACAUCUCAUAAACUUAUUUAUUUUAAAAUGAAUUAAAAAACUUUGUUUUCUUUUAUCCAAAGUUCUAUAUAAACCACAUCUUCCAUUUCAUUUUUUCAAACUACAUAUCACGUUUCAUUUUUUCAAAAAAUUCAUCACCUCUUUAACAUAUUCUCCAAUUUGUAGGUAAAUAUUUUACUUAUGUACACCUAAAAUUAUAUUUGUUUACAUUCAAUAAUAAGUAUAGUUUAUAUAUAAGUUAUAUAAAUUUACAACUAUAAAUAAUUACUAUGAUAUAUCAUUGUUAUUUAUACAAAUCUUUUACAUGUAAUUAUAUCACAAUUAGAAAAUGGUCUUCCUCCUAGGAAUAUGCAGGAACUCUUUAAUCGAUGUUAUGCAUCUUUACGUUCUGUUAUUGAGAGAACAUUUGGAGUUUAGAAAAAAAAAUGGAAGAAUCUUUGUGAAUUUUCUAGAUAUAAUACUCAUGUGAAAAAGAGAGUGAUAAUAAUUACAAUGGGACUACAUAAUUUUAUCAUAAUUUCAAAAUUUUCAGAUGACGAUUUUGCAGAAGCUAUGGGAGAGACAGAGAUUACAGAUACAAAUUCUGAGACUGAUUUGUGACGAUCCGACAUUAUAUGCACUUUCGAUCUCCUUUUAAAUACACGCUGGUCCAAAUAGCGUUUUUGUCAACGAUUUGCCAGGUCGAACCUCUUCUCUACCAAACCUUGGCCGUUCUAUCUCUUUCUCCCUUGAACAAAGCUUCAACCUCUCCCUCUUCCUCACGCUCAACUCAUCUCUCUUUUCUUUUUCUUUUUUCUUUUGUGACACAUGAGAAAGAGGAAACUAGUGUCGAGUUAUAGAAAAAAAAAGGGUUUUUUAGUUUAGUCAAACUAAACCAAGAUUUUACUAAACCGGAAAUUAAUUAAAUCACCUCUUUUGUUUAUAUAAUAAAUCGAUCUAUUUAAUAAACCAGUUGAAAAUGUACUUCUAAUUUUUCUAACAUAAAUAUCCAUUUUUCUAAUUUUUUCGGAACACAGACAUUAUACAAUAUAUAUAAAAAAAAAGUUUCGAGGGUUUUUUUUAUUUAAAUAAAUUUGAAAAUAAUGAGACCAAACGGAUUAUAAACAAAUUUUAAUUUAUCACGGUUUCGGUUUGGUUCGAUAUAUUUUUGGAUUGCAGUUCUCUGUCCAGAUUCCAUAGGCCCAUAUAAACCAAGGCCCAUAUAAAUUCUCCCGCGUAAAGAAAUAAUAAAUCCUAAAACUAAUCUUCCCCGAAAAGUUUCGAAAUCAGAUUUAUCCCGCCGGCGAGAAAAUGACCGUCGUCGCCGCCGCCGAAGAACCGACUCAGAGACCUUUCACCGACAACGAUGUCAUUCGUUUAGCACAGUACCACCAUUGUCAAACCGGAUUCUCUCUCCCACCUUACCUUCUCUCACCAUCUUCCCACGAUUCUCUUCUCUCAUACCUCAAAUCUCGCUCUUCUUCACCAUCUCCGUCGAAACCAGUUUCUGAGUACGUGAUCGCUCUUCUAUCUCUAAUUUCACUCUCUCCUACUACUCCGUCUCUCUCGUCUCUCCUCGCCUCUCUUCUCAUCUCCUACACACAAAUCUUCAAUUCCGGCAAAAUCCCAAGCGAUUCGGAUUCUCUCAAGACGAUUCAGCUCUUCGGUACUCUCUUACGACACUUACACGUUAAGGAGGUGAAAUUUGUAGUCGAUUCGAUCUUAUUAGGUGUGUCUAGAGUUAUCACUGUUGAUGAAGCCCAGUUGUUUGAUUUAUUGCCUGUGUGCUUUGAUUUAUUGCGGAAUUCGAGAGAAGCUAAAGCUAGUGAAAUCGAUUUCGUUGAUUCGGCGAUUGAUCGUGUUCUUAGUUGUGAAUGGAGUAAAGGGUUGUUGACGAAAAUGGUAUCUCUAGCUAAGGAGUUUUCGUUUCUGGAUAAAGGGAGAAAGAGUGAAUUGGUGGAGAAAGUGUUUCUUGGUAUUAAGUUGAUAGACUUGCAGGAUUUGCCUUCACUUGUGUAUCAAUUGUUGGUUCUUGCUUCUAAAGGUUUUUGCAAGAGGGAAGUGAUUGGAGGUGUUGUUGGUUUUUUUGGAUCUAAAGCUGAGACUAGAGUAGCUUCUGUUGUUAGACAGAUAGAAGGAACUGUUCUUCUUCAUGUGAAUUUCGCAGUGAAGCAGGAUCCUUCAUUGGGGCUAGAGGUUGUGGCGUUAGUCAAAUCUGAUCUUAGAGCUUUCAAUCAUUUUACAGUUGCGGUUCUGUUUUCGGUUGCUCGGGUUAGAAAGUUUGGUGAGAAUUCCUUAGGGAUUUUGAGAACGGCUUUGCUUAAUGCGUACAAUGAUUAUCGACUCUCCAAGUAAGUAGUAGCGACAGAAUCGUUGAGUAUGUUUCAUGAAUAAUUUCUCUUACAUGUUGAAGGCUGUAAGGAUACAUUUUUACCAAUGUUUUUGUCAAUGAUGUACAGAGAUUGCAAGUGGCUACCUGAUGAGCUUAAGGAAGACAGUUUCCUGCAUGCCAAAUUGGUUGAAAAAUCUUUGCUAAGAGCGGUAUGUUCCCCUGCUUUUUUUAUUAUUGGGCUUUUAGUCCUGUCUAUCAUAUUAGGACAGUCUUGCAAGACAAUUAAGAAAUAUAUUUUGUUAUAUUGUUUUAGGUUAGUGAGUGCAGAUAUGGGAGAGAGCAUGUGGUUCCAAGUGUUAUCCAGUUUGGAUUUAUGUUGCUAGAAUCUGUCGAAGAAAGUAGAUCCAAUGAGUUUGGUGAUUCUAAUGGUGUAUUGGGUAUUGAGAAGCUUAGCAUUCAGAUUUUGGGAACCCUAUUUGAAGUCCAUGAUAUGACAAGAAACGAGGUUAAUACCUGUCUGAUUACUGAUGCCUUAAUUUUUAAUGCUUUUAGACUGACAUUCAAACUACUAUGCUAGUUCUUUGCAUCCGUAACUUUACAAAACUUAGUUGAGUGACACUCAAAUUUUGCAGAUAAUUGAGCAAUGCAAGUUUCGCAUUCUUUCUUUGAAAUGCGCAAAGAGCAAGCCAAUAGUAAGGUCAGUAAUGCUUAAUGGAUAUGGUUGUCAACCAUUUUUCCAUGUUCUAAGGAAGUUUAAUUUGUAGGUUGUUAAGGUAUCUUGUCCAGAGAUACUCACUUAUCAUGUUGGAAUUUGUCCACCAUCUCAAAGAGUUAUUGGGUUAUUUCACUUUCAUGGAGGGAAAUAUCAGCUGUCUUCUUGUUUCUGCUGUUAUCCCGCUCAUCAAAUUCAGCCAUGACCUUCAGGUAAAUAUAUCUAUUGCACAUUCUCUUUUGUUCUACUCUCUGCACAUCUGCUGCUACUUCGAGUGUUUCAGCUUGUAAAAUUGAUAAUACUCGUCUGUUUGUAUGCAUUUUUCUGAUCUAUGGAAUUGAGAUAAAGAAACAAGCGGAGACCUCAGAUUAAAUUUAACUUGAUGAUGCAGGACUAUACCAUCUUGGUGAUUCGCAAGGCUAUGUUUAGACGCGAAUAUACAGUUCGUGUUGCAGCGACAAAGGUUAUAACUGAUCUUAUACUUGCAGAGAAACAAGCUAAGAGAGACGGUUCAUUUACUUUACAAGACUCAUCAAGCCAAGCCAGUUCCAGUCAGCAGACUGAGAUGAGCUGUAUAGUGAGGGGAAACCUCUUCACUGAACUGAAUGGGUUGCUUCAAAGAUGUCUUUACCAACAGGUGUCUUUUUUCGUCCUUGAUCAUUGAAAGUUUCUUUCAAAAUUUUUGAAGAUCUUCUUAGAGCUCUUUGGUUCCUAUAUGUAGGCAUUAGUGAAGGAAGUAGUUUAUGAUGGGCUUGUGAAGUUAGUCUUGAUUGAUCCAUCAACUGGAGGACAUGUUUUGGACUUUCUUAUGCCUCACUUUCUUCGUUUCUUCAGACAGGUAACUGUCAAAUGCUUCAUCAUCCUCUCUUCACACUGAAUAUAACUCUUCAGUCUGGCUUGACAAAACAGGAAAAAAGUUGCUAUAUCUUUUGAACUUCUCCCUUCCCUUGAAUAUUAUUACGGGGAGAAGCUGUUAUGAGAUUUUUCAACCUAUUUGUUGAUAGACACAACUACAUACAUGUUUUGACAACUUAUGAUUAUACUGGCAGGACACAGAUUUUCAGCUCGGAAUCAUUUCAUGCAUUAAAUUAGAAGGUGGAAAAUAUAUCAUUGAAGAGCCCUUGGAUAGGCUUCUCUUUUGUAUCUCUUGGAUUUUACUCCUCCAGGUGCACAACAGCUCGGAUCGGCCUUCCGAUGCCGCGUGGCCAUGCUUUGGUUUCUCACUUUCACAAGAUAAUGAGGUACUGCUACAGAAGAACUGGUUUUGUGUUACGUUACAGAGCGUAGUUGUAAACAAUAUUGAUGGGUACAUUCAAAUUUCAUAUGGCAGCAGCAGGGAGGGAGAAACAUAUCUCAUGAAGUUUACUCCAAUGCUUUGGUGAAGAUCCGAAACUUCUUACUAGGCAAGAAUUUAGAAGGUAUGUUACAAAUGAUCGUUUUUAAAAAAAUCAUCGUCUAUUUUUUCAUACCUGAAUAUGUUUGAUCUGCUGUUACAUUUUUUGCUUUCAACUCUGGUUUGUAUAGGUUGUGUGUUAGACUUAGUCUAGUUUUAGAAGAGAAAUACAAGCUGGAGAUAUUAAGUCUUAGAACCAAAGGAGUAUCUCAGCCUUGAAUUAUUUAAGCACUUAGCUUUUCGUUUGCAUUUUACAGAUAUUGUUGGGCAGUCUCAGGACACAGUUUCCGCAUCUCUAGAAGACGAUAAAAGAAAAUCCUAUUGUUUGAUUAUAUUGGGAAUCAUUCAAGUGCAGCUAAAUUAUAUUAUAGUGGAUCUAGAGAAACAGCCUGAAGGGAAAAAGGGUGCUGUCAGAAAAGAGAUUGUCGAUUUGAUUGAUCUUUAUGAAUCACUGGAAAAAGACGUGGGGAAAUUAAAACCGAGCAAUAUUGGCAAGAGGGUACGAUUUAGCACCUGUAAUGAUACUGAUGCGGGAAACACAAGUAUCAGUGAAGAGCGAGAAAAAGUUCCCUUUUUGGCAACUUCAAGUAUCUACCAGCUAUUUCUUCUUAGUUUCAAACUCUAUAGCAGCAAAUCCGUUGGUACUCUUUCAGGUUCGCAGGAUCACAGCCAGUCAUCACCAGCCAAGACAGAAAAAUCAAUUUCUAAAAUUUUCUCCUUCACUUUGCAAGUGUGUGUUGGGCACAUAAGAUCAUCUCUUUGCAUGAAGGAGGAAAAUCCACUUAAACCGUUGGUCUGUGGUGACAUGAAAGUUCUGGGUCCUCCACUGCUAAAAGUACUUUACCUGCUAAAGCCAGAUCCACCUCUAGCGACCGGACAGACCAAGAAGGACAGUAAAGGAAAGAAGGAUGCUGAAGGAAGAAAACAGUGUCUACAUCUGGCCUUACUUAGCUUGAAAGAGCUGCUCAAUAUAUAUUCAAGUGGAUCUGGUUUGACUGGCUUGCUUGAAGAUUUGUUGGCAGUACCUGCAUCCGAGGAUGCUACUUUAGAAGAGUGCAGGGAAGCUUCAAGAAUUGAAGACCCACUUGUAAAGGGCAUCGAAAUUUUCAUGGAGAAAAUCAUGAAGCCCAUGAUCACGGACUUUAUCGCGCAAAACUCUAAUGAUGUAGAGGUAAACUCCUUUAAACUUCCUUCAAUUUCUCUUAAGCGCAUUCUUUAACGUACAGGAAGCUAAUACUAUAAUAUUCAAUUGCGCUGUUCAGAUUCUUUGUGCUAUAAUGUUGAAGCUUGGGAACAAUCUACCAGACAAAUCCAAACAAAGGCAUGGAUCAUGGGCUCAUCAAAUGUGCAGAAGCUGUGAAACAUCUAACACCACUGUGGCAAAGAGCAUUGUGAAACUUGCCAUCUCUUUUACCACAUCACCUGGUGAUCUAUGCAUAGCCGUUGAAGUGGCUAAGGAGUUGCAAAAUAUCAUGGGUUUAGACAAAUCUGAUACGUUAGAAGUGUCUGAGUCAUACAUGGUCAUAAACCAGUCAACUAGUGCUUCUGUAACUUCUUGCAUAUUGCAAUCAACUGAUUCAGCAAUAGUUGAAAUGGAUUGGGCCACAAAGAAGCUAAAGAAUUUCUAUGUGGUCUCUCAGAAGAACAUCCAUCUCAACGAUGAAACUGAGAGUACAGUCGGGUUGGUUCUCGAGGAAGCCCUUUACUCAAUGGCUGAGUCAACAGUCAGAAUACUUUCUUCCUUUGUGUUGAUGAACCUCAAAGGUGAGUAUUCACUUCUCAGUUCUCACUGAUCUGCUCCUUGCUAACAUUAAUUGAGCUUGUUUAAUCCGUGCGUUCGUGAUCUGCAGACUCGCAAGCAGCGCAGUUUCUUAGACUAGCAGUUAGGUUUUACAAACAAUUGGCACAAAUUGUGAAGCUGAGGAUUGCUCCCAAGGGCUGCAAGCAAAUUCUUCCCAGCCUUAAAUUUCAAAAACUGGUGGAACUAACUUGCAAGAGUCUCACAGUUCCUUUAUAUCCCUUUUUAUCUGAAAUGCAAAAGGUACAUUCAUAUAUUGAUGUUUCUUCGUUAUAGAUGCAUGAUCCGAAAGCGUAACGUGGGGCUUCUUCUAAAUGCAGGAACAACAAGAAAGUGUGAGUUCCAAUUCCAAGGGCAUAAUCAAUAAGAUCAAACAGGAGAACAAAUGCAUUCCUGAUUUGAUAUUCCAGAUAGAAGACUGUGAAAGAUACCUAAUUCAGCUAAGCAAAGUUACUAAAUUGAAUUUGUUGAGGCAUGCCAAGCGCAGCACCGCCAGAGACUUUAAAAUAAUUGAAGAUGCAGAACCUCCUGCAGGAGAUGAAGAUGGUGGAAACCAGGAGGAAGAGACAGAGAUACAGAACAAUAACUUUGGCAUUAACGAGGAUGAUUUAAGACAAGAGUCAGAUGAUGAUGGUUCAGAAGAAAUGUUGUCUCCCCGAAAUGCUAGUUCCGUAUCAUCACCGGGCUUAGAUUCUGAUAAAGCAAUAGCAGCAGAAACAGAAGAGGACGACGAAGAAGAAAAGGAAGAACAAGAAGAAGGAAAAGAAGAAAGUGGCGAUAAUCGUCCUAAAAAGAUGGCUAAGAAGAGUUGGGUUGUGGAAGAUUCUGAUGAAGAUUCUGAAACAUUUUAGGUUUCAUAUUUGUAAAUAAAACUUGCAAAGCUCAGAGACAUAAAAGGCAUUAUACUAAUAGCUCUCAGGUUUCCUUAAACAGCAAGUCUCCAUGGAGGUAAUCUCUACAAACUUUUGUAUAUAGGGUUUCUAAUGCUUCAAGCUUAUGUGAGUCAAAUGUUGAUAAUAUAGUCCAAAACCAGUUUGAUUAUAUAAUUUGUAUAAUCUCACCAUACUUGGAUAUCUAAUAGUGUUUUGGGGAAUAUACACUAGAUAAGUACAUUUUUCUGGAGUCAAAAUCAAAAGAACAUUUUCUUAUAAAUCUAUCUAUAUAUAUAAUGGGAGAGUUUUCUCUAUCUCUAAGCUAUCCACAUCAGCGUCCACUUAAGCGUCUAUUUAAUUAAAAUUUAUAAACUAAAAUUUAUUUUAAAAUUAUAAUUCAAAACAUAGUUAUUUAUAUUUAUUGUUAUUUAUGAUUAAAAAUUGAAGUUAUAGACAAACGAAUUAAUAUUAUAAGUAGAAAACUAUGAAAUAUGUUAUACAUAAUAAUAUAAUUUGAACUUUAGCGAAAAAGUGUUUAAGAUUGAUCAUAUAUAAAAUUUAAGAAACAUUUCAGUUUUAAAAUUGAUAUAUUAAGUAAAAAACUAUGAAAUAUUAUACGUAAUAAUAUAAUUUGAAUUUUAGCGAAAAAAAUCUUUAAGAUUGUUCAUAUAUAAAAUUUUAGAAACAUUUCAGUUUUAAAAUUGAUAUAUUAAAAAUCAAUAUGUUAGGUAUUUAUAAAAUUGUAUGAAAGUUGAAAGGUCAUACAUUUUUCAGUUUUCAAGAAAAGCAAUACAGUGAUGAAUCUUAUGACAUAUUUAAAAACCAAUAUCUUGGGUAUUUCUAAAAUUGUAUGAAAGUUAAAAUUUCACACAUUUUUCAGUUUCACUAAAAUAUAUAUAGUCAGGAAUCUUAUGACAUAUUAUUAAUUGAAAUAAUAGUUGAUUAGUUUAUAAGUAAAACUAAAAAAUAUUAAAACAUAGAUAAAUAUUAUCGUUUAUAAUAUAUUUAAAAUUGACAACAAAACUAAAAAUAUAAUUAUGUAUACUUUUAAUAUUUAGCUUUUCAUUAAUAUAAUAUAAGAAAUUAUGAAAGUAAAUGUAUAAAUGCAUUUGAUAGUAAUACAAACAUUAUGAACUUAUUAAAAAGAUUAAAAAAAAUUUAAAAUAGAAACAAAAUUAAAUUAAAUUUUUAUUGAAUUUUAUAAAAUAAUCAAAAUAUCAAAAAUAGGUAGAAAGAGCACAAGUGCAACAUUGAAUUUUAUAAAAUAGAAACAAAAUACAAAUAAAAAUAAAAUAAAAUAAAUGAGUAUGGAAAGAUCGCAACAAAGUGACAAAAUUAAUCUCUGAAAGCUAAAGGUCUAAAGAGAAAAACAAUAUAUAUAUAUAUAUAUAUAUAUAUAACUCUUUCUUUUGCUUCUUUGGAAAAGACAAACUACAUUUAAUAAAUCACAUUUAAGUUUCUAGAAUUAUAAAAGAAAAUGUUAUGAAAUAUAUAAUUAACAAUCCUAUGAUUACUAAGUUGAACAACGAAACACGAAAAAAAAAUAUGUUUGAAAAAUAUGUUUGAUAUAUGUAGUAUAUUAUAAGUGGACGUGUAUAUCUCUGCAAUUAUCGUUAUUUAUAUAUAUCUGUAUUUUUAUCUAUAGAAUUAUAUAUAUAUAUAUAUAUAUAUAUAUAUAUAUAUUCGUCAAAGUAACUUGUAUUAAUUGCAAAUAUCAAAGUACAAAUCGUUUACAAUCCAUGGAGGGGGAUUAUUGCUAUCAGAGUAAAAAGAAGAGCUUAUGCUACCGAACUGAGCUAACUUAUGAGCUACCCGAUUACAAGUACGAUUUAUGAAAGUGAAACAAAUUUCUUUAAACUUUGUUGCCCAAAACUUGAUGUCUAGAAGGAGACUUGUAAGAGCCACAUCUGAUGUUGUUUAUUAAAAUUUCGCAGCCCAAAACGAAUUUUUUUUAUAUAUUUUUACAUAGUGUUGUAGUAACUAAAAAAUAACGUAUAUUACAAAAUCACAAAAGUUGAGUAUAUAUCAUUAAACCCACGCGUUGCAUGGGUCAAUUUCUAGUUAAGUAAAGGACAUUGACCUCUCUCUUUUUGUUUUUACGUAAACAACAUUUUAAUUAUUUACCAUUUGACUUUCAAAUUAGAGUAUCUAUAAGACAUGACCAUAGAAGACUAUAUAGUUAAGUAUCUAACUAUAUUUUUUGUUUAAUUAGGUGGCUAAGAGAGAGAAUGGUGUUUAUACAUUUAUGUCUUUUUUCUUUUACACAUAUAACUAUUUGUCUUCUCCUUUAUUCUUCUAUGAGAUUUCUUCUACAUUGUUUCCGGUGACUUUUCGACGUUUUCUCCGAUCAACGUCUCUCUUCCAAAUGCUCCUAUUUUUUAGCCCUUACCUCCAUUUCUUCACAAACAGAGACAUGAAAAUGAAAAAAGAAUGUCUAAACGAGUUUGGGAGGAACUAAAUUUUGAAUUGAAAAACUUGGGGAUGAAAAUUAUGGUUUUGUAAUUUAGAAUGAAGAUGGAAAGAAAUGAGAGAAAGAAGUGGGAAAAAGAGAAGAAGAAAAGGUGACGAGGUGAAAUUGGGAGUUUGAGUUGCAGGUGACAACGGAAGAAGAGAAAAAUUUGAGAGACGUGACGGCGGAGGAGAAUACUCAAGAAGAGAAGAAGAUUUUUUUUGUUCACGACAUUUAUAAAAAAGAUAACAUAAAAGUUAACCAUUAACACUUAAAUUAUCAUGAUAAAUAAAUAUGAUAAAGUAUAAGUUAACGAUAGUAAAUAAAUUAUCAAAGUAAAUAAAGAGGUUAAUAAAUAAGUUAGUUGAUACCAAUCAUAUAAUAAAUAAUUUAACACGAUAAAUAUAAUUUUACCACAUAAUUGUUAAGUUAUCGUGAUACAAUAUUCUUUAUAUUGUUAAUCAAAUAAAUAAUUACGAAGAAUACAAUCUUGUUAUUGUCUCAGGUGAUGAAUAGUGUUUUCGAUGUUAGCUCAACAAAGUUUUUACUGAAAUUUAGUACGAUACAAUAAGAUUUACACUAUAAACAAAAUAAAUAAUCACAAAAUCAAUAUUUAUCAAUUAAAUUAUUAUGAUAAAUAAAUAUGAUAAUGUAUAAAUUAACCGUAAUAAAUAAAUUAUUAAAUUAAAUAAACAAGCUUAUAUAUAGGUUAGUUGAUAUGAAUCAUCUAAUUACUGAUUUAACCCGAUAACUAUGAGUUUACCGCAUAACUUAUAAUUUUAACGCGAUAAACUUUGAUUUACAGUACUAAUCAAAUAAAUAACCACAAAACCAUUGUUUUUUAUUGAUUCUGAUGAUGAACAGUGUUCCCGAUGAUAGAUGAACAGUGUUUAUUUUUUCUGUUAGUUUUAAUUUUUUUAUUUCGAUAUUUUUCUGUUAGCGCGCAUACAUAAUCAAGGACAAUUUGGGCAUUGAUUAAGAUAGAGGAGAGAGAACUAAUAAAAAAUUAAGGAAGGUUACUUUCUUUAUUGGGAAUCUUGCAAAAUGUACCACUUUUUGAAAAGUGGCUUUCAAAAUCUACCACAAUUGGAAAGAGUUUCAAAAUCUACCACAUUUCAUUACCACAUGCAUAUUGUAGACGAAAUUGCCCUUGAUGGUGACAGACUGGUGUGUCAGAUAAAGGGACAGACUGGUGUGUCAGAUAAAGGGACAUACUGAUGUGUUAGAUAAAAGGACAAAUUGCAAUAAAUGUUGCACGUUUACAAUUGUAUAUAAUUUUAUUUAAAUAAUAUGUUAUAUGGGGACAAGUUCAGAUCGAAUGAGUAAUAUAAUUAGAUCAGAGACAAAUUCAGAAAGAAUGGGUAAUAGAAUUAGAUCGAGGAUAAUUUCAUAUCGAAUGGGUAAUAGAAUUAGAUCGGAGACAAGUUCAGAUCGAAUGAGUAAUAGAAUGAGUAAUAGUACUUGGGGACAACUGGAUCAUUUUUCUAUUUUGCAAUAGAAGGGAAAAAAAAUCAAUAAUCCGGGUAGGUGAAGACAAUAAUGCUCAACUAAUCUAUGGACCAAAAUAGAUGGUGAAAAAUGUAAAUAAAAUUCGAAACCCUUAAAUGAGAACUAUUGGUGGACAAGAUGUGGGAUUCAUGAUAAUAGAAAGAUGAUGAAAUCGGGACAAGAUCUAGACGCAUCAGAGAAUUUCCAAUCGGGGACAAGAUCUGGAGACAAAAAAGAAAGUUAAUUGUUUAGUCUCAAGAGAUAUAAUGUUUCUUGGUUAAAGUGCACGUGUUUCGAGGGAAAGAGAGAUAAAUAGGGAAGCUAAUGUUGAAGGGGAGAUAAAUAGGAAGGGAAGAUAAAUAGGAAGGAGAGAUAAAUUGGAAAGAUAAAUAAGGAAGGCAAAUUAGUAAUUCAAAUACUAAAUGUGGUAUGAGUUGAAAGAAGGGAAGAAAUGUGGUAGAUUUUGAAAGAAAUUGGGAAUAAGUCGUAGAUUUUGUAGUUUUUCCUUCUUUAUUUUUCAAUCGUCUGGGGUUUUUAAUUAAAAUAACCUUCAAAUUAAGAGGUGUUUUACGUGUGAUUUUAAAAGAUAAUAUAUUAUUUUAUUGAUAGAUAUUUCGCCCAAAACACACUAGUAUACCAUGUCACGUUAUUUUAUAAAAUCACACAACUUUGAAAAAGGGUGAAUUAAAUCAAUAACCAUAUAUGAUAAUUUAAUAAAGAAUAUAGCACUAUAACAUGUAAUAUUAAGAAAGUAGCAUGUGGUCUCUCUACAAUGAUGUUUCUAUCCCUUGCUUCUCUGAAUGCACAGUGAGAAGAAAGAUGAUGACGUGUGUGAGAUACGGUGGAAUGAUUUUAGGGACACUUAUAAGUGGGUUUGUAGACUUAACGCAAUAUGAGAGGUUAGAAUGUAGCUUCUUUAAGUGUAAGUAAGCAAACUUGCAUGAUAAACUCCAAGGAUUUAGUGAAAUGCAAAAUGAUAAAAGAAAACUAAACCCUAAGGGGAUAGUAUAAAAGGAACCCAAGGAGUAAAUGAAACAUAAGCUAAUAAAUAAGAAAUAGAUAUAUGUCCUCAAUUUUGUUGAAUGGAAUAGUAUACUUUUACAAUGGAAACCUAAAGCUGAUAGAACGCGACGAUAUAUAUAUAUAUAUAUAUAUAUAUGAAAACAGAAAACUAAAUUCAUGUUCCUCUCCCUUUCUCAUCCUCCUUCUUGAAUCCAGUUUUACUACAGUUAAGACCCGUCACAAGAGCAAAAUCAUCAACAGCAAAUCUAAUUAGCUUCUCAGCAAAAAGCCACAAUCUCAUACUUCUUCUCCGUCAUCAACUGCCUAGAAAAUAUGUAGUGAAGGAACAUCACAGAAAACUGGUGUGUGCCCAUAUGCAUUACAUUUCCAAACUGAGAAUCUAACAAUUUCUUCAAAUGCUCAUCAUCGAGUGUCCCUUUUAUUAUCUUUAUCCACCUCAAUGUAAAAUAGUUAUUGAUCCUUUUUAUACCUUCAGGUUCAGCGCCAAGCCGGAACAUACGCUGCGGCAAGCCAACUUCCCCCAUUGAGGGUGUUCUUGCAAUACAAAAGUAAAAACUUUAUUACGUACUCCAAACAUGUAAAAAUUAAUAGUGAAAUGCUUUCAAAAGUAGACUGCAUACAAACAAUAGAAUAGACUUAACUUAGAUAGUACAGUUUAGCUUGACUUAAAAGAUUGGUUAUUUAAAAAUAGUACAUUGUUUGUUCUCUACAAAGAUGGUAGAACAUAAAAAGGGUCUGAGCAUAAGACAUCCAAACAGACAGUUCCUAUGUAAGACUUUCCACAUAAAAUCUCAAUAAUUCCCAAACUGAAAGCAACUUUCUAUUUAUAAAACACAUGUUCUCUUAACCUCGACAACACAAAUAAAAGGAAAAACAUAUGUCGCCAAACAAGAAUUCCAAGUUUUAAACAAAGGAUUCAAUUCUAUGAUAAAAAAAAAAAAGAUAAAGUAGACAAACUAAACUCAAUUUGAGAGAAAUUAAUCACCCCCAAAUUAAUAAACCAGUUCACCGAAUUUGCUAAACACACUGCCGGCGAUGUACGGUAGUGAUGGAGCGGAAGCUUCUAGGGAUAGAACUAGAUCCGUUGAUUCUGAUAAUACCUGGAAACUAGGGUUUGAGAGUCCUCCUCUCAGGGCUUUCGCAAAAGCUCUUAGGGUUGUGAAUACUCUUCACAGUGGUUUAUAAAAACCUCUUUAAAUCUUUCGAUUAUUCAAUUCAUCAAUAACUUUUCCAUAAUACAAUAAGCCUAAGUGGCUAUUUAUAAUAAAACCCAAAACCCUAGAUAAACGCUAAAAUAAUCUAAUAAUUAUCUAAACUAAUUAAAAUAAAAAUAAUAAAUAAAUAGAAGAUAAUCAUAGAAGAUAUUUGGAAUAAUCCAAAUAUCACGCUGCAUCAGGUAGUCAAUCGUAUAACCAUAAAACAUAGUCAGAGAACUCAGGGUAGGGCAAUUGGGGUUUCGAACUUGCCGGGUAAUUAAAACUACAUCCUAAAUUCAAAGUCUUUCCCCCCGAAAAUCAAUUGAAGGUCAGUCACCGAAUAACCAAAAUUAGGAAAAGAGAUCGGAGGCUAACCUUGUUUUGUUCGUCGGAAAUUUUGUCGGCAAAGAUGAAAAAUUGCAAAAAAGUUUUAAAAUUUUGAUCUCUCUGCAGAAAAUAGUAAUUAUGGUGAAAAUAAGGUUUUUACAAGUACCAAAAAAACAUGAGAAAUUACGCAAAAGAAAGAAGAAUCACGUCAAGGUGUGUGAACUUCACAGGAGGCUAAAAAGGUCAGAUAUACAAAAAAAUACAGACAAAAUCAAUGGGCUUUUUUUUGUUUUGGUCAUUUACUUAUUUAAAGUUUUUUUGUAUGUUAUAGCUGCCAAUUUCUCUUGAAAAAAAUGCAUUAGAAUCUUUUCGUCAACCUACGCAAAAAUCCCGUUUCCCAUCAUUUUAUCAUUUUCCCAUCAAAAUUAUUUACUUAAUUUAACUAUGACCCAAAUUAAAUGUAACUAUCUGCAUAAUAACAAUUUCUUUUUUUUUAGUUAUUGUUGUAGACUCUAUGCUACAUCCACUAACCUUUUGAGUAUUUAAGCUGUGUUGUGCCUCUGGAAAAAGGUGGAUUUUGCAUUAAGAAUGAUGGUUAAUAAGGGAACAUGUGACCUGACCUUCAUUAUUAAUUAAUGUCUUCAAAAAUCACUUUCACUAAAAAUAUCGUAAACCUUAUCCAGAAGUUUUAUGUUUGUAAAUGCAUAGCUGGGAUUCCAUUAACCCUAAUAUCUAAGCCUAGUAGGUUAUAUAAUUGAUUACGAAAAUCACAAUUUCCUAAGCUAAACAUUUUUAAUACUCCCUCCGUUUCAUAAAGAGUGUCGUUUUAAGGUUUUAUUUUUGUUUCACAAAGAGUGUCGUUUUAGGUUUUCAAUGCAAAAUUUAAUGAUUUUUUAUGUUUUAUGACUAUUAGUAUUCUACAGAUUGUUUUACUAUUUGGCAGAUUAUGUUUAGGUAUAUAGUUAAUGAUGUUUUUGUUUAGAAAAAACAAAAAAUUUAAUGUUUUCUUAAUCUGUGUGCAAAACUCUAAAAUGACACUCUUUGUGAAAGAGAGGGAGUAAUAUAUUUGGAAUUAAAUUACAUAUCUGACGUAUCUAUGAGUUCAUCAGCUUUUUUACAGGCUGUAUAAUUUAAUUAGUCAGGCAUGUAAUAACUAAGAGCCAUUUUUAAUGAAUGAGCAGGUGUUAUGUGAGAGCAGUGCCUAUUGCAUUAAUUUAAAGAGCAUUGAUUUGUUCAACUUAAAACCAGAUUCUCUAAUCUUUUGCAUUAAAUUAAGGAAUUGAUCACAAAAUUAUUAAACCCCACCAGUAUAACAAUUAAUACAUGUUGGUGCAGGAAUUAGCACCUCCGACAAUACCAGCUUAAACCGGACAAAUUACGAAUAAAUCUGAGAAUUCAGUUAAACCAGAGAAUCCUGGUUAGGCCUGUUAAUGGGCCAGGGAAAGGAGGUCGCCUGGCGAGCUAGACCCGAAGACAAGAGAUCGCCUAAACCGACUUCUCGUUCAAGAAAAAAGAAGAUUUUCCUUAAGAAAAAAACGAGAAUCGCGAAAAGAAAGGAAAAGCAGAAGAUAAGCUCCGAAGAUUUAGAAGAUUAACAAAUCCUAAAACCGCCUUAAUCAUGUAUAAAUAGAGGGGUUUGUCCUCUAUUCAGGGGAUCCGUAACUUUAUACAAAAAACCCUAGUUUUCUCGAUUGUUUUUGAGUUAAACCUUAACGUUGUCUCUCAGCAAUCAAAUUCACCAUUUUAUUCGAGUCUUUGAUCACAAAUAGCAAGAGAGAGUUAAUUGAAUUUGUUUUCCUCCUUUAAACAAAUUUAUUGUGUGAUUUUCGGAAUCAACAGAAAGUGAGAAAGAGACAUAUAGGUAAGGGACCUCAGUGUCUUUUACAGUCGAAUCCAAUGAAUGUGGAGCACUAAUCAAUUACAUUUCAUGGGACAUACUGUAUAUAUUAUUUACAUAAAGACAAAGUAAAAUGCCAAAAUAUAUUUGCCCCACAUUAUUCCAAAACCUAAGAAAACUAAGAAUCUUGUGAGUUUUGACCAAUUGAUAAAUACUCUUAACGAUCGCCAUCGUGUUGGUCAACACCAAAAAUUUAUUUUUGCUGCAUGAAAUUUAUUUUAUUAAUCUGAAAAUUAUAUGGCAAAAUUAUAAAAGAUUUGUCUUGAUUUCGACCUAAACGUUCAAAUUGUACAUGAAAAAAACUCUACUAGUCUCAACCCACUUGAAUGAUCUCUUGCUUCAUUUUUUUGAAAAAAAAAAUCUUCUGAUAUUUCCAUUAGGGAUUGGACAAGUUUAAAAACACAUUAGAUGAAAGUUAAAAAAUUUGCAGAAAUGGAUAUCAUUACUAAAUCGUUUAUACGACUUUGUAAGUAAUUGUUUGGGAUAUUAACAUUUAUUUACUAGUAUUAUUUAUAUCGUGUGAAAUUAUAUUUUCACAUAAGAAUUAAACAAGUGCAACCGCAAUUACAAUCACCCACAAAUUUAUAUUUUUAUAUACCGAAAUUAUAUAUAUUUUCUUUCGAGUUGUGUCAUCUCUUUUUCAUGACUUUAGUUACAUCAAAGAUUGCACAAAUUUAUAGGAUUGUUUUGCCAACAUUUCUUACCGUUUUCUUUAGGUUAAUAUAAAUGAAUAUUCAUCAUUGAAAAUUUUUUCUUUACCGAAUGAUAUUUGAAUUUCAGUGAUCGUUUAUGAUCCUUACCAUUUUGAUACGUAUAAACUUUUGGUGAUUGUCACUUAGAAACGUACUUUCUGACACGAGAACCAUAAAUCCUUUUUUUCAUCAGUAUGGGAAAAAACAUCUAAGAUAUUUUUGUUGACUGAAUAUAACAUGUUAAUGACAUGUUUUUGUAGUACUGAAUUAGUUUUCUUGGACACUAUACGAAUUACGAAAUGAUGCUUUUCCUUUAUGAAUAAAACAAAGUAAAUGAUCUAAAAAAGGUUCGAUAUAAUCCAUUUCUUCUUGUCUAGUGAUGUGCAUACAUUUGUUUUGUAGUCAACUUUAAACUAAAGAAAAAGUAUGUAAGUUGGUAAAUGUUUAGAGUUUCGUUGAAAUCCUAAAAAUAAAUUCGUAUACGUUGAUCUAUAUGUGAAUAUAAAUAUACACAAACUUAUGUCGGUUAAAGCUUAAAGAUUCUCCCACACAUUGAAGCUAAAAUUCGCAUGAAAUCAAGAGAAUAUCUUUAUUUAUACUAUAUAAUAAAAGAAAAACAUAUAGUACUUAUUACGUGUCCCUUUUGUUUGUCGGUUUGUGGAUUAGAUCAACGUAGUCUAUCACUAAUCACUUAUUUAAGAUCACAAAAUCCCUUUCGUUUCUCAUCUUCUUACAAUUUCUAAUUUUUUAAAAUAAAGUUGCAUGGUGGCCAGACUAUUAUAAUUAUAAACGAACUAAAUAAAACUCUAAUCUAAGUUAGUUCCAUCAACAUUAAACUUAAUGAACUCAGAAAGGUCUCAAUCAGAUAAAAUAAAUAGUUAAAUACUAAACUUAAUUAAAAUAUUUUACUAGGGGCUCCCAUAGAUAUGCAAAAAAAGCUCUGAAAUACCCAAAACACCCUCUCGGCUUUACACGUUAUUAAACAAAACGACAAAACUUAGCCUAAGGGUAAAAAAGUCAAAACCACACAACUUUUUCAGUCUUUGCGAUUCUCUCUGCUUCAGUAAGCGAAACCGCCUGCUAGGUUUCUCGGAUCUCGGCGGUAACGCGACGGCGCCGUCGCCGGAGAUUCAGAUUUCUUCUUCUUAACAUCCAUUAACGAACAAUACUCUCUUCUCAAACUUUCUUCUUCGUCCAUAAUCAUCUGCUUCGAUCUACACUCCACGCUACAAAACGCUCUAUCACCUCUAACCAAAAUUCAAAAACAAAAAAAAAGAUCUCAUGAAAAAAAAACAAAAUCAAGAACAAACAAAAAAAAGCCCAUUAUUGAUGAUGACUUACUUAUACAUGUAGAUAUCUUUCGCAGGAAGAAGUUUUCUUCUACAGAGAAAACAAUGUUCGAGAAAUCCAGAAUCUUGAUAACAACGACGGAGAUUAGUCGUGUCCGUCGUCACGGUGGUGGUGACGAUAACGUUGGCUUUGUUGACGACUUUAGGACUAAUAAUUAAGCCACCGUCACUGUUGAGAGUGUUGUUGUUGUUGUUAGUCAUCUCCAAAACAAUACUUAGUCCCACCAUUAUUUUUGGUUUUGUUCUCUCUUAUCUCAUUUCUUUCAGGUGUUAAUGGCGAAAAGAAGAAGAAGAAGUUUUUUUUUGUUUUUGGAUUCGCAGAGAAAAAAGUAAAAAGUUUUAUAAAAUGUUUAUAGAAGAUAGGUGGGACCUACAAGUGUACUACGCGAGGACGAUUGAUUUUGAUUUCUUUUGCUUGAUAAUCGCCACGUGUAUCCUUAUAUUCAUUACUUGUGUAAACUUUUUUACCCAUUUUUUGGGGAUAAAUGUUUACAAUAUUAUCGAAUUUUACUUUUGUCGUUUUGUUUUGUUUUUGUAUGCUAUAGGUAGAGGUGUCAAAAUGGAUUGAAAUUAAUGGAUCAAUCCAAACCAAUCCAAUCCGUGGAUCUAAUGAAUGAGAAAUUUGGAUCUUAAUGGAUUAAUGGAUUAAAUGGAUUAAUGAGUUUAAUGAAUUGGAUUGAAAUGGUUUGGAUUAUUGUGGAUUAGUGGAUUACUCAUAACCAAACCAGUAGAAAUUAAAUAUUCUAAAUCAAAUAUGUAAACCGAAUAUAACCGAAUAAAAUGUCUAAACCGGUUUACUAAACCGGUUUCUCACCAUCAUCGAUCUCUCUUCCUCAGCCUCACAACUCUCACCACCAUCAAUCUCUCACCACCAUCGAUCUCUCACCACCAUCAAUCUCUCGCUAUCUCUAUUCGCCAAAGGGUUUUUCGAAGCUUUGAUAAGGGUCUCGUUCUUCUCUCUUACCGAUCAAGUCUCCGGCCGACGAAGUGAACCAUCGGAAAGGCUCUCAAAGGCAAGCGCCACCACCACCAACAUUGAAAGACUACGUGAGUGGUUUCCCUAAGGAAUCCGAUUUCGAUUUCACUACCACCACCGUCGAACUUAAGGUUCCGGAAGGUACUUUGUGAUGAGAAUGAUGUCUUAUUAUAAUAAUAUAUGCUUGAUGGAUCAAUUUCUAUUGUUUCAUUCGUGCAAGCAAAAUCAGAGAGUAAGUGUUUUGUUUGAUUUAAACUAUCGUUGAUUGCAUUGUCUAACCCUUCUUGUGCAAGUGUUUUUUUUAUAUAUAUUAUGUACAUAUAUACUGGUCACUUUAACAUGAGCCUUCUAGCUUGCUGAUCGUGGAAAAACAUCUAUUUCAUUAAUUAGUGCUCUGUUCGUUUAUAUCUUGCCUUAUAUGUUUGUCCUUGUCCAUUGAGUUUCACCAAUUUAAGAGUUUGUUUGUUAGGAUUCGAGUGAAAGUUCCAGUGUCUCUCUUAUACAUUGAUCGAAUCGAUCACACGUUUCCUUUUCCAUGUUUGGACAAAUCUUUUGUGUUUCACUGAGUUUAUGCAGCUUAAGUUGUUGUGUUUUGAAUUCAAGAACUUGAUGUCUGUUUCUUAUUUUUAAGCUGGUGAUGAUGAUGAUGAUGAUGAUGAUGAUGAGAUGAUAAUAGUAUGAUGAUGAUUAUGAUCAUGAAUGAUUAUAGUAGUAUGAUGAUGAUGAUUGUAGUAUGAUAAUUAUUUAGAUCAUGGAAAAUUUAUUAAAUGGAUUAAAUGAGUUUAUCCAUUAAUCCAAUAAUUUAAAUGAGUUAUGGUUUCAUCCAAACCAUUUAGCAAAUGGUUUGGAUUGACUCAUCAUCCAUUAGAUACUAAACUCAUAUGGAUAUGGAUUGGUUUGGUUUGGUUUAACCAACUUGACACCCUUAGCUAUAGGUGAGUUUGUUUUGAUGCGUGUCAUCUUUAAAUUUUAGUGCUUAUUUCAUGUUUUUAUUCUUAUGUAGUUUUAUCAUUUCUAACUCUAUUUCGUGAUGCUAAGAUAGUAGAUUUACUUUGACAUCAAAAAAAAAAAGAUAGUAGAUUUCUUAGAAGAUUUGAAAAUAUUGUACUCUUUUGGAUCUAGUAUGAAGUGAUUGAUGGUGUUAAUAUGAUGAUAAAUAUUGUUGGGAAAACUCAAUGAUUUUCUUUCUUGUGAUUAAGGUGAAAAUGAAACAAUAAAAAAAGAUAAGAUAAACUAACUCUUUUGUAUGAUAAGAAAGAGACCAUAACACAUCAUUGUAUUGCUUUCUAUUUAGUUGAUUUUACAAGGCCACCAUGUACUUGUAUUUAUAUUAGUGGUGAUAAUGUGCUCGCUUAAAUGUAUAUUUUUUACAUUUUUGGAUAGCCUUAUCCAUAACCUAAUUCAUACUACGUGAAGAAAUACAAUUUGCUGGAAUCGAAUUUUCAUAGAAAAAGCCGUAUAGGUAUAACCCGUACGGUAUAUUUUUCAUGUAACCAUACCACAACAUCUUUAUUUGAAGAAUAUUUGGAUUUGAUGCAAAUUAAUUUUCUCUAAAUUUGAUGAUAUACAUCAUAGGGGUCAUCGAUUAGUAAACACAAAUUAUGAAUUCAACAAUUCCAUAAGUAUUUCUCAAUUAAAAUAUAAUUAUAUGUACAUUUAUUUUUUAACAUUCAUACUAAAAUCAGUUAAAUCUAUAAAGAUUGGAAAACUUUCUACUCGUAUAUAAGUGUGGAUGUCGGAUUCUCACAUUCAAGUAUUUUUAUUAAGUAGGAAAGAUUACUUUUGAGGGACAAAAAUAAAUAUGUAAAAAGCUUAUGAAUUGCUAUAGUAUUUCUUACUCGAGAGGAAGAUCCCCUUUACAUGAUCAUUGGCCUUUAUAUUUAUACAUAGAAAAACGACAUUUAAGUGGCUAAUUAAGUACAAUUAUUCUCUCUUAAAUGUGUCCGUUUUGAUCUUUGAUUUUAAUGCUUAACGUUCGAAUUGAUCUUCAUGGGCCUCGCCUUUUGGCCCAAAUGUCCUUGAACCGACUUAACCACGACUUCGUCUCCGGACUCGUGUCGAGGUGCAGUCACUUCGGAUUCUCCUUAUGGUGAUAACCACUUCGACUGUUCUUUUGACUUGUGGGUCUAAUGGGCUUUACCGCUUAUGGGCCGUUACCCUGACUACGUGGCAAUCUUUGGUUGGUCCUGGACCUCUGGUGCGGGAUCCGACACCAACAAUUAGCCCCCCAAGUCUUCCGAAGUGCUACCUCAAUUCGGAAGAUUUUAAUGCUGAAAUGACCAAAGAUUGCGUUCGAGAAUCUUUCUGAUUUCCCGCCAAAAAUCUCAUCACUCCUUUAAUUUCGGCACUAGCCAUUUUUAACCGAGUGACAUCUGUCAUCAUUAUGACCGUAUAUUAAUUAAUUACUAUUAAAACGGGAAAAACCUUCCCACUUCCCACACAACUUCCGAGGCGGUUCCAUCAUUUAGCUUGUGUAAGGUAACUUCUUUUCAUCAUCAUUUUCUACUUUUACUUUUGUGCUUUAAUCAAAACAUCUCUCUACUUUUCUUCGCCGAACCCCUCUUCGCCGGAUAUUGAAUUUUUCAUUUUUCUCUGAUGACUUCCGAUUCUGAGAGACCUGAAUCUCCGUCUUACGACGAGAGACGUUCUAGCAACGACGAAUGCACUCGUCCUAACGACAUUGCCGAUCCGCAUUACAAAUCCACCUGUACUCUUCAAUCCCUCGAGCGAUUAAAGGGGCUUUGUCAGAUUCCUCCUGGAAUCAUAGCAGAAGCGCAGAUAGCCGACCCUACGGAAUCCCCGGAGAACCACCGCGACGGCUACUUUUGUGUUUAUGAAAUCUACUUCAAGGGCUGCGGAUUGACCUUCCCCCUUCCCGAAGCCUUAGUUCGAUACCUGGCGGCUCUUGAGAUUGCUUUACCUCAACUAACCCCCAAUCUCCUCCGAACCAUCCUCGGGAUCAUAACCGUUGCGGCAGAGGCUGGCUACGUUAUUGGAGUCCCAGAGCUGAAUGAACUCCUAAGCGUAAGGAGUUCAUCAAAGAAAACUGGGUACUUCUCGGCGUAUCCAAAUGCCAACAGGAACGUCAUUUCGCACCUCCCGAACAAAGAUGAAAACUGGCACCAUCCUUGGUUCCUGAUUAAGAAAACUCCUGCUUCAAUUGGAAAUCUUUCUGAUGUACUCCCAUCGAAGUGGUCUGCGAAGCCUGGUAGAAAUUAGGUUGUAUAUUCCUUUCCUGGUUGUUUUAUUUUUUACUGAUCAAACUCGUUGUUUCACUUCGCAGCUUUCAUCGCUUCGACUCUUCCGACUGAAGAAUUCGUCAAGUUCUUCAAAACAAUCCUUGAAAGGGAAACCCUUUGGAAUUCUUUCACCCUCGAUCAGUUCUUCGAAGCCAACCGAAAACUCAGGAUGAGUCCCCCCAAUCUACUUCAUCGUCUUCCGCCUCCUCCCUCAACUCAGGGAAUGUCAUCUCGGGCCCUCACUGCCCAGCGUAAGAAACUCUCCAAGCCGAUAGCAGAGGCUUACGAUGAAAACAAGGCGUUCCUUGCGGCCGCCAUUGACAAAAAAGACUACAGCAGGACCCUGCUGGUUGAUGACAACAGCACCGAGGGAGCCAGAUCCGUUGCUGCUUAUAGGUUAACACCUCGUCGCGAACGUCGUGAUUCUCCUCGUCCUCCCCGAGAUGAUUUUAGCAAUGAACCACUUAAGAACUUGGUUCGCAGGAAGAGAGACAAGUCAUCUCGUAGUGACUCUUCUCCGCGAAGGGAGAAAUCAAGGGCCCGGACUGACCGUUCACCUCGAUCGUCCCCUCCUACUGAACCAAGGGGUCCUCCCCGACCUGUUGAUAUGUCUUCCUCUUCCCAGCCUGAUAGCGAGAAGACUGCCCGGAGCGCAUCUCCUAAAAAGGGAGAUUCUGAGUUUCGAGAUGCUUCCUCGAAGUUGAAGCCUGCUCUUGUCCCCCAAGUCAAAUCGCUUUCAGGUUUGGUGAUUUAUAUUCAAUUAAAAGUUUUUAUCUUUGUCCAGAUUCCAAUUUCUACAACACUUCUUCCUUCGUAGCUAUGGAGAAAGAAGGCAGCGUUUUCCGAUGCUUCAAGACCCGAUCGGAUGCGAUCUUGCCAGAUUUCGACAAGUGGCGCCCUGCGAUUCGUGAAUGCUACUUGCUUCACGCUCAUCAUUCAUCUCGGGUUAGUUCCGCUUUAUUUUUCUGACUGUGCUGCCAUUCUUCGAACUGACUGGCCAUCCUGGUUUUAUGCAUCAUGCCAGGCUAACGGCGAGCUUAAUGACAUGAUUGAACAUUACGAGGGGCUGGUCAUUGACCGGGAAAAGGAGAUUGUUACGUGGAAGAAAAAACUUUCUGCUCUUGAGGCCGACCUUCACUCCUCUUCCAGCUCUAGGCAAGAACUGGAAGAUCGAGUUGACAAUCUCACAUCCGAACUCGCAAAAGUGAAAAGCGAGUUGCAAGACCAAUAUGACCGGAAUAAUCAACUUCAGGAUGAAUUUACCGGCGUUCAAGGUAGGCUAUGUGAAUCCGAAUCAACUGCUUACACCUUGCAUAAAUAACUUGCCGAACUUGAUGCGAAAUACAAGGCGAUAACCAAGCUACGAGACUCCGAGUUGGCAAGGUCGGCUUCGAAGGCCAGAAAAGAGGUCAAGGGACGCGGAAUGGAGUUGAUUCAAGGGGCUAUCCGCUUCAUUCAAACCGAGAAAGUUAGGUCAGAUCUGGAAUCAGACAUCAAGGAGCAUGAGAGCAACCUGAUUCUGUUGGAUCAAAUCCACGAUGAAGAUUUCUCCGAAGUGCAAGAAAGGACCGAACUGUCGGCUAAUCUAUCUGAAAAGCGGAGUCGCUUGGCAGCUCUUCCUACUUCAACCUUCAACCCUCACCAUUUCGAGGAAUUCUUCACAGAAUCACCUCCCAUAAGUGAAUCGGGUCUAGACUGGGCAGGUAACCUUUGGUUCCUGACUCUUACUACCUUUUUCUUGCCUUAUAUUUUUUAAUUGACUGGAAUUGUCCUUCCUAGGCUCAAGUGGGACGGAAGAUGUCAUCCCACCCGAAGUUCCUGGGGCACCGGAGGUCACCCCGGAAGAUGGUUGUACCGUGGAGAGCAUACCAGGAGCUUCGUCUGAUCAAGCACCAGUCAAGGGGGUGAAUGAAACUUCGACAGCCGAGCCAGAAUCCGAGGUGGCUGUCAAUCCGUAGUGGUUGUGUCCACUUUUAAACUGGGGAUUGUCCUAUUUAGUUUAAAACUUAAUUUCGAACUUGUUUUCGCCUAAGGAGGCUUUAUCAUUACUUUUUUUGACAAGAUAUUCGCCUGAGGAGGCCUUUAAACCUUUCUAGGUUAUGAUCCCAAGAGGGUUUGGUUAAAGCUACGUGCGGGUUUGCAAAGUCCGCUUUUAACCUUUUGUGGCCUUGUGGUUAUGUUUUCGAGAUUUUUAGGCUGAUCAGACCUUUCUUUUUAGAAUGCGAGAACUGAGCUCGGCUUAACACGAGUUCCCCCCUUCGGGUUUAGUCAACUCGGUAAAUUUGUUGGGCUUGGGCCGUAGAAACAUUUGUAGUUAAUGCGACGGUUGUUCUUUCCCUUCUUGUUUCUUGAAAGUAGGAAAAGCGGCUCGUCUUUAAGGCAAUAACUGCCUUUUCUCGAUUUCCAAAAAUGGUUUAAGUUACUAGGGCACGCCAUCAUUAAUGAUUUUUUGUUUCCAAGACAAACCCUAUUCCUAUUAUAAAUAGGAAAUUGUUUGCCUUUGAUCUUUCCUCAAGAAACUUCAUAAUUCAUUCGAUAAGCACCAUAUCAAUGGAAAACGAAAACGUAGUCCCCGUUGAUCCCGGUAGCCCGCUUUUUCUGUCCGGCGAUGGAUUCGAGCCGGCAGGUGUUCUCUUCCCGCACGCCGUGUUUCACUUCCCUUCGAAGGAAAAGAAAGAGGCUUGCGAUUUCCUGGAUAAGGUUUAGUACUUAUCUUCUUUGAUCAAAACUUUUCCGCUUUCUUCUUUUUACCUACUUAUCUUUAUUCUAGGUCGUUGACAAGCACUGUCGCUUGUGUGACGAGAGGCAGCGGCUAGGUCUCAAAAGGCAAACACUAGAGGCUCGCAUCGCUCGUGUGGAGAGGAAGAUAAGAGCUCUGGAAAGUGACCCCUUUCAAUGGGAAUGGCGGAACUUUCAUUCUGUUGCUGAGAUCCCGAAGAUGCUCCGGAUGUAUCUCCGUGCUAAGGGAGUUCUGGGGCCUGUGAAUGCCCCGGUCUAUACCGCUCCAUCUGAUAGCGAAGAAGAAGACGAGGAGGAUGCCAACACCCGUCGGAAACGCAUUCGGGAUCAUCCCGAAGUGGAUGCCAAUAACAAGGCGUCCACUUCGAAAACUAAACCGGCGAUGAAGGAACCUGUUCCUGAGCCUCUUCCAUAAAUGUUCUCUAAUUCUGCUCCUAUUUUGAACUCGUAAUGGGCUUCGGCCCCCUUUUUUAUUUAAGGAAACAUUUACAAUUUCCCUUAUUCUUCAAAAUAUUCUCGGAGAUACGUCUUUUAAUGCAGGAUCGGUUUAAGAGCAUAAAUCUCUCCGCAAAUCACUCCAAGGGAUAUGACGUUCUUAUAAAUUAUGGUCUCAAUUUCCCUUUACUCCUCACCAUUCUUUUUCAUUUUAGCAGGUAUAGAGUUCAACCUUCGAUGUUCAGAAUCUAUGUCCGACUUCUCCUGGAUCGGAAUGAUAAACGAAGAUGUUCCAAAUGAGCCAAACAGGCAGCCUCUUCCACCUCGCGGCUUCUUCAGAUCUCAGAUCCGAGCUCCGUGCGCUUUGAUCAGGGAUCUCCCAAUCAGAGACCAAGGAACAGCGAUGGCAUUCAUAGAGGCACUUGCGCUUCAGUAUCGGAAGGUUACAUUGGAAAAGAAGAGACUCCGGAAGAAGAUUAACCGAAUGCAAUGCAGGUUUACUACGGUAUCGAGAGAUCUUCACAUCCUUGGCUCUCACCCCGGAGAAUGGAUCGAGCUUGGAAUCUCUGAUCUCGCUCGAAUUCUGGACUGCAUGAUGCCAAUCCUCGACCUUGCUGGUCAAGGAGUUGAAGUGUUUUGUUCAUCAACAAGAUUUCCCUAAUCCGAAGUGAACGAUGAGGGAUAUUCCGUCUUAUUUGUUUGAAUAAACGCUUUAUUUCCAAUAUCUUGUAUGUUCGCAUAGCCGGACCUUUAUUUGCUUCACUUGUUCGCACAGUCGAACCUUUUCCUUUAAUAAAGAAAUAAAACAAAAUUUUAUUAAUAGCUGAACUCGUUUUUGAGCUGCCUACGUACCCAUUUCGGGAUCAAGCCACACCGUAGUUCAUGUACAUAAAAAAUGCAUGUAGCUUUAAACAUAAAACUUCUUUAGGUUGAUCACAUUCCAAGGUCGCUUGACUAGCCUGUCUUCUAAGUCUUUCAGCCUAUAAACACCGUUUCGAACCACUUUGGUAACAAUGUAAGGUCCUUCCCAAUUAAUACCGAGUUUACCGGCACCUUCUUCUUUUUUAUUGUCAAAGACGCACCUUAACACAUAAUCUCCCACGAAGAACGGCCUACUUUUGACUUUAGAGUUGUAAUAUCGGGCUGCUGCCUGCUGGUAAUUCUGAAUUCGAAUCAAAGCUUGAUCACGCCUUUCAUUUAUGGUAUCUAGUGAAUCAUUAAGCAUUGCUGAAUUUUCUUCCUCAUAUAAUGGUGCUUCUGUUCGGCGAAGUCCGGGUACGUUGAGUUCAGCUGGUACUACUUCCUCCAUGCCAUAAACCAAAGAGAAUGGAGUUUCUCCGGUAGGUCGCCUAGGGGUUGUACGAUAGGCCCAUAAGACGGGUUGGAGUUCUUCAUACCAUCCUCCCUUUAGAUGAUUCAAGCGUUUCUUGAGAUUGCUAAGUAUCGUCUUGUUCGCGGCUUCGGCUUGACCGUUUCCUUGCGGAUAUCGUGGAGUAGAGUAACUGACUUUAAUUCCCCAGUCCGCACAAAAGGCAUCAAACUCUUGUGAAAUGAAUUGUGGCCCGUUAUCAGUGACUAUUUCGUACGGAACUCCAUGUCGACAUAUAAUAUUCUUCCAAAUGAAAGUCUUCACCGCCGAAUCCUUGAUGCCAACAUAUGCCUCAGCUUCAAUCCACUUUGAAAAGUAGUCCGUCAAGACCAAAAGGUAUUGUACACCUCGAGUUGAUCUGUGCAAUGGUCCAAUGAUGUCCAUUGACCACCUCAUAAACGGGUAUGGGGCGGAGAUGGAAGAGAAUAACUCCGAAGGUUAAUGGAUCAAUGGUGCAUGGAGUUGGCAGCGCUUACAUCUUUGGGCGAAUUUAACACAAUCCGUGAUCAUAGUGGGCCAAUAGUAUCCCAUUCUUUUAACUUUAAAAGCCAUAGCUCUUCCUGAUGAAUGACUCCCACAUAAUCCUUCAUGCACUUCGCUCAUGACGAUUUCGACUUCGAGCCCAAAAAUGCAUAAUAAGUAAGGGUCACUGACACCUCGUCUAUACAAUGCAUCAUUUGAUAGACAAAAUUUUGCGCUAACGAUUUUCAUUUUCCUGGCCUGCCACUUAUUCUUUGGGAGCUCGCCUGUCAUGAUGUAGUGUUUUAUUGGCUCCCUCUAGUCAGCCCCACAGUCUUUAGCCGGAAUUUGGUCGACCUUGUGAAAUACUCGUGGCUCUGGUUCGGGAUGUUCGUUUGGUUCAAGAAUAUCCUCCUCGAUCAAUGGCUCGGUUUCUAAUAUUGUUUCUGGAAUCACAUCUUCUGCUAAGACAAUGGGUUCCUUAUUAGAUGUGUUUGAUCCCUUUGAUUUCCUCCGUUUGAUGGGUGGCAGUUCGACCUCCGGUUCAUCACGGUCACGUGCCGCUGCUCGAGAUCUUGUAACGACGAGUGUUUCUUUGUUCUCUUGACUGAUUCGUUCCGAAAUGCAUUCUACUGGAAUAACACUUUUCAAGUCAGGAUCUGAUGUUGAUGCUAACGCGGCAAGUGCGUCCGCGGUUGUGUUCUCUCCCCGGGGUAUGCGAAUUAAUUCGAAUUUCGAGAAAUUUUUAGAUAGAUCCUUCACCACUUUGAGGUAUGCUUCCAUUCUUGAGUCCUUGGCCUCGUAGUCUCCAUUAAACUGGUUAACUACUAAUUGCGAAUCACAAUAAGCGACUAUUCCCUUAGCUCCCACCCCUUGUGCCAAUCGAAGUCCGGCAAUUAGGGCUUCGUAUUCUGCCUCAUUGUUGGAAGCAUUAAAUAAUAAUCGGAAUGAUUGUUCUAGAAUUUCCGAUGUUGGAGAUUCCAACUUGAUUCCCACUCCGGAUCCUUGCUUUGAUGAAGACCCAUCUACAUGUAAUUUCCAAGUUUGGUUCUCCGAUUGCUCUAUCGUUCCAGGUAUUGGUAGCUCGGUUAGGAAAUCUGCUAAAACCUGAGCUUUCAUACUGAUCCGGCUUUUGAAUUCUAUGUCGUACUCGCUUAAUUCCACCCCCCAUUUUGCCAAACGUCUGGACUGACUUGGACUAUGAAGUAUUGUUCGGAGUGGCUGGUUGGUUAAUACUUCAACCGGAUGAGAUUGAAAAUAUGGACGCAGCUUCCGAGCCGAAAUCACCACCGCGAGUGCGAGUUUUUCCAUCAUUGUAUAUCUGGUUUCCGGAUCCGUCAUUGACUUACUUAUAUAGUAAAUCGGCUUUUGCUCCCCGCGGUCUUCCCGGACCAGGACUCCACUAACCGCAUGGUUUGAAACUGACACGUACAGAUAAAGCUUUUCGUCCACUUCCGGUUUGGAUAAUAUAGGUGGGGUACUUAAGUAUGCCUUAAGCUGCCCAAAAGCUUCUUCACACUUUUCGUCCCAAAGGAAUCCUUUGUUUCCUUUUAGAAUUUGGUAGAAGGGUAAAGACUUAUCUGUUGAUCUCGAGAUAAAACUAUUCAAAGCCGCAAUCCGCCCAGUCAACCGUUGUACUUCCUUGAAGUUUCUUGGAGAUGGCAUGUUUAGAAAGGCGUUGAUUUGAUUUGGAUUGGCCUCAAUCCCUCUCUCUGUCACAAUAUAGCCGAGAAAUUCUUCGGAUGGGACUCCGAAUGUGCACUUUGCCGGGUUCAGCUUCAUUUGAUACUUAUUGAGAAUAUCGAAACAUUCCUCUAGAUGCUUAACGUUAUCCUCCUUCUUUAAUGAUUUAACCAACAUGUCAUCUGUGUAGACUUCCAUUGUCUUCCCGAGAUGAUUGUGGAACAUUUUGUUAACCAACCGUUGAUAAGUUGCUCCUGCAUUUUUUAAACCAAAAGGCAUCACUUUGUAACAAUAGAUACCUCUAUCCGUGAUAAAUGACGUUUUUUCUUGGUCCUCGGGGUUUAUCAUUAUUUGAUUAUAACCCGAGAAAGCAUCCAUGAAUGUCAGCAGUUCAUUCCCAGCGGUGGACUCUACGAGUCGAUCUAUAUACGGGAGCGGGAAACUAUCUUUAGGACAUGCUUUAUUGAGGUCCGUGAAGUCGAUGCAAACUCUAUUUUUUCCAUUCUUCUUUUUAACCACGACAGUGUUUGCUACCCAUUCUGGGUAUUGUACUUCCCUUAUGGACCCUAUAUUUAAAAGUUUGUCCACUUCGUCGUUUACUAUUUUUGCUCGUUCUACUCCGAGCUUUCUUCUUUUUUGCUUUAUAGGCUUGAAACUUGGAUCCACGUUUAGUUCAUGACAAAUUAUGCUUGGAUCUAUGCCAGGCAAAUCCGCCGCUGACCAUGCAAAUGAUGUUUCGUUUUUCCUUAAAAGCUCGAUCAAAGCUUCCUUUAUUUGCCCAGUCAAAGUAGCUCCAAUUCGAAUUUUCCGAUCCGGUUUGUCUUCUUUCAACACUACUUCGAUUACUACAUCAUCUCUUUUCUGCCCGCUAGGAAAUUUUUGUCUUAGUCCCUCUUUUUCGGGCUUCGUUAAUUGCUAUUGAAUCUUCAAACGGUGGCUAGCUAGAUAACAUGUUCUUGAAGCUUCUUGAUCCCCCCGAAUUGUUUCCACUCCAUUUGGUGCUGGAAAUUUGAUACAUUGAUGAUACGUAGAGGGGACUGCCUUCAUUUGAUAAAUCCAAGGAGUCCCGAGGAUGAUGUUGUAAGCCGCGGGCUUAUCAAAAACAACAAAAUCCACGAUCUUUGACACCCGUUUGGCAAGGACUGGUAGCUUGAUUGUUCCGAGGGACAUGGCUGAUUCACUUGUGAAUGCUACUAACGGAGAUGGAGGCCCUAUUAUGUCUGCCCGACUAAUUCUCAUUCUUUCUAAAGUACUUAAAAAGAUUAGAUCGACCAAACUGCCCGUAUCGAUAAGAAUCCUUGACACUUCGAAGUUGGCAACGUCCAGGGUAAUGACUAAUGCAUCAUCAUGAGGUCUCUCGAGAUGCCGCGUUUCUUCUUCGUCAAAUGAUAUUGAUGCACCUUGAAAAUCGACUUCUUCACUCAAACUUGCUUUGAGUAAAACAUUUCGCCUAUGUUUCUUGAUGGAACUUAUCGAAUCUCGGCAAAAUUUAGAACCUCCAAGAAUCACAUUAAUCUUACCCUUCGAACUCCUUGGCUCUUCUUCAUUAGAUAACUUCGGUCUUUUGGAAUUCUGGUCUUUGGAGUUACCCCUUGCUUCGUGGUAUUCUUUCACGAAAUCUUUUAUAUUGAAUUUGGAAAGAUCUAUGCUGGCCCAAAGCUCCGCGAGAUGCCUCUUAAGGACACUACAAUCCUUGGUUAAAUAUCCGGUUACGUUAUGAAUAUCGCAAUAUAAACUUUCAUCACGGAUCCAAGUGUUUGACCUUCCUUUCCCUUGGAAUUGCUUUCCGACAACACCGUUGAAGGGUUGCGACCCAAAUUUUCUUGGUCCUUUGCUCUCCCUAGAUUCAAACUUCUUGAUAGGGACAGUAAUUGCCGGCUUCUCUUGUUUAUUUCUUUUGGCGAAAUUUUCUUUUUCGUCCUCUACUUCCAUCCAGUUGUUUGCGCGGAAGAGUGCAUCCUGAAUUGUGUCUGGUUUAUGAAGUAUUAAAUCCUCUUUAAACCUUGAAUCAUGUCGCAAUCCUUUUCGUAGGGCAGAUAAAGCUGAUUGCUGCGAGAUUCUUGGGAGCUUUGACAGCACUCCUUUGAACUUGGUGAUAAAAUCUCGAAGUGACUCAUUUGAUCCUUGUGACAGGUUCCAAAGAUCGGCAUCCGAAACACUUUUGUCCAUAAGGAUGGAAUAUUUUUUUAAGAACACAGCUGAUAGUUCGUCGAAAUUGCUGAUCGAACCCGGCUCUAAUUGGGUGAACCACUUUAGAGCUUGGCCACAUAGAUUUUUUGAAAAGAGCUUGCAGUACCCUGCAUCCUCAUCAGCUUCGUCCAAUUCGACUCUUCCGGCAGCUAUCAGGAAAGCUGCGAGGUAGCUCUUCGGAUCCUCCAAUCCACUGUAAGGGUCCAACUUGAGCUUCCGAGAAUCUUUGAUUCUUAAACUUGCGAUUCGCGGAAUGAAAGGUGUUCGCCUAGCUUCUUCAAUGACUCGAUUGAUAUCCGGCUCCGAACUCGUAGCCUGAUGGAACUUUGACUUCAUUUCUUUUAGUUCCUGACUAACCUUCCUCAUAGUCUCGAACUGGUCGAGGUUUUCCUGCUCGUAUUGAUCUGCAAGUUGAACUUCAUCUUCGAGCUGUGUCUCUCCCUCCGAUGGCUGAAUUACAUUAUUAGUAGCACCAGGAGUUGUUUGUCCGCUGGUUUCAUUUCGCACAACGGAACUUGGCGAGUUGAAUAUCCUUCUUCGGAUUCCCACAGGAUUUCCUGCACUUAAAGAGCGAACACGAGUUUGUAUAGUACUGACGUUUUGACUAAGAGAUACCUGGGACGUUUGUAACGUGUCGACGGCCUUUUCCACAUUCGAGAACUUCUGCGACAUUUCCGACAUAGUUUGUUGCAUGGCUUUGAGGGUUUCGGCCAAUGACGGCUCAACUGCGUCUCCUCCGGACAUUGCUGCUUAUCUCGGAAAUGGAAAUGUAGUAAAGAAAAAUCUGACCGCUCAAGAAUCCUCUUUCCCCACAGACGGCGCCAAAAUGUGGAUGUCGGAUUCUCAUACUCAAGUAUUUUUAUUAAGUAGGAAAGAUUACUCUUGAGGGACAAAAAUAAAUAUGUAAAAAGCUUAUGAAUUGCUACAAAAAUUGCUAUAGUAUUUCUUACUCGAGAGGAAGAUCCCCUUUACAUGACCAUUGGCCUUUAUAUUUAUACAUAGAAAAACGACAUUUAAGUGGCUAAUUAAGUACAAUUAUUCUCUCUUAAAUGUGUCCGUUUUGAUCUUUGAUUUUAAUGUUUAACGUUCGAAUUUGAGUUGAUUCUGAUCUUCAUGGGCCUCGCCUUUUGGCCCAAAUGUCCUUGAACCGACUUAACCACGACUUCGUCUCCGGACUCGUGUCGAGGUGCAGUCACUUCGGAUUCUCCUUAUGGUGAUAACCACUUCGACUGUUCUUUUGAUUUGUGGGUCUAAUGGGCUUUACCCCUUAUGGGCCGUUACCCUGACUUCGUGGCAAUCUUUGGUUGGUCCUGGACCUCUGGUGCGGGAUCCGACACCAACAAUAAGGUUCAAAUUAACUUAAGUAAGCAAGUGAUAUACACUAUUGCUGUAGAAAUGAAAAAGAAAAGGAGCAAAUCUUUUCUCACUUUAUGAAGAAACUAAAGCAACAAUUUUGAAGGUUGUUUAUACACUAAUAUUUUGUGUCGGAAUUUUCUAUGGCCCAUAUGAUUAAAAGGCCACGAGCCCAUGAUUUCAUUUCCUAAAGACAUGAAAGGCCUAAACCUUUUCUUCUCAUCACUGGAUUUUCUACUUGUAUCAUGCCAAUUUUCAUCUAUGUAUAUGAACACAUUUUUUUAUUAUUAAAAGUUCAGAAUUGGUUGUCGGCUUUUUCUUUGAAAUAGUAAGAACUGUUCCUCUAUAGUCUAUAUAUGUAUCUUUGGUAAGUCUGCUUUACUUUGAUUCUCUAUCAACCAAAAAUGGGGACAAUAUAUUAAUGGAUUAUUACCGAAUUGGACAUUUAUUGGGCCAAAAAUUUUAGAUAAGAGAUUAUUUACCUGGGUUUCAGUUUUAGAUAUUUCUGGGCUACACGAAAUUACGCAUUUACCCUUGUCUUCUACAUCUCUUCCUCCUCCUCUCCCCGAGCACAACCCACGUUUCUUUCCCAAAACCACAACCCUUGUUCUGACGACAACCAUCAUCUCUUUCCCCAAACACAACCCUCUUUUCAAUUAAUCAAGUGUUGAAUAAAGAAAACUAAACCCUAGAUAAUAUAGACUAAACCCAAGGGUAAAUGCGUAACCGUCGGAGAGAGGUUUUCAUGACCGGAAAUGCUAUUUCUCCAUUCAUCUUUAAUUCCAGCAAUUCAUCUUCAUCUCCAUCUUCUAUAUUCUUUGGAGAUCAUUCUCUUUUGCCUAAUUGAGUUGAAAUUUGAUUGAAUUUAGAGUUUAGAUUGUUGUUUCUUUGAGUUAGGUUGUUGCAGUUUUGAAGGGUAAAAUCGUUCUUCCAUGAUAAAAGUAAUGCCUAAAACGUGAGUCCCGACGAUCUGUCCCAAAUCUAUAAUUUUUGCUGAAAUAAAGCCCAAUCCGGUAAUUCAUUCAUAUAUUAAUCGACAAAUGAGAGUUGAAAACAGUCUUUCCUUUGUGAACAUUUACUUCACAUAAUAUUGGCUUUGAUUACUAAAAUCUCUCUGUUGGUGUUACUUUUCGUCCAAGUAAAAGUGUAAACACACAUACAUCAGAAACCCAUUUACAAUUUAACACAAAAGAAUCACGAGUUUUUUUUUGGUUUAUGUUAAAUUUAUUACGCAACUAAAAGAAAAUUUGAGUUAUGAACGAGGUAUGAGGAAAGCAAUACGAAGUUUUCAACUUUAAAUAAUCUACACAAAAACUUAGUGUGAGUUUCGACUUCCACACUCCAUCUAUAUAUUUGAAUCUGAUAUAUAUAUAUAUAUAUAUAUAUUUAUUUAUUUAUUUAUUUGUUUAUAUUAUCAUAGUAAAUAUCACAUGAAUAUUAGCUUCAUAAACAGAAAAUAUAACUAAUAUUUUUAUUAACUAAAAUAUUCUUUUUCUAAAGAAUCAUAUUUAUAUUUUUAAUAUUCAUUGAUUUUUUUUUUUGGUAAGGAAUUUUCAUUGAAUCAAUAAUAAUAGAAUUUAGUUUUUAACUCUUUUCCAUAAACGUAGUCAUAUCUGAAAAGACAUUUCUUAAAUUCGUAUAUCUUUAAAAUUUUAAAAUCAGUUAAUCAUUUCCAUUAUUACAAUGUGUUAUAAAAAUUAUAGUACCAAAUUAGUUCUGAAAUUUGUUUGCGUAAACAAGUAUUGAUUUUAACUACAUAAGUCCAGCAAAUUUACGGAUUAUCUAUUCUGGAUAUAUCUAAUAUUUUCAUUAUGUCCGUUAACAACUUUUUUUUUUUUUGUCAACCUUGGGCCACAACUGGCCGGCCCAUUAGCCUAAUCCCUACAAAUUGUAAGGAGAGGGACUCGAUCCCUGGUGUGAUGGUGCCUGUCCAUCAGUGGACUUAUCAUCUGCCACUAGACUAAGGUCACUUC